CCUUAUCCGUUGAUCAUGUACGAUACAGCUGUACAGAAAUGUACUCGCGCGGGUUACUUUUAUAGGACAACUGCGAGUUAUGAAGUAGGAACAGACAGUCCUUGUAACAUAGGUGGUGUGCUUUAGUGAUCACUGAUGCUCAGUUUCGCGUGUUUGUAGUUGUUGUAUUGAUGUCUAGUAGGAUAUGGUUGUGUUGGGACAUGUCCUUGCAAGUUUUUCUGUGUGUGGAAGGAGCCAUGUCCUUGCAAGUUUGUUUCCCCAAUGUAUGUACAUUGAGCUAAAAUGAUGUAAUGAAUGGAGUUAUCCAGCAGUUACCUUUAAAAGUUGCAAAAUAGCUUCAGCCAUCUCACGAUGACUACUCAGGUUAGUGAAGAUGUGGUAUGAUAAGGGCAUCUUCAAGGUGGACCCGCAAACCUUCCGUAACCUUCCGGACUGCGAUGUCGGUCCGGACUGCGGAAGCCAUUCAACGACGAUCUGUAUCGGUUCGUGGAGCGGUCCGGAAGCGAUUUCUCGAACUGUUCCCAAGUCUGCUUCUGACUACCCUGACCCAUCAAAAAAACCCUCCCUCCUCUCCGUGUGCUCCCACCCGGCGCCACCUGUCUGCAUUCAUGCUGCUGUAGAGCGUGCCGCUCCGGAUAGAGGAGGGCCGGUGCGACCUCUCAUUGCCUGUGCCAUUGAAGCGGAGUGCUGGCUGCACGCCCGGCUGAACACGCCUCCUCGUCGCAUUCAUACACCCUCAUUAAUCCCGCGUGGAAGUCGAGAAACAUACUUCGUUCCACACGUCCGUUCAUGGGCGGGUCGGCAUUAAAUGCAACGCCGGUCGAGCUCCUACCGUCUGCUGUCUAUUUAAAUGAGGGUAGACGUCGGGCAAGAACCAUACCCCUCCGCCUCCUCCCAAUCUCCUCCACCACUCUUCUGAUGACUUUGGAAGAUCAGUUCUUCGACGCACAAGCCAGCUGGGUGGCCCGCCGAGCCGACCGGAUACGAGCGAGGCAGCUCGCUACUCCACCUCCCGAGCCUCACUUGACGGAGCAAGUUGUCGCCCCAAGCCGCCGCGUGGUUCAGCAACUCGCCGCUCUAGGCCCACUCGAUGAGGAGUGGCUAGUUGCUCGACGCCGUCACAGCGGGGAGCACAGCGGCACGAGCAUCAUCGCUGCCGUCGACGACCGCGCCUCCCACAUCUGCGGCCGCGCCUCCCGUGCCUGCGACCGCGCCAUGCAGGUAGAGGCAGAAGCCGGGUGCACGGAGAGCGACGAAUGGGAGGCCAACGCCUCCACGUCCGUCGCUAUCAUCGAGGAGAAGUAGAACACGGGAGUCUGCCGCCGCUUGGGUCCCACGAAGGACACCGGCGUACACAGCCAAUGUCUUGCCCGGUUCUUCUCUUUCGAGGACCUUCGUCGAUCCCACAUGGGCUUCACGGAAGCACAUGCACCGCCUUCCCCUCCCGCUGAAGCAUCAGCCGGGGGUUCCACUCCGAUGGCUGGUGGGGAAGCGAGCCGUCCUUUGCGCUAAAGCAUAUACCUCCAGGGGUCCCGACAAUCCGGUGAUCGGGCUGCCGGACAUUAGGAAGACAAAUGGAUCCGCGGACGGUGAUUUAGAUUAGGUAUUAAUUAUACCUUCAGAGCUGGAUAUAACACCCUCGAUGCGACUAUAUCUCCCACGCGUCGAGACACGACUUAGAGGCAUAAUCGCAUUGAAGGCAUAUGUCGCAAGUUAGGAAAUCUUCACAACAUCCCAUGUAAUAUAAAUCAUAAGGGGGAGAUAACAUAGUUGGCUUACACUCGCCAUGUCAAUCAAGUACAUAAAUAACAUUACAUCAUCCAAACACUCAUGGCCCGACUACGGCGCCAAAACAAAAGAGAACCCAACAUGCGACACGGUCCCAAUCACCCCCAACUGGGCACCACUACUGAUCAUCGGGAAAGGAAACAUAGUAACGUUGAGAGUCCUCGUCGAACUCCCACUUGAGCUCAAGUGCGUCUCCUGGAGCGGAAUCAUCAGGCCCUACAUCUGAUGUAAUAGUAAUCUGUGAGCCACAAGGACUCAACAAUCUCGCACCCUCGCGAUCAAGACUAUUUAAGCUUAUAGGUAAGGCAAGGUAAAAAUAUGUGGAGCUGCAGCAAGCGACUAGCAAGUAUGGUGGCUAAUCUUAUUCGCAAAAGAGAGCGAGAAGAGGAGGCAAAGCGCGAGCGAGAAACUAGAGAACAACCUGCGCAAGCAUUACUCCAACACCGUGUCCACUUCUCGGACUCCGCCGAGAAGAGGCCAUCACUUUAACACACUCAGUUGAUUCAUUUUAAUUAAGUUAAGGUUCAAGUUAUCUACAACCGGACAUUAACAAAUUCCCAUCUGCCCAUAACCGCGGGCACGGCUUUCGAAAGUUCAAAUCCCUGCAGGGGAGUCCCAACUUAGCCCAUGACAAGCUCUCACGGUCAACGAAGGAAUAGACCUCCUCCCAAUACGUUCCGAUCAGACUCGGUAUCUCGGUAAUUCAAGACACUUCGACAGGUUAAAACAAGACCAGCAUCACCGCCCGAAUGUGUCGACAAAUCCCGAUAGGAGCUGCACAUAUCUCGUUCUCAGGGCACACUCAGAUAGGUCAAGCUACGAGUAAAACCAACCCUCAAGUUUCCCCGAGGUGGCCCCGCAGGCUGCCCGGUUCGGACCAACACUCAGAGGGAGCACUGGCCCGGGGGGGGGUUCAAAAUAAGAUGACCCUCGGGCUCCGGAAACCCAAGGGAAAAAGAGGCUACGUGGCAAAUGGUAAAACCAAUGUUGGGCAUUGCUGGAAAAGCUUUAAUCAAGGCGAACUAUCAAGGGGUUCCCAUUAUAACCCAACCGCGUAAGGAACGCAAAAUCCGGGAACAUAACACCGAUAUGACGGAAACUAGGGCGGCAAGAGUGGAACAAAACACUAGGUGAGAGGCCGAGCCUUCCACCCUUUACCAAGUAUAUAGAUGCAUUAAGAUAACAUAGCAAUAUAAUGAUAUCCCAACAAGUAAAUAAAUGUUCCAACAAGGAACGGCCUCCAAUCUUCACCUGCAACUAGCAACGCUAUAAGAGGGGCUGAGCAAAGCGGUAACAUAGCCAAUCAACGGUUUGCUAGGACAUGGUGGGUUAGAUGUUUGACAUGGCAAUUUGGGAGGCUUGAAAGCAAGUGGUAGGCAUCGUAGCAUUGGCAUAGCAAAAGAGCGAGCAAACUAGCAUAGCAAAGAUAGUAGUGAUUUCGAGGGUAUGAUCAUCUUGCCUGCACAGUUGUCAGAGUUGACUGGAUCCUCGAAAGCAAACUCAACGGGCUCCUCGUUAGCGAACUCGUCUCCCGGCUCUACCCAAACAAGACAAACAAGCAACAAGGAUACAAUCAACCACGUGCAAGGAUCAAGCAAUAUGAUGCAAUGAUGAUAUUCUAUGCGGGAUGCAAUGCGGGAUGCAAAAUGCAAGAUAUGACAGGAAAUGCAUGAACCUGGCCUCAACUUGGAAAUAAAAGUAUGCCACUGGAAAGAUGAGAUGAAAUCGCUUGAAAACGAUAUAAAGAACGUCAGAAUCGGAGUUACGGUUUGGAAAUGGCAAGCGAUUCAAAUAUGACACUGGUCUGCGAUUUACAGCAAGUAGCCAACUAAAUGCAACGAAAUAAACAUGCUACAACACCCAAACAUGACAACAAAAUACAUGGCAGGGAUGCCUACAAGAUGCUUAACAAAAGUCUAGCACUGAGUUACGGCCUAAUCAUCCAUUAACAGGUUCAAACAAGCAUGGCAAAAAUGCAUAUGGCAAACAGAUCUCAGACUUAGUGAAAUUAUCACUUGUCUGGAAUUUCAGAUCAGGUUGCACUCUUCGGAGCAACAAAACUACAUGCUACAGGACCUGAACAUGGCAAAGUAAAGCAUGGCAUGGAGCUACUCAAAGAGCUUAACAAAAGUCCCUUAGUGACCUUGAGCUAAAAGGGAUCAGAAAAUACAAUUGCAAGCAUGUGAACAUAGCAAAAACAUAAUCAGUUUUCAGGCUUAGUGAAAAACUGGCACAUGCUGAAAACAUAACUCAAGUAGGCAUGUUUACGAGCUCGAUGCACUCACCACAGUGCAAGUCAUGGCAAGACAAGUAUACACCCAUCAAGAAGGCACAAAAUGCAAGCUAGACAUGGCAAGAACAAUAGCAUAGCAUGCACGGAUCAACUACAACAUCAUCGGCAAAAUUGCAAACAAAUUGACAAUCUGCCCAGAUUCACAAAGUAGCAAAAGUAGAGCUCGAUUGACUCAAGCUAGGGUGCUCCAUAAUUGCAAACAAAGACAUGAAUGGAUAGAGCACUACAAUAUUAACAAAACAUCCUUACUGAUCAUCCUCAAAAGAGGCACGGAUCACUAGGAAACAACAUGAACAUAUGGCAACAUGAGAUAAACAGCUCAAGGAAUUAGUGGAAAUGCUAAGUCCCUGAAAACAGAAUUAACAAGUGCACCACUUUACAAGCUUGCACUAGUCAUCACAUACAUCACAAAAAUACAUGGGUUGCACCUCUGGAAAGAUGACAAAACCCUUAACAAAACAUAUGUAGAGCAUCAGGGCAUAUCAUGCACACAUUAGUCAUGGCAAAAAUGACAAAAACCUAAACGGAUUAGCAGACCUGACAAUUAUCUCAAGUAGCCCUCUUCUAACAGCAUUUCGGGCAUCAAGAUGAACUCAAAUGAAAAUAAUGCAAUGGAAUGAAAUGAUGUACUCUCUGAGAUGAACAUUUUGAUAUGCUAUAUGCAUGAGUCGGAGCUACGGAUGCGAAGUUACGGAGUUACGAACAAGGGCAUAUGGAUCUGCAAUUUCGGGACUUAGAAGAAAAAAACAACCUCUAGCGUUACUGUUCACGGAUCUCAGAUCUGCACGCAAAACGAGGUCGGCCGGGUCCCUCGCCGGAGUUCGUCGCCGGAGAAGAGGGAGGGGCCGGGCCGGAGCUUGGGGGCGACGCCGGCGAGCUCCGGCGGCUCGGGGCGGCGAGGCGGCGGGGUNNNNNNNNNNNNNNNNNNNNNNNNNNNNNNNNNNNNNNNNNNNNNNNNNNNNNNNNNNNNNNNNNNNNNNNNNNNNNNNNNNNNNNNNNNNNNNNNNNNNNNNNNNNNNNNNNNNNNNNNNNNNNNNNNNNNNNNNNNNNNNNNNNNNNNNNNNNNNNNNNNNNNNNNNNNNNNNNNNNNNNNNNNNNNNNNNNNNNNNNNNNNNNNNNNNNNNNNNNNNNNNNNNNNNNNNNNNNNNNNNNNNNNNNNNNNNNNNNNNNNNNNNNNNNNNNNNNNNNNNNNNNNNNNNNNNNNNNNNNNNNNNNNNNNNNCUGGCGGCGGAGGCGAACGGCGGCGCCACGUGGCACGCCCGGAGUGGCUGCGGGCGGGCGGCGCGCAGGUCGGACAUGUCCGGUCCGGCGUGGACAUUGUCCGGCGGCGCGAGGAGCGGAUCUAGGGUUUUUGGACGAGGGGAUCCAGAUUUUUCGGGGAGGGGAUAUAAAUAGGCAUAGGAGGAGCUAGGAGAGUCCAAAUGAGGUGCGGUUUUAGGCCACGCGAUCGUGAUCGAAUGCUCUAGAUGAUGGAACAGAGUUAGGUGGGUUUUGGGCCAAAUUGGAGGGGUGUUGGGCUGCAACACACACGAGGCCUUUUCGGUCCCUCGGUUAACCGUUGGAGUAUCAAACGAAGUCCAAAUGAUACGAAACUUGACAGGCGGUCUACCGGUAGUAAACCAAGGCCGCUUGUCAAGUCUCAGUACAAUCCAGAAAUGUUUAAUCCCUACACACGAAAGAAAGCUAGAAAAGACCACCGGAGGAGAACGAAGCGCCGGAAUGCAAAACGAACAACGGUGAAAAUGCUCGAAUGCAAGAGAUGAACACGUAUGCAAAUGCAAUGCACAUGAUGCCAUGAUAUGAGAUGCAUGACAAUGACAACAACACACGGAGACAAAGACCCGAACCCGAGGAAAUAAAUUAACUUAACGCCGGAAACGGCAAGAGUUGGAGUACAAAUUGGGAAAGUUACAUCCGGAGUGUUACACUGGACUAGCACUGUUAAUGUACUGAAAUCCGGCAUAUUUAUAUGAAAAUCCGGCUUUUUAUAUGAAAUCCAUCAUGUUUGCGUGAAAGCCGGCCGUGUUUGCACGAAUUUCGUCAGGUUCUUGAGUUGUUGUGAAAAUGUAUGUGGCUAGCGUUGGAUGACUGCCCUGUGCAUCCGUGUCUGCGGACUGGUCCUUCCCAGUCUGCGGAUGAAUGCGGGAGAUUUUUUGCGGGUUACCACUAAAGAUGCCCUCAAUAAAGAGUGUUAUAAGUUCUGAUGUACGUUCCACCGAACACUUGAGGUCUUAAAAAUGCGUCAAUUUUGCUGAAAGGUGAGCCACUUUCUUUGGUCUGCCCUUAUUCUUUCUUUCAUUCCAUAAUAUAGAAGUGUCUUUAACACUAGUUGAAGGGCGUAAUUAUUGAAGCAUAUUUUGACUGGUUAACACAAGACGAAGUAGUGUGUUCGCGUCCUUUAGAUGUUAAAAGUUACAUUUUCCCGAGGCUUUUGUAACACAAAGCUCUUGGGGCCUGCUCCAAGUAGUAAGCCAGUAAUGUGUCGACACGUUGCAGGAGUAGAAACUUGGUGACGGCUGGACUCUNNNNNNNNNNNNNNNNNNNNNNNNNNNNNNNNNNNNNNNNNNNNNNNNNNNNNNNNNNNNNNNNNNNNNNNNNNNNNNNNNNNNNNNNNNNNNNNNNNNNNNNNNNNNNNNNNNNNNNNNNNNNNNNNNNNNNNNNNNNNNNNNNNNNNNNNNNNNNNNNNNNNNNNNNNNNNNNNNNNNNNNNNNNNNNNNNNNNNNNNNNNNNNNNNNNNNNNNNNNNNNNNNNNNNNNACAAAAACAGGCGUGGCACCAAGUCGAGCUACAACCCAGCAAACUUUCACCGUUGUCACCCUGGAUUUUUUGUCGAAAAGGAUCACCUUCUCGAUGGAAUAGACAAAAAAGACCCCUUUUGAAUAAAAUUGACAGAAAAGACCCCCUGAGCCGUGGCGGCAGGUGCGCCAGCUGACACGUGGCACCUGCCGCCACGGCGCGAGGCGGCAGCCCCUGCCGCCAGCCGGUCAGGCGGCAGGCUGCCCAUAACAGUGAGCGGCAAAUCGCUACGGAACGGAGGCUGGUGGUUGGCCCUGCCACCUCGUCCGGUGGUGGACUGUUUCUGCUGCUCACGGGCUACGGAACCAAAACGCAUGCAUGCAUGUGGUAGCAGGGCUAAUGAUCGUUGCAUGUGCUAGUACAUCGUGGCAGUUAGCUUGCUACCCCUGAAAAUGAAAAGUCAACUAACCGAUCAACUUGUGUACGCACAAUAUGAGCCUGUGUAUUUCUCUUCUUUUAUUGAAUGAGCCUUUGUAUUUCUAAAACACGUGCGCGUAUAACCUGCAUUUAAAAUCAAUGAAGAUCCAAAAUAAGCUCUACUACUUCUCUAAAACAAAACUUCCUCUCUCAUAUGAUACUGCCGAAUCAUCACCGCAAAUAGGGAGCGCCAUGCAAAAAAACGCCAUGUACACACCGGUGUAGAGGCUGGAAGGCGCAGAGGAGAAAUAGUAGGGAGCAUCACCAUCGUCACAUCGGCCAGAAAAUCGGGGAACGGAUCUCUGAUCCGUACCUGCUUGAGUCGUCGCCGGCCACCGCCGAUCCCGAGCCCGUCGUUGAUGCCACCGCGUUGGAUAAGCCCCAAUCGCCCAACUCCUUGCGCCGCCGCGUCCCGCCCUCGCAAAUCCAGCCGCUCACACUCCCAGCCACACAAGCCCACGCUGCUGUGGGAUGAAACACUCUUCUAUUAUUCAGUUGUCUUGAAACAAGAGGUGAGUUGCAGGAAACGGACGUGCCUCCAGCGGACGCGGGAGUGCUCUCGGCCGUCUGAUAAAACACAGAUCAGACGGCCACAAAGCCGGCGGACAGGCGCGCGCGAUCAGCCGGCAGAAGGUAAGCUUUUCUCAUAUUCUUUUAGGGUAUUUUCAUCCCGUCACUCUCUUAAUUAUCUGAUCCACGGACAAUUGGAUAUCUACCCUUCUCAACUUAGGGCAUCUCUUUCCCCUUAAAAAAAACUUAGGGCAUCUCACAGAACUCAAACCUCCCGCAAUCGUCUGGAUCGAUCUGUUUCGAUGCUCUCAUUUAUUUAUUUAUUCACCUCACAUUGCAUAUUUUGGAUCUUCGAUGGUUUUAAGUGCAGGUUAUACCCGCACGUAUUUUAAAAAUACAAGGGCUUGUAUUGUGCAUACACUAGUGCGAUGCAUGCAUGGCAAAGCUAGCUGUCCAGAGGCCACGACGUACUAGCACAUGCAUGCAUCAGGUCUUGCUGCAGCUAGCAGCAGUCCUGCCGCCACCGGACGAGGCGGCAGUGCCCACCACCGGCCUCCGUUCCGUAGCGAUUAGCCGCUCGCUGUUAUGGGCAGCCUGCCGCCUGGCUGGCUGGCGGCAGGGGCUGCCGUCUUUCCCGGUGGCGGCAGGUGCCGCGUGCCGGCCGCCGCGCCUGCCGCCACGGUUCAGGGGUCUUUUUUGCCAAUUUUAUUCAGAGGAGGUCUUUUUUGGCAAUUCUGUUGAGAAGGAGGUCUUUUUUGACAAAAAAUCGUCACCCUGCCCCGCACCCUCCCAUUCCCCGCUGGUUGAUUUUGGCCGCCGGCUGGUCGGCCAUCCUGAGCCCCGCCGCUCGGGGCCAUCUACUGCAACCUCCAAGACAGCCGUCGCCACUUGGUCACGCUGAUCUCCUCCCUUCACGCACCCUCCUCCCCCCUUCCCCCCUCCGGUUUUCCGAGCUAUGGCGCCGUGCCGGUCAGAGCCCGCAUCCUCGCCAUCGGGUCCGCAUCCCGAUAGCCCGACAUAAUCGUUCCCUGAGUUCCGCUGUCGCCACCUCCCGCUUCGGCCGACGCGCGACGAUUCCGCCCGAUUCAGGCCUCCCACCGACAUCUUUAUGUUCCAUGUGGUUCUGGAAAUGUGGGUAUCAAUUUUAGGUAUAUAUGUUGUAAAAGCAGAAUCUUUUUGCCUACCCAAAUCUUCACUCAUGUACCUAGAAAAUGAAUUGAGGUACUCAAAAUUUAUGCAUCGCUGUCCCUUCUUCUAGGACAUCCCAUAAAAAAAUAUACUACUACUCACUUGCUCACUUGCUCAGCGCCCCCUCCCCGUCUCCCCCAUUUGGACAUUUCGGCCUUUCGCCUCCUCGAUCACGUGAUCAUCUCCUCUGCUCUGCCCCCCGCCCGGCCACAGCGCCGUACACUACACAGCAAGGCGGCGGCUCGCCUCACCCAGCGCCGCCGCGGACCGCAAGGUGAGCCCGGACCCUCCCUCGCCCAUCGUUCGUGGUCCGUCUCCUCCCCGCCCCUUCCUUUGAGCGACAUUGGACUGAUCCUCUCGGGGCCUUAAAACCUAGGUUGGUUGUGGCGGCGUCUGCCAGCGGCGGCCAUCCAUGGAUUCCGGCGAUGCGCCUGAACGGUACGUGAUGCCCAACCCCUCCUCUUUCCGUCUGUUGAGAUCUCGCUCUACGCCCUGCGAAAUCAAGGAACGCGCCAGCUGCCUGCAAUUUAGCGCCUUUCUUUUCCGAUUUUGGCAGGAUUCGCGAGGAAACGGGUUCUAGGAGCAGAGACGGCCUGCCUCAGCGUGACGCGACUGGAGCAGGUCCAGAUGCUAAUCGCCAUGGGGGAGACCGCGUCCUUACCAAGCGCCUGAAGGAUGAAUCGCCUGACACAUCGGAGCCACCGCCGUCACGGCUGAAGAAGGCUGUGGAGCUGGAGCCUCACCCCGUUCAGAACAGAGACGAGCAGUUCGUCCUUACCAAGUGCCUGAAGGAUGAAUCGCCUGACACAUCGGAGCCACCGCCGUCACGGCUGAAGAAGGCUGUGGAGCUGGAGCCCCACUCCGCUCAGAACAGAGACGAGCAGUUCGUCUGGCCCUGGAUGGGAGUGUUGGUCAAUGUGCCUACUGAGUGGAAAGGAGGGCGCCAGGUCGGGGAAAGUGGGAACCGCCUGAAGGAGCAGCUCUUGGCCUUUUGCCCGCACAAGGUCAUUCCUUUGUGGAACUAUAGAGGCCACACCGGGAACGCCAUCGUUGAGUUUGGAAAAGACUAUGCUUCUUUCUGCAAUGCCUUCAAGUUUGAGAACCACUUUGAGGCAGAAGGACAUGGCAAGCGGGACUGGGAGCAGCGCAAGUAUCAAGGGCGCGAGAUGUUUGGAUGGGUUGCAAGGGCUGAUGAUCAGAGAGCCCCGGGACCGAUCGGGGAGCAUCUGCAGAAAAAUGGUGAUCUGAAAACCGUUGCAGAACUUGAGAAUGAAGGAACGCGCAAAACCGACAAGCUGGUAGCUAAUUUAGCCAGCGCAAUUGAGGUAAAGACCAAGCAUGCCCAAGAACUUGAAUGCAAGUACAAUGAGACAACCACCUCACUUGACAAGGUGAUGGAAGAAAAGGAGCUGGUCCUCCAGAGAUACAAUGAUGGUUGGUCUGCAAUCUUUUGCUGUUUAUAUGUUCUGUUAUGGUAGAACAGCAUAUGUGCAUUUAUCUCCUUUGAGCAUUGGGGCCUUUCCCUUUCAGUUAUCUAAUUAUGCAUUUUGAACUUGCAUUAUCACCAGAAAUCCGCAAGAUGCAGCAACUUGCUCGUAGGCAUUCUCAGAUGAUCCUUAAUGAGAAUCAGAAGCUUCGUUCGGAACUGGAGGCGAAGAUGCAGGAUCUUGAAUUCAAAUCCAGGCAGCUUGAUGAGCUUGCUGUGCGAAGUGACUCGGAUAGAAGGAACCUUGAGAAAGAGAAGGAGAAGGUGCGUGUCCAUUGUCACCGAUAAAGAAUUAUGGAAGUUAGUUUUUUGUGUCCUCUCCUUUUGUUUGUUUUCAAGUAUGGUUGAUUGUUUCUGUGCUUCUUUUAAAUAGCAUCUUUCUGUUUACUAGUAACUAGCUGGAUGACCUGUGCAUAUGCGCGGCUAGAAUUACUACAUGGCAUUAAUAUUGGAAUUUUCUUCUCCUUCCUAUUUGUAAAUGAAUGAUCCACGAUUUAAUUCAUGCCACAUUCAUUAAUAUUUGUAUGUCUUUCUAAUAUAGAAAAUAACGGUAGCCACUAGCGAGUGUAUUUUAUUUAACAAAGGAAGACUGUUAGCAUUGAGAUCCGUGGCCCACUAUAUACAGAACAAUAGACUUUCUUACUAACCUCUAAUUUUACCUCAUCCACUCUUGUUUAUCUCAUGUUCCCUAUCUUACUGAGAAUAUAUUUUUUCCGUAUUCUCCAGCAUGAAUUAAAUUCAAACGUGGGGCACCAGUACUUAAACAUCGUGUUCUGGUUUUUUAGUUGUCCUUUUAUCUAAUGCAAAUAUCAUGCCUUCUGAUGCUUCCAUGCAUCCUCUAUUGCUCUAGUUGUUUCUGUCAUCUACCCAUCUAAGGCAUGUCAUUAUCUGGGCAUAUUUAUUCAAAAUUGCUACAAUAUUUUCUCUUGUGGUAGUUUCUUCUCCUGUUGUACACAUGCUGUAUUGCAUAGGCUUAUAUUUUUCAGCACGGCUGAAACUACAUACUAGAUACUCACGUGAUUUGUUGCGUCCCAUAUUUACUUUGACAACAAUGACACCAUUUUGCAUUUUAUAUACUAUGUAUUUUCGCUUACACACAAUGCAUUACCAUCGACCAUUCUUACCUGAUGGCAUGCAUGCUCUGUAUGUGGUCCUUAUGCAUGCUUAGACUUAUGAUCCUUUCCAAUCUACCACUUCUCUCUGUCUUUUUUAGUUGCUGUAAACUUUUGACCGCCAAUCCAUAUGUGCAUGCAUGGUUAUAGAACUAUGCACCCGAUGCAUGUACUUAGAUCCAUGGCAUGUUACACUAAAAUUGCUGGCCUUAUUUUACACAAUUUCAUAGUAAUCUACACCGUUGCGAUCUGAUAUUACCAAAAUAAAUGCUUUAAGUAGAUACUUUCUUCUAGUGCAUAAACACCGUUAUAGUACAUUCAUCAAAAUAACCUUCGUAGCGUUUCCUAUUACUCUGAAAUACAUCAAAAUAUGUGAUGUAGAUAUUCUAUUUUUUUAUAGAAGCAAUCAAAGAUGUUAUCAUGUUGGCCAUUAGAAGUAAAUGCUGUGAACCUUUCUUUCUUAACGCUUUGCGUACUAGUAUCGCUAUUGAAUCUGCAGAAAGUAUUUCUAUAUUGUUCAGUCGAGAUCUACUGACAGUUUUUGUUGCACUUUUCUUGCGUUUGACAUGUAGUUUUGAGAUGCGCGGGUUUUUAUAUUUUCCAGAACUUGAUCAGUUCGACAUUACUAUUCAUUUGCACUUUGCUCAAAUUUCUAAGAGUAGUAGCCUGAACUCUGAAGUUGACGCGUAGUACAAAUUGGGAUGCAUGACGUUUCGUAAUUUGACUCCUAAGCUGAUUCAAGUGUGCGGGCUCUGAUUUUUCACGAGGAGUAUGCCUUAAUUGAGAUGCAUUGGUGACUUUCCCUAUUCGAUUCCUAAGCUGAUUUAAGCGUACAUGCUCUUAUUUUGAGAGGAGCACACGUAUGGGAUUCUGAUUCAGAUGUACAUAAAUUCUUUCCUAGUUUUAUCUUACAGUUCUAUACCAAGCACUAUUGUCAGUUGAAAUUGGUCUAUGGUUUUGUGCGCGUGCGUCCAUCUGAACGUCUUAGUUUUUGUUGUUAAGUUGAUCUUGAUGAAUCUCUACUGUCCGAUUUUUCUAACCUUAAAUUGGUGAAUCUUCACCUUUCAUUUCAUGUUGGUUUAACAAUAUAAUAAAUAGAUUCAUAUCAUUGCAUUUUUCUUAUUUUUGUCGUCACUCGAAAUUCCACUCUUGGACGGCAAUAGAUUGCAGAGAGGUUUAACAGUAGGACAAUUUCAGCAAAAUGCACGUAAUUUGUUUUUUACUUCUAGAGAGGGCAUGACGGUAGGCGUGAAAUGUAGAUGCCACUCUUGGACGUAAUGCUGUGAACCUUUCUUUCUUAACGCUGUGCGUACUAGUAUCGCUAUUGAAUCUGCAGAAAGUAUUUCUAUAUUGUUCAGUCGAGAUCUACUGACAGUUUUUGUUAGACUUUUCUUGCGUUUGACAUGUAGUUUUGAGAUGCGUGGGUUUUUAUAUUUUCCAGAACUUGAUCAGUUCGACAUUACUAUUCAUUUGCACUUUGCUCAAAUUUCUAAGAGUAGUAGCCUGAACUCUGAAGUUGACGUGUAGUACAAAUUGGGAUGCAUGACGUUUCGUAAUUUGACUCCUAAGCUGAUUCAAGUGUGCGGGCUCUGAUUUUUCACGAGGAGUAUGCCUUAAUUGAGAUGCAUUGGUGACUUUCCCUAUUCGAUUCCUAAGCUGAUUUAAGCGUACAUGCUCUUAUUUUGAGAGGAGCACGCGUAUGGGAUUCUGAUUCAGAUGUACAUAAGUUCUUUCCUAGUUUUAUCUUACAGUUCUAUACCAAGCACUAUUGUCAGUUGAAAUUGGUCUAUGGUUUUGUGCGCGUGCGUCCAUCUGAACGUCUUAGUUUUUGUUGUUAAGUUGAUCUUGAUGAAUCUCUACUGUCCAAUUUUUCUAACCUUAAAUUGGUGAAUCUUCACCUUUCAUUUCAUGUUGGUUUAACAAUAUAAUAAAUAGAUUCCUAUAAUUGCAUUUUUCUUAUUUUUGUCGUCACUCGAAAUUCCACUCUUGGACGGCAAUAGAUUGCAGAGAGGUUUAACAGUAGGACAAUUUCAACAAAAUGCACGUAAUUUGUUUUUUUACUUCUAGAGAGGGCAUGACAGUAGGCGUGAAAUGUAGAUGCCNNNNNNNNNNNNNNNNNNNNNNNNNNNNNNNNNNNNNNNNNNNNNNNNNNNNNNNNNNNNNNNNNNNNNNNNNNNNNNNNNNNNNNNNNNNNNNNNNNNNNNNNNNNNNNNNNNNNNNNNNNNNNNNNNNNNNNNNNNNNNNNNNNNNNNNNNNNNNNNNNNNNNNNNNNNNNNNNNNNNNNNNNNNNNNNNNNNNNNNNNNNNNNNNNNNNNNNNNNNNNNNNNNNNNNNNNNNNNNNNNNNNNNNNNNNNNNNNNNNNNNNNNNNNNNNNNNNNNNNNNNNNNNNNNNNNNNNNNNNNNNNNNNNNNNNNNNNNNNNNNNNNNNNNNNNNNNNNNNNNNNNNNNNNNNNNNNNNNNNNNNNNNNNNNNNNNNNNNNNNNNNNNNNNNNNNNNNNNNNAAUACAGAAUGAGAUCAAAGCAAAGUAUCUUAAGAUGGCAACGUCGGAGCAACAGAGGGCAGAUGAAAAUGUGCUGAAGCUUGUGGCAAAACACAAGGUUUGUGCCUUACUAUAUAUUGUUUUACUUGAGGUUUUGAGAUACUAAUAUCUAUGACUGUCUUCCUGUGCUGAAAAUGGCAAACUGCAGAGGGAGAAAAAGGCUGCUCUAGAUGAGAUUAUCAAGUUAGAGCAGAAACUGGAUGCCAAACAGAAGCUUGAGCUAGAAAUAAAACAGUUGCAGGGAAAAUUGGAAGUGAUGAAGCAUAUGCCAGGUGAAGAAGACUCUGAAUCAAAGAGGAAAAUAGAUGAACUUAGUGCCGAGCUUCAGGACAAGUAUGAUGAAAUGGAUGCAGUGGAAGCACUCCACCACACUCUGCUUAUGAAGGAAAGGAUAAGCAACGAUGAGUUGCAAGAUGCUCGGAAGAAGCUAAUAGAUGUAAGUUAUCUCAUCGAUUGAGUACUUGGAUUUGUCUAGUAUUAUGUUUGAAUUACAUUUCAAAGCUAUCUAUUGCAUAUGCUGCAGGGUCUGCGGGAUGUUACAACUGCCCGAGCAACUAUAGGCGUUAAAAGAAUGGGUGAUCUUGACCUGAAAUCAUUUGCUAAGGCUUGCAAAGGUAAAAUGUCAGAAGAAGAUGCAGAAGUAACUGCUUCCAUUCUUUGUUCAAAGUGGGAAGAGGAGAUUAAAAAUCCAGAAUGGCACCCUUUUAAAGUUAUCAUGGUCGAGGGCAGAGAGAAGGUAGUAAUAUCUUCGCUCUUGCUUUUAUACACUUGAUGUUCUCUAAUAGCUUGUAACUCGAGUUAUCAAUUUCACAUUGAAUUUCCUGUUCUGCAAACAUUAACUCGGUUCAUCUAUUCAUAAGUAAAUUGUGGUGAGAGCUGAAAAUUGGAGACACAAAGUUUAAUUUACUGCCCUGCAUAUUCUUACAUUAAUCUAAAGGGACAAAAGUAGCAGAAAUUCUCACAUUAAUAAUGGAAAGGGAAAAUACUUAAUCUGUUGAUCAAAAGUAUUAUCAACCAUAGAUAGCGAGAGAAAGAACAUUCCAUAAUACAAACAUUGGACUUACUGAGUUAAGGGCUCCGGAUAGUGUUAUCAUUUCUGAAUCUUGCUGUGUUUGAGCCUGACCCAGAAACAUUUGUUACAUUACUAAUCAGGUCCUUUCUGUUUCCUCCAUCUGUUACUUCCUUGGUCCUUCAUUACAUGCAAAUAAGAGUGGAGGAAACAAGAAAACGUCAGCCACCAAUUGUAACCAGCCAAGGGGCUAUAUUCUUGUGUAAUUUUUAAUCUAGUUUUUUCAUGGGAGUUAUAAAUAUCUUGUUUUUCAUGGCAUAGUGUCAACUGUGGAUGUAAGCUACCGCACGAUAUCUUUUACAGCUAACCAAUUAGAAAGUCAAUUAGGCUAUGCCAUAAAUAAUUUUCUUUUGUGCAAUAGCAAAUAUUGGAUUCUUGAUGAAGGAAUCUGAAAAAUUAGCCAUAUGUAUCUAUGCUUGUUGUGAAUGUUAGAUAAGUUUCAUUUACUUGAUUUAGCAGCUUGUGGAGAGCUUGGUCAUAUGCAUAUAUUUGUGCAACUUCAAUGCUAGGAAGCUAGAUUUUUGAGUUCCUGUGUGCAAAACCUUAUGUUGAUGUUAGCUGCUCUUGAUUGAGAUAUAUAGCAUCUAAUUAAAUAAAUGGUGACUUGUAUCUAUUCAAGACUCUCUUUCUUCCAUUUAUUGUUUUUCUUUGAAGCUGAUGGUCAGUUCUAUACCAGUUAAGUUAUAUUUAAUUCGCAAGCUUUUUGGAAAGAUAGUACAUCUAGCAUUUGCUCAUGGAGUAACCAAACUUCUUACUGAUAAAAAGCUUGCCACUCAGUAUCCACAUUGCCGGAUGCUAAUAACUCCCCCUCUCCUAGAAGUUUAUGAUAGGGACGCUUUUAUGAUAUUCCUUAGUCAAUUAAAAGUUGGUUCUCAGUUCCUAGCUUGGUUAAGCUGGACACAACAUGUCUUGGCUGUUGGAAUUUGACAUGAUACUUGAUACAUGGAGCUCAAAGCCCUCCUGUCAUCUGCAAACAAUGUUUGCCCCCUGAACUUUUUGUAGCAUGCUUGUUCCACAUGCAUGGAAAGGUCAUUGUGUAUGUAUAUUUGAUAUACUGGUUUAUUAAUGCAGUCAUGCAUUACUAUGUAAUGAAGCAGGCGUGUCUUACAUUAUUUCACACACAUAAAUUAUUUUUGUUCAUCCAUGUUUUGUUAUACUGUGGCAGCAUUUAGACACUACAUAGCUCCUAUAUGAAUACUUUGCUAAAUUCACAGCACAAGAUCGUUGAUCACUGUCUGUCUUAGGCAUAUUUGUGGAGCGCACGAAGUUUUGAAGCUUUUGGUGCCUGUUUUAUCUUACAUGUUUAAAAUGGAGUAGUAUGUUUAUCUAAUGGUGUGUGCGUUGAUGUUAGGAAAUUCUCCGUGAGGAUGACGAGAAGCUGCAGGAACUGAAAGAAGAGCAUGGUGAGGAAGUCUAUGGGUUGGUGACAAAGGCUUUGCUUGAAGUGAAUGAGUACAACCCUAGCGGCCGCUAUUCCGUGCCGGAGCUGUGGAACUACAAAGAGAAUAGGAAGGCAACCCUGAAAGAAGUGGUCCAGUACGUGCUGAGGCAGUGGCGCACACAGAAGCGGAAGCGCUGAGCCCAAGUACCUAGGUUCCUGAAGCAGUGAAGUAGUGAAGUAGAAGUGUAUUGAUCUUAUAUUGUAAUGAACUCGUGAAUGUUGGUGAUUGGUUUAGCUGUGGAUCAUUCAGCCUUGACCCUGGCCCUGGUUGGUAUAGCAUUGACAUGAAUGCUGGUAAUUGGAGAUUGUGAACUGUCCUGUUAGGAUAAUGUAUUCUGUACCAAGCUAUGAAGUAACUGUCACUGAUUUCAGCGACAGUUAAAUCCGAAGUGAGUAUUAGUUAGUUAUAUAGCACGAGAAACUUUCAGCGAUGUGUCGGCGCUACAACUACAGUUUUCCGCAAUGUGCUGUUGUCUAGAUUGGCGCCUGAUCGUUCAUGCCCAGAUUUCCGCGAUGACUGCGCGCCCAAGUCGAAGCAGGUCACCGCUUGAUCAUGUUUUAUAACCCACCACCGAAGGCAAGGAUUCCUUGAAUUAUCUCUCGUCACAGAGCAACUAGGUACAUCCACGGUUGGAACAAGCCACACUCACAUCAAGCACACCUCAUCCUCAUGCAAACACAGAGUAGCAACUUGAGGUAAACAUUACAGCACUCACUACAGAACCAUCAGAGAUAUUCAGGUUAGCUCUCCAAAAACGUGUGCCUGCCUGCAUUCAUGCGCCGCGCGUGUGUGUUGACUGUUGAAGACCUCAGUUGCGAGCGCCUAUAAUUGAUGUAACAACAAAAUACAGCCUGAUUAGAACAAGUGAAGAUGUAGUCCAAUAGUAACACAUAGCAACAGUCAGAGUGUAGUAAUAAAAUCAGGCUGUACAUUUCAUUCAAGCGAUUAAGUUCUUAAAGCUGAGCCACACUACAUAACAGUAUAUAAGAUGGCUUACUGGAUUCACUAAGCAAGGUAGAUUAUUCAGCUAGUGUUGUCGGACUGAAAUGCCAUACAUAGUGUGCUAAUAGCCUCACCAGGAGUUGACUCCCGGUAGCCUGAACUAAACGCCUGUGCGGGAUCUUCUUAUAUCAAUUAACAGAAGGUGUGCACACGACAUGAAGCAAGCUGGUUACAGAAGCCAUCUAAUACGAGGCUAGAUUCAUCAAUACCAGCAAGUAUGGUAUUGGCAGGCGCUAACUAAGGAUCUGUCAAUGAUCUUCAGAAAUGAAACGCAAAACACAGAAAGUAGGCCACUUUAAGACGAUGGAUUGCUCGAUCUAGAAGUACUGUAGCUAGGGUUCUUAGCCAGCCAAGAGAUGGAUCUCACCGACCCCGAAUGGUGCUUAAAUAGCAAGGGAAAGUAGCUAAAAAGUAAUAAAGCAGAAAAGCAGCGAUGCAUAAAGUUUGGUAACAAGUGGGCCAGAUUAUGUAACAAUAUAUAUGAUGAGUUAGUGGGUUCACUAAGCAAGGUAUAUUAUUCAGCUACUGUAGUGGGUACGCUAACAGCAUCACUAGAAGUUAACUUGUAGAAGCCUGAAAUAAACAAUGGUGUGGGAUCUUAUAUUAGUAGAUAGACAAGGUGUGUACACAACAUGUAGCAACUUGGUACAGCAGCAGCCACAAGGAACAUAACUAGACAUAACAGGGUGCUUGAAAACUGUGACAAAACAGAGUAAUGCGCAGAAAAUAUGAACAUACAAGAAGCAGAGCAAUCAUUCAACAAAAUGUGUAGUAGCUUUGUGCAAAGUGAAAACUGAGAAACAUGCAACCCCUAGUAUUCUGAAUGUCAAGGCUCACAGUUGGUCAACCAUAUCUAGUUGUCAUGCAGUUGAAACUUUGAAGAUAUAGCAUCUCCAGAAUUCAUGCUAAUAACUCAAUCAACUCUCUCGAAACAGGCUUUCACCCCCGCUUUUAUAUAUAAAGCAACAACCGAACAAAGUACACGGCCGAAUGAUACAAGGUGGAGAGGUAGUCCUCUUACAAAGCCGAUCCCAGAAUAAACGGAUCACCAAUGGUACCGACGAAAAAGCACAGGAGGACCGAGUACAACGCCAUGCUACGCCCUAUACACCUAAGCUCCACGACAACGCCCUCAGAGGGAUGCCGGCGCCAAGCGUCGCCGCUGUCGAGUCCACAAUGGACAAAGGUUUUCACCUGGAACCCGGACACGGAUGGGAACACCACGACGACGUCUUCAAGAAGAGAGCGGCACCCUUGAGCGUCACCAUCGUCGGCGCCAGAGCGCAGAGCUUUCGGCCGGUAGUUCUCGCGUGUCACCACAAGGUCUUCAGAAGAAGCAUGACAAGCUCAAGUCCCCAGAUCCGGAUCGAGACGCCCCCACGGAGACCGAGAGCGCGCCCGAGCUACCUUGCGCCAAGCCUCUCGCCGCCCACACGACCAAGAGACAAUGCCACCACCGCCGCCAUGAUGCCUGCCGGAGAGCCAACCAUGCGGACCACCUUCCAGGGCCGCCGCCCCGGCAUCCAUGCCACGCGACAAAGCCAACCGUCCGCUUCACCGUGCACAAACCGUGGUUAGAGAAGCCCGGCAUCAGCCCCCAGGGCAGGGUCAGCGCCACCACCAUAGGGGCACCCACGCCUGAAGUCCCCUCCUANNNNNNNNNNNNNNNNNNNNNNNNNNNNNNNNNNNNNNNNNNNNNNNNNNNNNNNNNNNNNNNNNNNNNNNNNNNNNNNNNNNNNNNNNNNNNNNNNNNNNNNNNNNNNNNNNNNNNNNNNNNNNNNNNNNNNNNNNNNNNNNNNNNNNNNNNNNNNNNNNNNNNNNNNNNNNNNNNNNNNNNNNNNNNNNNNNNNNNNNNNNNNNNNNNNNNNNNNNNNNNNNNNNNGUGGCUACCGACGGCCAUCGUCGAGCCAUCAACUCAGAGGAUGCCAAAUCCGUGGCCUACGACAUAGAUCUGACUGCUGGCACAACACUGUCCUGACCACCACCACCACGGUCCUUCAUCAACGCCAUAACGAGAAGACGCCCCCCAAUUGAACCACAAGCUCCCAUCUUGACCGGAACGGAGGCGGCCCAGAGCCGUGCACCGACUCCAGGGCGACCGAACGUUGGACGCCGCGCAAGGAGCGACGAGCCCCGGGUAGGAGGACCGCGUCAAACUCUCGCACCGGAUGCCAGUCCGCGUUGCCGGCCAACUACCAGCCAACGCAUCCGGGGAUCUGGGCAUACCGGAUCCAGAUGAGAGGCCGCCAAGGCAGCCGGCAGUCCGGCCGCCGAGCAGCCGCAUCCACGGUGCCAGCCCCGCGCCCCCUCGGCUCUCCACGCAUCGUCCUGCCACCGCCGCCCGAGGCCAAGGCGUCCACCGUCCACCCGCUGACCAGCCUCCACCCGCCCGUGAGAAGAGCCGCCGGCUACCUUGCUGCCAACAGCCGCCGUCCGACGCCCAGGAAGCGCCAGGCCGCGCCGCCCACAGCCCUCAUCGCAUCAGCCCCUCACACGCUAGAUCCACACCGCCAGAGCUCGCCCGACACGAUCCUCCACCGUCCAUGCCGCCACCACGCCAGCAGCCUCCAGCGCACCCGCGCGGCGUCGCGUCGCGGUGCCCGUGCCGCACCUCUGCCUAUGGGGGAUCGAGAGGGCCCCGCCGCCGCCGGCCCGGACGAGCUUUGCCCGGCCAAACCCUUUGGCGGCGACGGGAGAGGAUAGGGCUGGAAAAAAAGCUCGAAGCUCGUGAGCUAAAUGAGUAGCUCGUGACUCGGCUCGAAUCGACUCGAACUCGAAGAAUAACGAGUCGAGCCGAGCUUUAGUUUAAGAUCGUUUAUAGACCAAGUUAAACGAGCCAAUCUCACGAGUACUCGUGUAACUCGUUAGGCUUGGUACAAAAGAUCAGCUACUUCCAAUAUAAAAAAAGAACAGCCACUCAGCACCCUAUGUCCCAGGCGCACAACACAAGGCCUAGCCGUUGAAGGCCCAACCGCCUAGGAGACUCAUGUGUUACAAGGAAAUUACUAUUGUUUAGUGAUAUAUAUGUUUAAUAUAUACAUAAUAAUUUUUAUAAUGGUUUUAUGUUCAUAUCUUUAACGAGCUUAACAAGCUAAACGAGCCAGCUCGCGAGUUAUACGAGUCGAGCCAAUCUUGGAUUUGAGCUCGUUAAUGAUAACGAGUCGAGUCGAGCUAGCUCGUUAACGAAACGAGCUCUAGCGAGUCAAGCCGAGCUGGCUCGACUCGGCUCGAAUUCCAGCCCUAGGAGAGGAGGAGGGAGGGUGGGGAGCUCGGCAGCGGCCGCCUAGGGUUCCCUCCCCGCCGCCACGCGGGGGCGGCGCGGGAGGGAGAGGAGAGUACAAUCAAUCAGCCCUGUUGGUCUUGUCUCCUACGGUGAACUUAAUUACGCUACUCAAUCAACUAGAAGUUAGUAGUUUCCAUACCUGCACAUAAAGCUUCAUAUAUCAUAAUCGAAGAACUCGGGAAAACCACGGAGUGAAAUACACUGCUAGAUGGUCAUGACAAAUCAUGAUGACAAGCAUUACGCAACCAGCAAGCAAUAAAACAUGCUGCCAUAUGGUCAUGUUGUACAACACCACUAGUUACCACAACAAUUCAAGCUAAUCAUCCUACUAGAAUAUGAGAACUACCCAAUUUUCAGAACCACAUUAUGUAAAAGUAUAUAUGAUGACUUAGUGGGUUCGCUUAGUAAGGUAAAUUAUUCAGCUAUUGUAGUGGACUUAAAUGCCAUAGUACGCUAACAGCCUCACUAGAAGUUAACUUCUGGAAGUCUUAAAUAAACAAUGGUGUGGGAUCUUAUAUCAGUAGAUAGAACAUGAAGCGUGACUUUUUCUCAAAAUAAAAACAUAAAGCAACCUGGCAGAGCAGCCACAAGGUGCAUAACUAGAUAUAACAGGGUGCUUGAACACUACGAAAAAAACAGUAUAUCCGCAGAAAAUAUCAACAUACAAGAAGCAAAGCAAUCAAUCAAUGAAAUGUAUAGUAGAUAUGUGCAAACUUAAAACUGAGAAACAUGUCAAGCCUCACAGCUGGUCGACUAUGUUUGGUGGUCAUGCAGUUGCAACUUGAAAGAUAUAACAUCCCCAAAAUUCAUGCUAAAUCAAUAAACCUAGUUUCCAUAGGUGCACAUAGAGCUUCAAAUUUCAAACACCAGGAGAGUAAAAUGCACUGCUAGAUGGCCGUGACUCAUGAUCAAUCAUGAUGACAGGCAAUAUGCAACCAGCAACCAAUAAAAAUUAUGCUGCCAGAUGGUCACAUAUAUUGUACCACUAGUUACUUCAGCUAUUCAAGCUAAUCAUUCUAGUAUAAUCUGGGAACUACACAAUGUUCAGAUAACAUAUGCAGAACAAUUCUAAAGCAGUGCAGUACAUGUAGAUGCUGGAGAAUGAUACUAACCAUCUACAUUAGAGGAUUUCAACUGGUGCAAAAGGGUCAUCCUCAGAAAACUUUGCUCCCCGCUGAGAGGUCCAGCAUCUGCCUCCCUCAGUACCAGUACUCUCAUAGGCAGAAAUCUUACAUUCACUGGAUAGCAUCUCAUCCACAGACCUUGAAAUGAGUCUUGGAUUGGUCAUCAAACUGAAGAAUGGAAAGAUGGGAUCUGAGACACGUACCAUGGAGUAGAUUGGGCAUGGAUGCUGGUCAGUUGGUCGGCCGUUUCGUUUCGUCGAGCAGCUGGCGGGCAUGCUGCCAUUGGAGUUGGGAGGGGUGGGUGGGUAUGAGGGGGAGGAGGUCGUGGACGUCCGUGGCAGCGAGGAGACGGAGAAGAGCCAGCGCCGCGCCCUUGAGGUUACUCGCCGUCGCCGGUGCUGGUGGUUGAGCGGCGAGAAGCGAGGAUGCGAUGCGGUGAGGCAGUGAGCAGACCUUGAGCAACUUAGGGGUUACGGCUCGGUCGGUUCGGUCGGAACCGAAACGUGCCGGUCGGUUGCCCUAUUGGCACGCGGGGGUUUGGGAGCACUCCAUGGUCGCCGGCCGCCGGAGCUCGGAGAGGCAACCGGACAGGAUUAAAAAACAAAAUAGAAGAGAAGAAAAUGGUUGGGCUCAAUUAGCCCGGCCCAAGAGAAAAAAGGGCUCCUCGUGCGUGCCCAACCAGAGCGAGAGAGAGGGAAAAAAAAGGCCAGAGAGACGAGGAGGUGGCCGUUAAAUUCAGUUCGUCCCCGCCCUCCCCGCGUACUCGUCGCUCGAAACCUUCUUCCUCCUCCCACCUCCGUCCCAACUCCCAACGCCACCGCGCCGCACUGCGACUCCCCCCACCGGAAGCCAUCCACUGCACCGUACCCUCCUCCCCCUCCACCCCAAACCACCUCGUGCUCCCUCCGCAAGCCCGCAUCCUCUGCGAUGAAUCAAGUUGGCCAGCGGCCACCACCGCCGCCGCCGGGGAGCUUGAUCAGGAUCCUGCGCUCGGUGGCCUAUUCACUGGGCUUAUCUAUCCGCUCUCUCAUGAGGCUACUGUGGCGCGCAUGCCGCUUACCGGCGGGCCAAGACGAGGAGGAGCGCAAUGAUGCCAAGAACAAGAACAAGACAGGCGACCGAGACGAUGAGGAUCGCCAGAAGAUGACGGAGAUUGCCGCCAGGAAACGAGCAAGGAAGAAGGCCAAGAAAGCGGCCAGAAAGGAGGCCCAGGCGAAGGCCAAGAAGACCAAGAAGGAGGCCAAGGCGGAGGACAAGAAGAAGAAGCAGGAGGAGGAGGACAUGCAGAGGAAAGAAGAGGAGGAGGCGGCCAAGGAGGAGGCCAGGAUCAGGGAAGAAGAGCAGAAGGCAGCCAAGGAGAAGGCCAGGCAGAAGCUUGCCGAGGACAAGAAAAAGGCUGACCUGGAGGAGGCCAAGAGAAGGCAGCGGGAGGACGCCGCGCGGAGGAAGGAGGAGGCCCAGAUGGAGGAGGAGGACAGGCAAAGGAGGCGGGAGGAGGCCCAGAGGAGGAAGCAGGCGGACAAGAACAAGAAUGAGUAUGAGGUACGAUCGAUCAUGCGCUUGCUCGCUCCUUUUGCUAUGAGUUCAGUUUUCCUGUUCCUUUCUGCUCCUGACUGAAUUGGCAAAAUGAGGAUCAUCAGCGUUACUUUCUGUUCAUCAGCGUGUUUUGACCGAUCAUCAGCGUUUAGGCAGGUUUAGAUCUCUAAAAAAAAAACUGAUGUUUGCUGUCACUAUAAUGGUAGAUGUAGAAUAGUUGAUCACAAUUCUGCUACAUUACAAUUUAAAACCCCAAUCCCUUGCCAUGUUUUAGUUUCUACUGAAGAAAUGCCUGAAAAAUGCCCACCUCUGCUUAUGGAUGAUGCAGAGCGUGUUGAUUCUUUGUAUGGAAUUUUAGCUAGUGUUCGAUCUUGAUGAAGUGACCGUUCUAAGGAUAAAUCACCACCCCGAUCUCUAUAUCUAGUCAGGUUGCUCCUUUCCCCUUUGUUGUCAAGACUACAGCCAUCGCUAAGCCUACCUGGAAACAUUUGGUCAUUUGAAGUUGGGGAUUUAUCAGAUAGCUGUUUUGGUGAAGAAUGUGUAUCUUUCCUUAGUGUUUGAUCAUAUUUGACGAUGUAGAAAUUUCCAAUGGUAUGUCACGUGACUGGAGAUCAUCCUUUUGUUUGAGCCUUUCCGAAGACCAAUUGCCCAUUAUGUUUUACUAGUUUGCUGCAUUUUUGUUGCUCAUAAGCAUGAAAUUGACUGACUGAUUCUGAAAACUGUUUGACUGUUGUAGAUUGAGAGAGAUGCUCAUAGGAGCUUCAGGGAUAAGAAUCUUAGCAGCCUCAAGGAUAAUGGAAUGACCGUCUGUAUGAUCUGCUACUUUGAAAAAGAGGACUAUAAGUAUGGAUGUACUGACAAGCAGGUAGCGUUUUUCUCUCGACUUCCUAAUUGAGUGUGGUAAACUAAAUUCAGGGACUAAUCUUGGUUUUUGUUUGUUUGUUUCUUUUCAGAAGGAUCGCCGUAUCGGAAAUCGUCACAAAGCGGGAGUGGAACACUGCAAGAAGGCGGGUUGCUUUGUGAUUGCCAAGGACAAGAGCCAGCUAGGGAAGCACCACUACUAUUGUCAUGGCAUGAGCAAGUAAAACGGUAUAUCCUCUGCACUUCAUGAAGACUAUGCUCUGCUUAGCAUGAAGGGCUGCCCUUAUUAUAGCCUUUAGAAUUUGCAGGAAUCUCUUUUGAGAAUUUUGUACAAAUAUUGCGAACACUCUCUCAUAAUAAAUUUUAAGACUAAAUGCCAUCGAUUUUCCUUUCAGAUUGUUCAUCAUAUCAGCAGGGCGCGCAAGGGAGUUGGGAUUGAAAGUUGCAAGAAGAAGGGCUUCCUUGUUAUAGAAAAGGAGAGGAACAUCUAGCUCCAUAGUUUGAGCAAAUGAGCCCACUGUUUGGUUCUUCUGUAGCAAUUGAUAGCAUUAGUUUUUACUUUGUUUCACAAGAGGCUUCUGCAGCGAGUGCUAGCAUUAGUUUUUACUCUGUUUCUUUCACAUGAGAUGUGUGCACUAGGGUCUAGUGUGCUCAUUGGAGAAUUUUGUACAAAAAUCUUGUGAAUGGUCUUUUGUGAUGGAUGGAAAGGCUUUGGUGUCUUAGAUUCUAACGAAGACUGUUUAUACAGCAGAAUUUAGUACUGAUGUUUCCACUUCUAUUGAAUCCUUUACAUUCAGAAUACGAACAAUAGUGGCAAAUCAUACAAAUGAUAUUAUGCAGCAGCCGCAGACAAAAAGAAAAUGAGUGGCUGCUGGUAUACAAACAGAAAUAGAAAUAGAAAUAACACCCAGCCUCUGCAACAACGCAAUAUCGUAAAGAGAUUACGGACAUUGUCAUUGUGAUGGUUUCCUGGUUCGUGCGAUGAAGUACUGAUGAAAAUCUGCGUUAGUAAAAACUUCAUUGUACUUGGUCUGUUUUCAAGACAAACAAAAUACAGAUGCAGGGUUCGAAUGUAAAUUCAGAACCAGCCAGAAUGAUCUGGCCCUUACAUAAUGUCUCUCAACUAGACUUGACCUAUCAUAAGAACUAAAAAGCAUCCGUCUUCAAAUAAAAUCCCUCUUCUUGCCAGCCUUCGAUCGAACAGCAUUGGGCACAUGCAACUGACUACGCUUGCAGUUAGAAAAGACAUGCCAUUACUGGUAGUGGUAUCGACACGCCAUGCGAGUGUAUUCUCUUGAUUUCGCCAACAGCAUCAUCAAGAUCUAAGAGGUUGUUAUUCUGCUGAUGGUUGGUAUGCGUGUCUCUGUAUAAUUCAACUUCUUUCAUGCACCCGUAUCACCAAGGCAUAAGUGUUUUGGUAGAGCAAAUUCCCGCUGACGAGUGUUUCCAUCAUAGUUUUCAUCCAUCUUCGCAUAUGUGGCUUGAACUUGCACAAUGCUCCCAUAGCGUGUGUAAGUGGGAAUCGAUAAAAGAAAACUAUUUCGAUGAACAGCACAGCAUUCAAAUAUUUACUGGACAUCUAUCCAAUCUUUUGUAAGUGAUGAAAAUCUCUUGUUAGCCCAAGUAUAAGGAGGCUGUUUUACAAGAUGGCGGAAGAUAUGAAUUGUGUAAACCCACGUCAAAGCAACCACGAUGUUUCAUAAGCAAGGGAACUUUUUUCGCUAGCCUACAUUAUGACAUUCAGAUGUCCCAUACAAAAGUCAGGUCGAACCAAACCACCGUUCACGAGAAAAUGAUCAUUCAAAUCAUUAGUUGUGAUCCUGUAGAUUUCAAUUUUAAGAUGAAGAUUACCUACACUGCGAGGCAUGGGUUGACAAAAUGCGGCGGGCAAGAUACUGCAUGUUUGACUGUCGUGGCCCCUUGUUCAACCUCAACAUGAGAUCCGAUUCAUCGCUGCCUAUGCGCCUUGGAAUCUGUCGCCAACAUUUUGUUUCCUAUUUUUUUGGCAGACUGCGCUAACUUGAAAUUGUAGUGGAGUAUUGGAUCCCCAAUGAGCAUGAGAUGGCUUGAUUGCUGUCUCAGAAAAAACGCUAACACUACAUGUUUGCAUGAGCAUCCCAACAAAUAUGACGGCCACAGUAGCGUUCGGUGUAAAUUAAAGAUUCUAAGCUGUUUUGAGUGACAAUCUUCCUCCUUUUCAAUGUAACUCGCCGUAAUGCUUGCCAAAGCAUGAAAGAACCAUAUGAAGUAGCCCAGGAGCAAAAAGUGUAAUUACAUAUAGCGUUCAAAUAAAAUCUUCAAAGUUAUCUUCAAACAUGGUCAGGGAUUAGCAAUUGCACUGACAACAUGUGCCGAUAAUAUUUAGAAAAUGAUGUCAUGUCCAAUAGCUAGUUAAUGCAGAACAUCCCAAUUAAAUAAAUGAUUCAAGGACAAUGAAAGCAUCAGAAAGACUACCUCUGUAACUUUUUAUAAAACGUUUUUAUAGUCUAUGACAGUGUCAAAAAACGCCUUAUAUUAAGUUACAGAGGGAGUACAUAAUAUCUCAUACAGAAGAGAAUAAUAGACCAUUCUAACAGAUGGUUANNNNNNNNNNNNNNNNNNNNNNNNNNNNNNNNNNNNNNNNNNNNNNNNNNNNNNNNNNNNNNNNNNNNNNNNNNNNNNNNNNNNNNNNNNNNNNNNNNNNNNNNNNNNNNNNNNNNNNNNNNNNNNNNNNNNNNNNNNNNNNNNNNNNNNNNNNNNNNNNNNNNNNNNNNNNNNNNNNNNNNNNNNNNNNNNNNNNNNNNNNNNNNNNNNNNNNNNNNNNNNNNNNNNNNNCAAACAAGAACAGAAAACGGAAUAGUUGUAGAGCACCAUUUCCAUUCCUAAUAUUUAUUUUUCGGCCAUAGUUUCAUCAGAUACAGCAAACAAUAUACGAAAAAAGAGAUAGACUGAACAUGCUUCCGUUGUCAUAGCAUCUGCCCGCAAAAGAAUGGCAAACUUGGUCGACAGACCCCAUAAUCAAGGUACAUAAUUAAGAAAAGCUACCUAUUCGUACAAUGACAGAUUCAACACUGUAAGACUCGGUGUUAACCAUAUGGGACUUGGCCAGCUGGACCAAAGUGGGGACACAAUUUCCUCCCUACUGCCAUCUUCAAGGUUGAGAACACCUAUAUCCCGGGGAUUCGUCUUAUACAUCCAAUUAUAUUGCUCAGCAUCUGCGAAAUAGACACAAUUUGCCUUCAGUUGUGGAUAUUCUUCAGCACUAAGGCAUAUAGACUGGUUACGCCCAAGAAACAACACGUUAUGCUGCAAGCUAUUUAUUUCCACAAGCUCUUGUGCUUCCAUAUCGACUUUGUGUAAAAAGAUUUUAUUUGUUUUAACUAUGGGCUCCUCAUAGCCCGCAUCUAUGAGUUCAGCCUUCCUGCAAACUUGCAGCAGAUCACCCCAUGGAGCCUGAAGAAGGAAGAAUUCCCCCUUGUACUCAGAACUGUGAAUGGCAAUCUCAUCCGCAAUUAUAUUCCUCGUGGCGGUAGGACCAGUGAGGUCAAAAGCAUCCAUUUUUCCGGCUCUUGUGGAUGCAUACAAUAGACCAUCCAUGUAGAUGCAUUGAUCAUAGUCCCAAUCCGGCGUCAGCAAGGUCCACUUACAAUCUCCUACCCUUGCAAACGAAAGCUGACAUCCUGGACCAUGGAUGAGAACCACAAUGUAGCUUCCUGUGGACGGAUCCGGAAAGAUAAAUACCCUGAUGUAGACAUGGUCACGAAGCUUGUCAGGAGCAUGGGUUAUCAUUUCGGGACCAACCAUUUCAGGGUCUAAGUCCGGAUCGUACAGUUGCUCCCACAAUUCAUACAUAAUAACUGUGCCUGCAUUGUCAAAGAUUGGCUCUACAUAACCAAUGGUGACCACCGACGGGAGAGCAAUCUGUUGGCCAGUGACCGGAUUGAUAAGGUGUAGCUCAGACUUGUCAUCCGCAGUAACUAGCCAACCAUGCGAUGACCCAAUAAGAUACCUGCUGCGGAUGGGUGGAUCCGGGAGAGUUAAAAUGUAGACCCUCUUCUCUGCGAGGCUGUAGAGACAAGCUACAUUCUCACCAGCAGAUUCAGAGGUGUAGAGGAGGCAAGGCGUUUGAGGCCGUUUGUACAGCUUAAGCUGGCUGCAGAGGCUGGUAUACGUGGAGCGCCAGGAGGAGCUGACAGAGGCCGCACGCAUGAGGUCAGGUAUCUCCAGGAGUGAAAAUAUGUCCAUCAAUACAUCCUGCGGCAGCUCCGGCAAAUUUCUCACCACAGUUUCAGUUUCCAUGGGUGGUGAGACCUUUCUCAAUACAUCCUGCAGCAGCUCCGGCAGUUUUCUCAACACAGUUUCAGUUUCCAUCGCUGGUGAGACCUUUCUGAAUUUCCCCAAUGAACAGGGAGAAAGAGCCAGGAGCUUAGGCAAAACUUUCAGGCCAAAAUGAGCAAAGCUCGUUAUCCUGGCUACGCUACAGACCUCCAUUGGAGCAAUUGCAAAAGCAGGUCUUGUUGGAGAAGAGUUGCUUCAGCGGCAAACCAAUUGGACUUGGCUUGUAUCUAAUCUGAUGAGAAGAAGCACACCGAGGGCUGGCUGCACUUUAUAUCCAGUCGAGCCGAGGCCUCACCUGUGAUCCGAUUAGAAGAAGGGAGUCCGGAUCCAGCGAGGAUUGUUGCCGUAGAAACUCCGAAAAGAUCUGGAAUUCGAAUCCGAGCAAUUACCGCAAGGGCUCCCCAACGAUGGGAGAGGAAAACCAACUGAUUGCCCGCCGCAGUGUAGCCCGACGGCUCGGCCGUCCCAGGAUCCGCGAGAAGGCAGAAGGUAGCGCCGGCGAGCUUGGGCUUCGUCGGCGGCGGUAAAUGGGAUGCAGGAGGGGUGGUGAGAUUAGCAGUGGAAGGUAGCGGCGAGAAGGUGCUUGGCUCCGACGUCUUCGUCGCAGGCGGCGGCGUUGUGGGGGCAGGUUGCCUUUGCAGAGGUGAGCGGAGAGGCCGUCAGUUAUGCGACCGAGCACUGUGUGCUCCGCGCGAGCGAACGAUUCCUUUUUCAUUUUCUUUUUUAUUUGAAAACUUGCGCGCGAGCGAACGAUUCCUUCUCCUUUUUCUUUUUAUUAGAACUUCCGAGCCAGCGACCGAUUCAUUUUAAUCGUAUUGGAGUGCGCCGUUCAGUAGAUUUUUUUUUCUGUCUGACAAACUCCAGAAACGCUUCCACUCAACCGACCGAUUAUCUCGCUUCGUUCACUGCCUCUGUGAUCGUUAGAUUUGCCUUUCAUGUUACCACGACUAAAGCAGUGUUCUCCUAUUUCACGCCCAUUCUUGACUCCGCCAAGCCAUAACCGUUCACCAUCGACCUCACGGCGAUGCACGUUGGUCCCUUUGAACUCUCACUUCUAGAAGCUCCUUUUUUCCGAGGACGAGAUAUGGAUGGCCACCAAGCACUUUCCAAUGGGUCAAACACCGGGCCUGGAUGGUUUCGCCAUUGAGUUUAUGCAGAGUGCUUGAGAGGUGAUCAAGGAGGACAUUUGCGGCGUGUUCGGCGAGCUACAUUCGCUCAAUUUUCGAGGCUUUCGCAAGCUUAAUGAGGCACUCAUUACUCUACUUUCCAAGAAGGCGGACGCUGUGUCACUCUUCAACUACCGGCUAAUCAGUUUGAUCCACCUCAUAGUCAAGCUUUUUGUGAAGCCUCUCUCUCUCCGGCUCGCCUCGCAUCUCAGCAGUAUGGUUUCCACCAACCGAAGCGCGUUCAUCGCUAGCAGAAGCAUUCAUGAUAACUUUCUACUCGUGCAACAAAUGGCACGCCUUCUUCAUUAUCUUAAAGCUAAUAGGAUGCUUCUGAGGCUUGACAUCCCUGCGCAUUCGACUCGGUAUCCUGCUUUUUCCUCCUCGAGAUACUUCGACUGUUGGGGAACAUAGCAUGCAAUUUCAAAAAAAUUCCUACGAUCACGCAAAAUCUAUCUACGAGAUGCAUAGCAACGAGAGGGGAGAGUGUCUCCACGUACCCUCGUAGACCGAAAGCGGAAGCGUUAGGUUAACGCGGUUGAUGUAGUCGAACGUCUUCACAAUCCAACCGAUCUAGUACCGAACGUACGGCACCUCCGAGUUCAGCACACAUUCAACUCGAUGACGUCCCUCGAACUCUUUAUCCAGCAAAGGGUCGAGGGAGAGUUUCGUCAGCAGACGGCGUGGUGACGGUGAUGGUGAUGUGAUCCGCGCAGGGCUUUGCCUAAGCACUACGACGCUAUGACCGGAGGAGUAAACUGUGGAGGGGGGCAGUCCAGCCUGCGUUCCGGAUACUUCUAGAGUAAUCCUGAUGGUCGAAGGUGAUUGGUUUUAACAACCAUUGGCGAGACUCCUUUGGGAUAGGCCAUAUGGCGCGUAUCUCUGGUGGCGCCAUUCUGUUCGUCACGUGAAGUAAGUGUACUGUUUUGACUUCUUGUGGGAAAUCCUUUUAUUUCCUGGUGCUCUGCUUGUGGGGUUCGUCGUCGUCCUCACUUGGUGUGUCGAGCCCCUUGUGUUCGGCGUUGAGUUUGUCGGCUUGCUUGAAAACCCAACAAUCUCUGUGGGUAUGGUUCGCAGGCUUCCCGGGAGUACUGUGUAUUUGACAUAUCUUGUCCAAGAUUUUGUUUAAGUUGGAUAGCUCGUCCCUGUUAUCCUUGAGGGGCGGCUUUCUCUGAUUCUGCCGUGAGCUUUUGAAUCCGGCGUUGACCGCUGUGCUCUUUGGGCUGUUUCCCUUAUUCCGGCGCUGGUCCUUGCUGCGUCGGGGUUUUCCGUUUCCAUCCCUAACUUCGGAUGUACUUGGGUCGCUGGUGCUACAUCUUGCCAAUCAGCUGUCCUCUCCUGCGCAAAAGCGGGUCAUGAGGCUUGUUAAUGCGGCCAUUGUUCUUGGCUUUUCUUGGCCGAGGUGUCUGGCGAGCCAUUCGUCUCGAAUGUUGUGCUUAAAAGCUGCUAGGGCUUCGGCACCCGGAUAGUCGACUAUCUGAUUCAUUUUAGUAAGAAAUCUGUUCCAGAAUUUCCCGGCUGACUCUCCGGGCUGUUGAGGUAUGUGACUGAGAUCGUCUGCAUCCGGAGGGCGGACAUAGGUCCCUUGAAAAUUUGCCCGGAAAGCAUCCUCAAGCUCUUCCCAACUUCCAAUGGUGUUUUCGGGAAGACUUUUGAGCCAAUGCCGGGCUGGUCCUUUAAGCUUGAGGGGUAAGUAUUUUAUGGCGUGGAGGUCAUCUCCUCUGGCCAUGUGUAUGUGGAGGAUAUAAUCCUCGAUCCAGACCCCAGGGUCUAUUGUUCCGUCGUACGCCUCUAUGUUUACGGGCUUGAAUCCCGCUGGAAAUUCAUGGUCCAGCACCUCAUCGGUGAAACAUAGGGGGUGUGCGGCACCCCUGUAUUUGGGUGUGCCGUGAUGUUCGGAUAUUUGUUGUGUUGCAUUGCUUACUAGAGCUUGCUUUCUUGGCCCGUAUAUAGAUGUGGCUGGGCCGUCUUUUUGGUGCGGAUCCUUUGGUGGAUCGCAUGCCGGCUUGUGUGCGGCGCCGCUUGCCACUCCAUGCUGGCCAUGCGGUCAUCCAUCCGACCGGAUGGCUUUCCUAUUUUUUGACUGCGGGGGCUCUAAGGCUUCCUCGUCAAAUUCAGGCAGUAGCUUUCGCUUUGGAUAGCUUUUUGUGCGGCGACUGCCGACAUAUUUGUCUGCGGUGUUGCGUACUUUGCUCCAUCUGAUUCCGAGUGCAUCUUCCGUAGUUUUGAGCUUCCGCUUCUGCUUUUUCAGGCUAUGCGCAGUGGUGACGAGCCUUUUGUGGAGGUUCUUUUGCUCCAUGAGUUUAUCCGGCGUAAGGUCGUCCGGACUGUUGUUUUCGCCGGGGACGGGGUGUUCGAUUUGUUUAUCCAAGUUGCCCUGUUCGGAUGCUUGCUCGAAGGCAUGUUCGUCGUCCGCCGGCUCGUCCUGCUCUAUGGCUGGGUCUGUAUGGCUGCUGUCUCUAUCGAGGCGGGGCUCGGAGCGGCGCUUACGUCGCUGCUUUGAUUGCUUUUCGAGUGAACGAUCCCUCGUUGCAUCCCUGUGUUCCUCGUCGUCGCUUCCUUUGGGUGUGUCCACCAUGUAUACAUCAUGAGAUGAGGUGGCUGUCCAGUGCCUUAUAGGCGUUGGUUCAUGUUCAUCUCCUACAUCGUCGUCCAUACCAUCGAUGUCUUCAGAGUCAAAGUCGAGCACGUCGUUUAAAUUAUCGACAGUGGCUACGAAGUGGGUGGUGGGUGGGCUUUGAAUUUCUUCAUCAUCCACAUCCCAACCUUGUUGACCAUAGUCCGGCCAGGGCACUCCUGAUAAAGAGAGAGACUUUAGUGAAUUCAGAAUAUCGCCGAAGGGCGAGUGCUGAAAGAUGUCUGCGGCGGUUAACUCCAUGAUCGGUGCCCAAUCGGGGUUGAUCGGUCGGGGCGCGGAGGGCUCGGAGUCUGGAGAGGAGUCUGGCUCCUUGGAGUCACAGGCUUCACAGAGAAUAGGGCUGGUGUUCGGCUCGAUCGCCGUAGAGAUUGCAACCCACAAGGCGGUGUCUAACCACCCAUCCUCGAUUGGUGUGAUCGGCUCCGAGCUAGGGGUCAGAGCGGACAUAGGUGCGGCCUCCAGGGCACUGUUCGGCGACUGAGCUAAAUCAUGCCCAUCGUGACAAUGCGGCGCGCCCGGCUGUGGCUCGAAUCCGUCGAAGAUUAAGUCUCCGUGGAUGUUGGCCGUGUAGUUCAAACUUCCAAAUCUGACCUGAUGGCCAGGGGCGUAGCUUUCGAUCUGCUCUAGAUGACCAAGCAAAUUGGCCCACAGUGCAAAGCCGCCGAAUACGAAGAUCUGUCCGGGGAGAAAAGUCUCACCCUGGAUCGCAUCGCUGUUGAUGAUCGGAGAAGCCAUCGGGCCUAAAAGUGACGACACAGAGGAACUCUCAAUGAAAGCACCAAUGUCGGUGUCAAAACCGGCGGAUCUCGGGUAGGGGGUCCCGAACUGUGCAUCUAGGCCGGAUGGUAACAGGAGGCAGGGGACACGAUGUUUUACCCAGGUUCGGGCCCUCUUGAUGGAGGUAAAACCCUAUGUCCUGCUUGAUUAAUAUUGAUGAUAUGGGUAGUACAAGAGUAGAUCUACCACGAGAUCAAGGAGGCUAAACCCUAGAAGCUAGCCUAUGGUAUGAUUGUUGUUCGUCCUACGGACUAAAACCCUCCGGUUUUAUAGACACCGGAGAGGGCUAGGGUUACACAGAGUCGGUUACAAUGGUAGGAGAUCUACAUAUCCGUAUCGCCAAGCUUGCCUUCCACGCCAAGGGAAGUCCCUUCCGGACACGGGAUGAAGUCUUCAAUCUUGUAUCUUCAUAGUCCAGGAGUCCGGCUGAAGGUAUAGUCCGGCCCUCCGGACACCCCCUAAUCCAGGACUCCCUCAUUAGUAUUGUUGUGGCAAAUUUUCGUUGGAUCUAUCCCCAUUUUGCGGAUUGUGUCCUGAUAUAUCAGGUUUAGACUGCUGCCACCGUCCAUCAGGACUCGUGUGAAGUGGUAUCCGUCAAUUAUUGGAUCUAAUACUAAGGCAGCCCAUCCUGCGCGCCGGAUACUUGCCGAGUAAUCCUGAUGGUCGAAGGUGAUCGGUUGAGACGGCCAGUGGCAGAACUCCGCGGUGAUAGGCCCUUGGGCAUAUUUAUCUGGGAGUGCCGCUUUGUUUCUCCCCUUUAUCACGUGUAACACAUUUACUGUUUUGACUUCUGGUGGAAAUUUCUUCUGUUCCCCAGUGCUUUGCUUGCGAGGCUCAUCCUCGUCUUCGCUUGGUGUAUCCUGCCCCUUAUGUUCGGCGUUGAGCUUGCCGGACUGCUUGAAGACCCAACAUUCUCUGUGGGUAUGAUUUCCAGGUUUAUCGGGGGUGCUAUGGAUCUGACAUAUUUGGUCCAGAAUUUUGUUUAGGCUGGACAGUUCAUCUCUGGCGCCUUUAGAGGGCGGCUUUUGCUGACCUGGCCGAGAGCUUCUGAAUCCGGCGUUUACUGCCGCGCUCUUCGAGCUGUCUUCUUUAUUCCGGCACUUAUUUUUUUUGCCGCGUCGUGAUUUCCCGUUUCCAUCUCUAACUUUGGAUGUACUUGGGUCGCUGGUGCUGAAUCGAGCUAGCCAGCUGUCCUCGCCCGCGCAAAAGCGGGUCAUGAGGCUUGAUAAUGCUGCCAUUGUUCUUGGAUUUUCUUGGCUGAGGUGUCUGGCAAGCCAUUCGUCUCGGACGUUGUGUUUAAAAGCUGCCAAGGCUUCGGUGUCCAGACAGUCGACUAUUUGGUUUUUUAGUAAGAAACCUGUUCCAAAGCUUUCGGGCUGACUCUCCGGGCUGUUGAGUUAUAUGACUCAAAUCGUCCGCAUCCGGAGGUCGGACAUAAGUCCCUUGAAAAUUUGCCCGAAAAGCGUCUUCGAGCUCUUCCCAGCUUCCAAUGGAGCUUUCGGGGAGGCUUUUAAGCCAGUGCCGAGCUGGCCCUUUGAGCUUGAGGGGUAAGUACUUGAUGGCAUGGAGAUCAUCUCCUCGAGCCAUAUGGAUAUGGAGGAUAUAGUCCUCAAUCCAGACCCCAGGGUCUGUUGUUCCGUCGUAUGCCCCUAUGUUUACGGGUUUGAAUCCCUCUGGAAAUUCAUGGUCCAGCACCUCGUCGGUGAAACAUAGGGGGUGUGCGGCACCCCUGUAUCUGGGUGUACCGCGUUGUUCGGAUGUUUGUUGUGUUGCACCAUAUGCUGGAGCGCGCUUGCGUGGUCCAUAGAUGGAUCUGGUUGCGCCGUCCUUUUGAUGCGAGCCCUCACGUGGAUCGUGUAUUGGUUUAUGUGCAGUGUUGUUUGCCGCUCUAUGUUGGCCGUGAGGUCGUCUAUCCGGCCAGAUGCCCGUUUUAAUUUUUGGUUGCGGGGGAUCUAAGGCCUCCUCAUCAAAUUCAGGUAGCAACUUCUGCUUCGGGUAGCUCUUGGUGGGGCAAUUACUGCCGUACUUCGCUGCUGUGUUGAGUACUUUACUCCAUCUGAUUCUGAGUGUGUCUUGCGCAGCCUUGAGCCUUUGCUUCUGCUUUUUUAGACUCCUCGCGGUGGCAACAAGCCUUUGACGGGCAUUCUGUUGCUCCGGGUGUCUGUCCGGUGUGAUGUCAUCCGGACUAUUAUCUUUGACAGAGUCGGGUUGUUCGGUUUAAUUCUCCGUGUUGCUGUGGUCCGGUGAUGGUUCACCCUGCUCUAAUGCUGGGUCUAUAUGAUCGUUGUUUCUGCCGAGGCAGGAUUUGGAGCGGCGCUUACGCCGCCGCUUUGACUGCUUCUCGAGGGGACAACCCUUCGUUGUGUCCUUCCGUUCCUCGUCGUCGUUUUCUUUUGGUGUGUCCACCAUGUAUACGUCAUGUGAUGAAGUGGGCGUCGAGUGCCCUGUGGGCAGUGGUUCCUCUUCGUCUCCUGCAUCGUCUUCCAUACCGUCGAUGUCUUCGGAGUCGAAGUCGAGCAUGUCGGUUAAGUCAUCGAUAGUGGCUACUAAGUGGGUGGUGGGUGGGCGGCGAAUUUCUUCGUCAUCCGCAUCCCAAUCCUGCCGGACAUAGUUCGGCCAGGACUCUCCUGACAAGGAGAGAGACUUUAAUGAAUUCAGUAUGUCGCUGAAGGGCGAGUGCUGAAAGAUAUCCACGGAGGUGAACUCCAUGAUUGGCGCCCAGUCGGAUUUGAUAGGCACGGGCGCAUGCGGUUCGGAGUACGUGGCCGGGGAAGGAUCCAGCAGUUUGGCAACACGGCUCUCGUGAAGGGUAAGGUCGAUAUUCGGCUCGAUCGCCGCUGAGGAUACGGCCUCCAUGACGGGGACUAUCCACCCGUCCAUGGAUGGCGCAACUGGCUCCGAGUUGAGGCUCAGAGCGGCUGCCGGUGCGAUCUCCUGAAUACAGUCCGAUGGUAGAGCUAAAUCAUACUCAUCGUGACCGCGUGGUGCACAAGGCAGGGGCUCGAAUCCGUCGAAGAUCAAGUCUCCGCGGAUAUCGGCCAUGUAAUUUAAGCUUCCAAACCUGACCUGAUGGCCAGAGGCGUAGCUUUCGAUCUGCUCCAGAUGGCCAAGCGAGUUGGCCCGCAGUGCGAAGCCGCCGAACACAAAGAUCUGUCCGGGGAGAAAAGUCUCACCCUAGACUGCAUCGCUAUCGAUGAUAGAAGGAGCCAUCAAGCCUAACGGUGACAACAUAGAGGAACUCUCAAUGAAAGCACCAAUGUCGGUGUCAAAACCGGCAGAUCUCGGGUAGGGGGUCCCGAACUGUGCGUCCAAGGCGGAUGGUAAUAGGAGGCAGGGGACACGAUGUUUUACCCAGGUUCGGGCCCUCUUGAUGGAGGUAAAACCCUACGUCCUGCUUGAUUUAUUCUUGAUGAUAUGAGUAUUACAAGAGUUGAUCUACCACGAGAUCGGAGAGGCUAAACCCUAGAAGCUAGCCUAUGGUAUGAUUGUAUAUUGUCCUAAGGACUAAAACCCUCCGGUUUAUAUAGACACCGGAGAGGGUUAGUGAGGGAGUCUUGGGUUAGGGGGUGUCCGGAUGGCCGGACUAUACCUUCAGCCGGACUCCUGGAUUAUGAAGAUACAAGAUUGAAGACUUCGUCCCGUAUCCGGAAGGGACUUUCCUUGGCGUGGAAGGCAAGCUUGGCGAUACGGAUAUGUAGAUCUCCUACCAUUGUAACCGACUUUGUGUAACCCUAAACCUAUCCGGUGUCUAUAUAAACCGGAGGGUUUUAGUCCAUAGGCCAACAUACAGAACAACAAUCAUACCAUAGGCUAGCUUCUAGGGUUUAGCCUCUCCGAUCUCGUGGUAGAUCUACUCUUGUACUACCCAUAUCAUCAAUAUUAAUCAAGCAGGACGUAGGGUUUUACCUCCAUCAAGAGGGCCCGAACCUGGGUAAAACUUUGUGUCCCUUGCCUCCUGUUACCAUCCGGCCUAGACGCAUAGUUCGAGACCCCCUACCCGAGAUCAGCCGGUUUUGCCACCGACAUUGGUGCUUUCAUUGAGAGUUCCUUUGUGUCGUCGCCAUCAGGAAGGAUGCCUCGCCCCGUCUUUAAAGACGGCACCGUUCCUAAGGGAGCUCUGGCUGUCGGCCAAACCCUCCGGCUAGGUGGUUUUCUCAUGACCGCCUGUUCGGCUUCUGCGCCGACGAUGACCUCUCGAGCCAUCAGAAACAAUCUUCAUGUCAGCUCGGAACUCGCCGAGCAGUUAGAUCCAAUGGAGCUCUCCUCCAUAAACGAGCUCUUGGAUCGCAUCGCCGCCCUGGGAGUCGCUACGGAUUACGACCAAAUUGGGCCUAAGCCCGAUCUGAGAGAGAUUAACUCUCCCCAAGUCACCCAUCACGUUGCUGUGGUAGAGGGACAGUGCGGCGACCCUUCAUCUAUCUUAAGGACUAGCUACGUCCAGAUUCCUGAUCCCUCCAAGCCGGAUACCCGUGGAGGGGAGGAUAUCACUCAAGACCUGAACUCAGAGUCAGGCGACGGGUUGGAUUCAUUGGACAACAUCCAGGAAUCCAAAUUUCUGAGUUCGGAAAUUCCUCGGUCUCUGAGCCUCAGAUGGGGUGAGGCUUCGGAUUUAAUUCCACCCACCCACCCGAACAUAAGCGAUAUAUCCCAAAUUAGGCAAGAGCCCGAAGAAAUAGUACAUCAUUACUAGGCCAGAUUCCUCCUGGUUAGGAACAUGAUAAGGGACUGCCGCGAGGAAGACGCAAUCUCAAUCUUCUGCAAUAAUUGCACGGACAAUGGAAUCCUCAAUGCCAUAAGUCGCCGUGAUAUUACACGCUUCGCUGACUUGGCGUCCAUUGUACGAAAAUACUGUGCGAUGGAAAGCGCCUGGAAAACCAAAAUAAAAUUUUGGGACGAUCCGACCCUGAAUACAAACCCAGUCCGAAAUAAAAGGGUGCAUCAUCGCCAGACACCCAGGUCAAACACCAAAAAGCAAAAACCCUCUACAGGGCAUGGAACCAUACUGGAAGGAUGGCUUAAUGGACCCUGUAAAAUUCACAGUACAUAGGAUGCCACACCAACUCACAGCCUUAGAGCAUGUUGGAUACUCUGGCAGGUGGCCAAAAUUGGCGAAGCUCUCCUAAUUCCGAAGGCCACAGAAAGCCACCCCAGAGACACCAAUACGGUAUUAACAGUCUUCGAGACUUUCGCAUAAAAUAAUAUGCGAAAAAGGACACUCCGCAGCCUUGCCGAAGUCUACCAAGUAGCAACAAUAAACCCAUGGAGUGACAUGGCUAUUACCUUUAACGCCAGUGAUGAACCUAAAUUCCGAACAGCCCGAGCACCAGCCGCAUUGGUCCUCAGUCCAAUAGUGGACGACUUUCAUCUUACCAAGGUACUCAUGGACGGCGGCAGCGGAUUGAACCUCAUUUAUGAGGAAACCCUUCAAAAAAUGGAAAUAGACUGGAACCGCAUUGAGCGAAGCAGCACAACCUUUAGAGGAAUAAUCCCCAGUCGAGAAGCGCGCUGUAUAGGAAAAAUCACACUAGAUGUGGUGUUCGGCACGCCGGAUAAUUACAGGUCCGGAAAGCUCUUGGGCUUCAUUGUAUCCGGUAGAGGAUUUGAAGCAAAUCCAGCCAAGAUCCAAGCUCUGUCACAAUUAGAUAUCCCAAAGGACCUCAAACAAAUACAAAAGUUAACCGGAUGCGUGGCGGCUCUAAGCCGCUUUAUCUCCCACUUGGGAGAAAAGGCCCUACCCCUUUACCGCCUCCUUCGGCGCACCGAACACUUCGAAUGGACGGAUGCAUCCACGGCCGGACUCGACGAAAUAAAAGCCAUAUUGGCAACAAACCCAGUCCUGGCCGCGCCAAACAUUGGCGAACCAAUGCUAUUGUACAUUGCAGCAACACAUCAGGUUGUAAGCGCAGUGCUCGUUGUCGAACGAGAAACGGACGAACACAAAUCCCCCCUUCAAAAACCGGUCUAUUAUGUGUCCAUUGUCCUCACUCCAUGCAAAUCACGUACCCGCAUUAUCAAAAGAUCGCUUACGCGGUAUUCAUGGCAUCCUGGAAGCUACGACACUACUUUCAAGAGUGUUCAAUAACAGUAGCCUCGGAAGUACCACUUAACGAUAUUAUAAACAACCGCGACGCAAUGGGUCGGAUUGCAAAAUGGGCCAUUGAGCUCCUCCCGUCCGACAUAACUUAUAAGCCACGGCGAGCCAUCAAGUCGCAAGUUUUGGCCGACUUCGUCGCAGAAUGGACGGAGGCCGAACUCCCUAAAGAGUAUGACACAUAUUCAAAUUGGAUCAUGCAUUUCGACGGCUCCAAGAUGUUGGCCGGACUAGGGGCUAGCAUCGUUUUAACGUCCCCCAUAGGAGACACUGUUCAAUACAUACUCCAGAUUAUGUACACAGACUCCAACAAUGCAGCCGAAUAUGAGGCCCUUUUACAUGGUCUCCGGAUGGCAGUAUCCAUGGUCAUUCAACGCCUAGAGGUGCGCGGGGACUCGAACCUCGCAAUAUCCCAAAUAAAUGGAGACUUUGAUGCCAAGGAUCCAAAAAUGGCAGCUUACCGCAAUGCCAUCCUAAAAAUGUCACCUCGGUUCGAAGGGCUUGAAUUUCACCAUAUAGCCCGGGAAAAUAAUCAGGCGGCAGAUGUCCUGGCACGCAUCGGCGCAAAACGCGAUGUAGUCCCCCCCCAACAUCUUCUUGGAAAGGCUGUUCAAGCCAUCCGUAGUAUGGGAAGGGGAGCCAAACAAUAACAGCCCGGACCCAACCGCACUGCCCGACACCGAACAUUCUGACACAAUCGGAGGCUCUGCCAAUGAAAUAACACCUUCAGCCCACGUAAUAAUGGUCGUCAUCGCCCCGUGGACAGAACCAUUCCUCGCCUACCUUACUAGGCAGGAACUCCCCGAGGACCAAAAUGAGGCAUGCUGCAUAGUGCGGCAAUCCAAAGCCUACAAAGUCCACGAGGGAGAGCUUUAUAAGAAAAGCACCACCGGAGUCCUUCAAAGGUGCAUCUCCGAAGAGGAAGGGCGGAACCUCCUGGCUAAAAUUCAUGCCGGACUCGGCGGUCAUCACGCUGCAGCCCGGUCCCUUGUAAGCAAGGCCUUCCGUACAGGCUUUUAUUGGCCGACGGCCCGGGCAGACGCCCAGAACUUAGUCCAGCGAUACAUCGGUUGCCAGCUCUUUGCAAACCAAAGCCAUAUGCCACCCACCGCCCUCCAAACUAUCCCCAUCACUUGGCCCUUCGUGGUUUGGGGGCUUGACAUGGUUGGACCCCUUAAAGGCGGAACCCACAAGCAAAAAUACUUACUGGUCAUGGUGGAUAAGUUCACCAAAUGGAUAGAAGCCAAGCCUGUUAAGACGGCCGAAUCCGGACCGGUGAUAGACUUUAUAUCCGGGCUUGUACACCAUUACGGCGUCCCCCACAGCAUCAUCACUGAUAAUGGCACGAACUUUACGGCCGACGAGGUAAAACUCUGGUGCAAAAACAUGGGCAUCAAGCUUGAUUAUGCUUUCGUCUAUCACCCACAAACUAACGGCCAGGUCGAACGUGCAAAUGGUCUUAUCAUGAGCGGCAUCAAACCCAGAUUAGUGCGGUCCCUCAAGGAAUCUAACACACACUGGGUAGAGGAGCUCGACUCCGUACUCUGGGGGCUGCGGACCACGCCGAAUUGCACCACCGGAUACACACCAUUCUUUAUGGUGUACGGCGCAGAGGCAGUUUUGCCUUGCGACAUAAUUCAUGACUCACCUCGAGUGCACAUGUACGAAGAAAGAGAAGCCGAGCUCGAUCGGCAGGACAGUUUGGACGCAUUGGAGGAGGAGCGUGACGUGGCAAAAGCCCGUUCCGCAUUCUAUCAACAGCAGGCUCGAAGAUACCAAAGCAGAGAAGUACGGGCCAAAAAUUACAAUGUUGGCGAAUUAGUUCUACGCCUGCCGGACAAGAAAAAGGACAAACUCAAGCCAAAGUGGGAAGGUCCCUUCAUAAUUGACCAAGUCCUGACUGGUGGAGCGUACCACCUGCGAGAUGCAUCGGAUAACCGACUCGAGCCGAACCCAUGGAACGCAGCCCAUCUCCGAAGAUUCUAUGCCUAGCGCCGGACUCUGUGUUCGUCUCCUUCCUCUGUCCAUUUUUUAUAUAUCCUUUCUGUCUUAGAUUUCUCUCCUUCUCCCCUUCCUUUCUCUUAUAUCCUUUAAAGGCUCAUCAAAUGACGUGCUAUUCGCACUCAUUGAACCUGGGGGCUUCUUUUACCAGAAGCUUAUUUAUACGGGCUUCAUGCCCAACACAUGUGUGACACUUCUGCAUGUACCUUUUAUUUCACCAUUAUAUGCAUUGAUAUGACUUAAGUUUUGGCCAAGCUGGGUUGCCUGGCUCCUGUGCUUACCCCUACGUUCCCGAUUAUUUGGCUAGGCGGUAAAGGGAGCACCUCUGCGAUUGUUACUGCCGGAUCAGCCGGAUGUGUACCUCAGAUUGGGUGAAGCCAAAAGCUAGCGUUCUUAAGGGAAUAUUCGGUCGGUGACCUAAAAGAUGAUCUUUUUACUUAUUUAUUUAUGCGCCCCCAGAUGCUUUUUCCUGCAUCUUUUUCGCAGAAUGGGCAUGCACUUUAGGGCAUGCCUCCCAGGGAAAGGAACCCCUAACGGAACUAUUCUCCCUGGAAGAUGUUUCUUACUAACCAUGUAAUAUAACAUAACUAGUCGGGCACUUGUCUGUUCACGCACUAAUGACCCCUACGCCUGGUCUCCAUGCAUUCCCCGGUUCUUAUAUAACCGCAUGGGAAUUCGGACACACUCCGGACCGCCAGGUCCCGAGGCUGAAGCGAAAAGGUCGGCCAUGACAAACGAUCUACAAUCCGGCUAGAAGGCAUUAUAAAUGUCAAUUAAAUUACAUAGUCAUUCUGACUGAUUGUAUUCCUCUUCAAUACCAUCUAACAGGCUGUCUAAUUUACAGUCCCGCCGGGAAUACUUUGCGGCCAAUUCUACUUGGCCGUAUACUAAGCUUACACGGAUCUCCUUCCCAUCGGGCCCCACAGGACCGACCUCGGCCAUGUGGUUGGGGUCAGCCUUUGUGUACCGCGUCUUCACCAUGGCCCAGGCCUCCCUAGCGCCUUGACGGCAAGCCGAUAUCUUCCACAAUCGGAAGCGCCGCCAUGCUCCCGUUAGCUUCUCUACAAGCUCUCCAAGACCUUCGGGCACGGAGAUGGAUGGCCACAGGGCCUGGGCGACGCCUCGCAUCGCCUUCCGAACUCGCUCGAGCAGUUGCGAGAGCUCGGGAAGAAGGUCACCCGUAGAACCGGGCAUCUCCUCUGCAGGACGACCUGUUAGCACACCUACAGACAUUACUCUGUUAGUCGACUUCCCCGCCGAACUUUUUUUCCCAAAGGUUCGUUCAAGCACUUACUAAAUAUGCUGCGCCGAAGCCGCUGAUUCUCCUUAACGGAGUCUGACAACUGGGCACGAACAUCUUUCAGUUUGACGCCCAGCUUGGUGUUGGCAUCUUGGAGAUCGUUCUUCUCCCGCCUCACCUUUGUCAGCACCUUCUCACCAGCCUUCAGCUGGCGUAGGAGGUGUUGCCUUUCCGGAUUCAAUCCGGUGCCAUCUGCAAUUUCAUUUGUCAGAUUCGCACCCAUGCCGUGCUUCGCAAAAUACUUAUCUUUCGAAGUGUAUAUUACCAGAGGGGGUCUCCUUGGGCUCCCCUGCCGCGGCUAGUGCGGCCUCAAGUUGGGCUUUGCACUCUUCCAGCUCCUGGGACAGUAGGGAAUUCUUUUCUGUAAGAACCUGCAUAACAUAUGAUCCUUGAAUCAGUUGUUCUAACUGUUUCAAGUCUUGGGGGCUACUGGUAUAUAUAUAUAUAUAUAAUUACCAAAAUUUUCUUACCCGUAUGUCUUUUACAUAUUGCUCCGUGGCUCUGGCUAGACCAUUUUGAGCGGCACGGAGGUACGCAUCUCCCAAAUUGAAGGCAUCUAAUGCCUCUCGGGAGAAACAAGCGUCGCGAAGAAUUGUCCAGCGACGCCUGUGGUUCAUGGCACUCUCCACCUCAGAGUUGGUGGCAGACAACCUGUCCACGUCCUCCGUCGAAGGAGCGUCCGGUGCGCGCCUUGUGUUCACCUCCGCCUCCGACCAGGCUUUGGAGCCUGGCUGGUGGAGGUGCGAUUGGCAGCCUCUCCGGAUAUAGUCCGGCGAGGUCUCUUUGUCCUGAAGAGAGCAUGAAUGUUAACAUGCCUUGAAGGUAUAACACCUGGGAUAAGGGGGCACGCCGUACCUUUGCGCUGACGUAUCGAUCCGGACUGCACCUCUUUUCUGCCCACGGGGCCCUGCGGCCCCUCGUUGGCUUGUCGCCGCAGGUUCGGCCUCCCGUCUCAAAAACCUCCCCUGCAAAACUCGGUUGUAAUCAGGAAACUGAAAACACGAGAGGGCGGACCCCUAUUCAGGGUACUGGGACUUCGAUCUCAGUUACCUGGGAGGCCGGGAUUAUCCCUGGGUAAUUGACCGUGAUGGCCACCAAGGCGUUGUCCUUGCUCAAUUGAUGAAACACUCCAUCAAUCAGCUCCACGGAUACGUCCGGAUCCUCUUGAGAGGCCGGGUUGAGGGACCGUCCUGGGUCCUCGGGUUGUGGAGGAGGGCUGAUUAUUUCUUUAACAGCCUGGCGCAGUUCCUGCGUUGAAGUUGCUAGACUGAAUAUUUAACGAUGGGGAUAUAAAACGGAUGGGCAAGACGCGCCCACUUACCCAGCUUGGAGGAUUGUACAUAGAAAAUCCACCCUUCGGAUCAAAGCGGAGAAAAUCCUCCUCUUCUCCCUUGUACAAAGCGGACAAGGUCUUUGUUAGAGAUGCAGCCGAAUCCGGUCCCUUUCGGCCAUAGCGGGUGGCGUCGUCCUCCCCGUUGAAGUCCCACAUGGGGUGGCCUCCAUACUGUAGCGGCUGCACCCCUCGCAUGAUGCAUGCGGCCAUGACCCCGAUCAUGGUCAGUCCGGAAUGAGCUAACAAUCUUAUCCGGCCCAUCAGGUAAAUAAUGUCCUUGUCACUUUCCCUCUGAGGGCUCCGUGGACGCCAACUUACACGCUUCUUUAGUGGGGCACUGUCGAACUCAGGGAGGCCGAUCCAGAUAGGAUCCGGCAGCGGGACAUCCUCUAUGUAAAACCAUUCCGAAGGACAGUCCUCGGACGCCUUCUUUGGGGUUCCGGAUAGAUAUCCGGUCCCGGCGAUGCGCCACACUUCGGCUCCGCCCACUUGAUAUAUUGACCCCUUCUUAGAACGAGGCACGAGGCAGAAUAGCUCUUUCCACAGCCCGAAAUGAGCCUCAACACCCAAAAAUAGCUCGUAGAGGGCUACGAAGCCCGCGAUAUGCAAUACGGAGGCAGGUGUAAGAUUGUGUAGCUGGAGGCCAUAGAACUCCAGGAGGCCCCGGAGAAACGGAUGGAUUGGAAAUCCGAGCCCUCUUAUUAAAUAAGGGACAAGGCAUAGCCGCUCUCCUUUGGAGGGAUUAGGGGCACUCUCCGCUUGCUCUCCGCCAUUAUAGAUGGCAAGACUGGCUCAAACCGGGACCAUAUAGGCCGGGGGGAGAAAUCCCUUGGUCUGGAGCGUCACUAGCUUGCUAUGCAGGAUGGAGCAUCUCUCCCAAAAUCCAGGCUUAGGGAUGGAAGGGCGAAGGGAGGAAUUGCGACGGCUGGCCAUGGUGGAAUGGACCUUUGUCGGAUGCGCUCUGAUGAACACUCGCGAAGGGGAGAAGGUGUGGUAUGGAUCUAAAUCCUCGUCCCCUUAAAUGGGCGGCUCAUUUACGCGGCUAGGGGUGUGGAUGUAAAAACACUCAGACUUUUCAUAUUCGUUUGACACGUGGGAGACGGCCAUUAUUGGGUGUGGAAGCCGAGGAGCGCAACAUUUACAAGAAACCGGACUUUAUUCGACAGGUACACGGAAUUUGAAGAAGAACCCGCCUUGCAAUGCCGAAGACAAUCUGCGCGCUGGACUUAUCAUCAUUGAAGCCUGGUUCGGGGGCUACUAAGGGAGUCCUGGGUUAGGGGGUGUCCGGAUGGCCGGACUAUACCUUCAGCCGGACUCCUGGACUAUGAAGAUACAAGAUUGAAGACUUUGUCCUGUGUCCGGAAGGGACUUUUCUUGGCGUGGAAUGCAAGCUUGGCGAUACGGAUAUGUAGAUCUCCUACCAUUGUAACCGACUUUAUGUAACCCUAACCCUAUCCGGUGUCUAUAUAAGCUGGAGGGUUUUAGUCCGUAGGCCAACAUACAGAACAACAAUCAUACCAUAGGCUAGUUUCUAGGGUUUAGCCUCUCCGAUCUCGUGGUAGAUCUACUCUUGUACUACCCAUAUCAUCAAUAUUAAUCAAGCAGGACGUAGGGUUUUACCUCCAUCAAGAGGGCCCGAACCUGGGUAAAACUUCGUGUCCCUUGCCUCAUGUUACCAUCCGGCCUACAUGCACAGUUCGGGACCCCCUACCCGAGAUCCGCCGGUUUUGACACCGACAGUUAGGGUUACACAAGGUCAGUUACAAAGGAGGAGAUAUCCAUAUCCGUACUGCCUAGAUUGCCUUCCACGCCAAGUAGAGUCCCAUUCGGACACGAGGCGAAGUCUUCAAUCUUGUAUCUUCAUAGUCCAACUGUCCGGCCAAAGGAUAUAGUCCGGCCGUCCGGAGACCUGUAAUCCCAGACUCCCUCAGAGAGUUUCGUCAGCAAACAGCAUGGUGACGGUGAUGGUGAUGUGAUCCGCGCAGGGCUUCGCCUAAGCACUAUGACAGUAUGACCGGGGGAGUAAACUGUGGAGGAGGGCACCGCACACGGCUAAGAGAAUAACUGUUGUGCUAUGGGUGCCCCCCGCCCCCGUAUAUAAAGGAGGAGGGGAGGAGGCCGGCCACAAGGGGCGCGCCAUAGGGGGAAACCGACUAGGACUCCCGAUCCUAGUCGGCCCCCCUUUCCUUUCUAUCAGAGGGGAAAAGGGAAGGAGAGGGAAAGAGGAAAGGGGGCCGCGCCCCUUGUCCAAUUCAGACUCCCUUGGGGGGGGGGGCGCCACCCCUUGCGGGCUCCCCUCUUUCUCCCGUGUGGCCCAUGAAGGCCAAUUACUUCCCCGGGGGGUUCCGGUAACCCCUUAGUUCUCUAAUAAAUAUCUGAAAUGUCCUGAAACCAUUCCGGUGUCUGAAUACCUUCGUCCAAUAUAUCAAUCUUUACCUCUCGACCAUUUCGAGACUCCUCGUCAUGUCUGUGAUCUCAUCCGGGACUCCGAACUAUCUUCGGUCACCAAGACACAUAACUCAUAAUACAAAUUGCCAUCAAACGUUAAGCGUGCAGAUCCUACAGGUUCGAGAACUAUGUAGACAUGACCAAGACACAUCUCCGAUCAGUAACCAACAGCGGAACCCGGAUGCUCAUAUUGGUUCCUACAUAUUAUACGAAGAUCUUUAUCGGUCAAACCCCAAUGACAACAUAUGUCAUUCCCUUUGUCAUCGGUAUGUUACUUGCCUGAGAUUUGAUCGUCGGUAUCAUCAUACCUAGUUCAAUCUCGUUACCGACAAGUCUCUUUACUCGUUCCAUAACGCAUCGUCCCGCAACUAACUCAUUAGUCACAUUGCUUUCAAGGCUUAUAGUGAUGUGCAUUACCGAGAGGGCCUAGAGAUACCUCUCCAAUACUCGGAGUGACAAUUCCUAAUCUCGAUCUAUGCCAACCCAACAAACACCUUCAGAGACACCUGUAGAGCAUCUUUAUAAUCACCCAGUUACGCUGUGAUGUUUGAUAGCACACAAGGUGUUCCUCUGGUAUUCGGGAGUUGCAUAAUCUCAUAGUCAGAGGAAUAUGUAUAAGUCAUGAAGAAAGCAAUACCAAUAAAACUUAACGAUCAUUAUGCUAAGAUAACGGAUGGGUCUUAUCCAUCACAUCAUUCUCCUAAUGAUGUGAUCUCGUUCAUCAAAUGACAACACAUGUCUAUGGUCAAGAAACUUAACCAUCUUUGAUUAACGAGCUAGUCAAGUAGAGGCAUACUAGUGACACUAUGUUUUGUCUAUGUAUUCACACAUGUAUCAAGUUUCCGGUUAAACAAUUCUAGCAUGAAUAAUAAACAUUUAUCAUGAUAUAAGGAAAUAUAAAUAACAACUUAUUGCCUCUAGGGCAUAUUUCUUUCAGUCUCCCACUUGCACUAGAGUCAAUAAUCUAGAUUACAUUGUAAUGAUUCUAACACCCAUGGAGUCUUGGUGUUGAUCAUGUUUUGCUCGUGGAAGAGGCUUAGUCAACGGGUCUGGAACAUUCAGAUCCGUGUGUAUUUUGCAAAUCUCUAUGUCUCCCUCCUUGACUUGAUCGCGGAUGGAGUUGAAGAAUCACUUGAUGUGUUUGGUUCUCUUGUGAAAUCUUGAUUCCUUCGCUAAGGCAAUUGCUCCAGUAUUGUCACACAAAAAAUUCAUUGGACCCGAUGCACUAGGCAUUACACCUAGAUCAGAUAUGAACUCCUUCAUCUAGACUCCUUCAUUUGCUGCUUCCGAAGCAGCUAUGUACUCCGCUUCACACGUAGAUCCCGCCACGACGCUCUGCUUGGAACUGCACCAACUGACAGCUCCACCAUUCAAUAUAAAUACAUAUCUGGUUUGUGAGUUAGAGUCAUCUGGAUCAGGGUCAAAGCUAGCAUCGACGUAACCAUUUACGACAAGCUCUUUGUCACCUUGAUAACCCACAAGUAUAGGGGAUCGCAACAGUUUUCGAGGGUAGAGUAUUGAACCCAAAUUUAUUGAUUCGACACAAGGGGAGCCAAAGAAUAUUCUCAAGUAUUAACAGUUGAGUUGUCAAUUCAACCGCACCUGAAAGACUUAAUAUCUGCAGCAAAGUAUUUAGUAGCAAAGUAAUAUGGAAGUAAUGGUAACGGUUGAGGGAGUCCUGGACUAAGGGGUCCUCGGGCGUCCAGCCUGUUGGACAUGGGCCGGACUAAUGGGCUGUGAAGAUACAAGACCGAAGACUCUCUCCCGUGUCCGGAUGGGACUCUCCUUGACGUGGAAGGCAAGCCUGGCGAUCAAAUAUGAAGAUUCCUUUCUCUGUAACCGACCUUGUACAACCCUAGUCCCCUCCGGUGUCUAUAUAAACCGGAGGGCUUAGUCUGGAUCGAGAGAUAGAUAAUCGUAGUCAGACAGGCUAGACUUUUAGGGUUUAGCCAUUACGAUCUCGUGGUAGAUCAACUCUUGUAAUACUCAUAUUCAUCAAGAUCAAUCAAGCAGGAAGUAGGGUAUUACCUCCAUAGAGAGGGCCCGAACCUGGGUAAACAUUGUGUCCCCUGUCUCCUAUUACCAUCGACCUUAGACGCGCAGUUCGGGACCCCCUACCCGAGAUCCGCCAGUUUUGACACCGACAUUGGUGCUUUCAUUGGGAGUUCCACUAUGCCGUCCUCAAAAGGUUUGAUGGAUCCUUCAAUCAUCUACAACAACGCUGUCCAAGGGGAAGUCUUCCUCCCUGGACAGAUCUUCAUGUUCGGUGGCUUCGCAAUGCGGGCCAACUCGCUUGGCCAUUUGGAGCAGAUCGACAGCUACGCCCCUGGCCGUUAGGUCAGAUUCGAGAGCUUGAACUACGUCACGGAUAUCAAUGAAGACUUGAUCUUUGACGGAUUCGAGACCACGGAAGUCGCUCCCCGUCACCUCGAUGAACAUGACUUAGAUCUGUCAUCGGGCCAUACCCAGGAAAUUGCACCUAUAACCGCUCUGGCCUUAGAUCUGGAGCAGGUCACGCCAUCCAAGGACAGGGAGCUCAACCCCGCUAUGGAGGCCGCAGACCCUACGGCAUUGCAGCCACACAUAGACCUAACCUCUGGUAAUGCCUGUGUCACCGGAACCUCGGACUUGUUUCCGGCUGUAAGUUCCAAACUACGUGCGUCCGCGCAUGUCGAGCAUGAUCGUUCAUCGAUCGCCGAAUUCAGCGCCACGGAUAUCUUCCGGCACUCGCCUUUGGGAGAUGUGCUGAACUCAUUAAAAAAUCUAUCCUUAGCGGGGGAUUCACAGCCGAACUGUAUCCGGUUCAAACUAGAAGCUGAUGACGGGGAAUUUCGCUUCCCACCCGCCACCCACUUUAUAGCCACUAUUGAAGACUUAACCGAUAUGCUCAAUUACGGCUCCGAAGACAUCGUCGGUAUGGACGACGAUGCAGAUGAGGAGCACGGCCAAAACCCGCCGUUCAUCGGAUGCUGGAUGGCCACUUAUUCGUACCACGUGUACAUGGUGGAUACACCUAAAGAAUGUAACAACGAUGACAAAGAAGAUCCAGUCGAGGAUAAACCUCCUGGGACACAGCCCAAGCGCCGACGUCAGCGGCGCCGCUCUAAGUCACGUCGUGCAAAAGAUAGCAAUGAAGGAAAUAUGCCCAAGAGGCAAUAAUAAAGUAAUUAUUUAUUUCCUUAUAUGAUGAUAAAUGUUUAUUAUUCAUGCUAGAAUUGUAUUAACCGGAGACAUAAUACAUGUGUGAAUACAUAGACAAAUAGAGUGUCACUAGUAUGCCUCUACUUGACUAGCUCGUUGAUCAAAUAUGGUUAUGUUUCCUAGCCAUAGACAUGAGUUGUCAUUUGAUUAAUGGGAUCACAUCAUUAGGAGAAUGAUUUGAUUGACUUGACCCAUUCCGUUAGCUUAGCACUUGAUCGUUUAGUUUGUUGCUAUUGCUUUCUUCAUAACUUAUACAUGUUCCUAUGACUAUGAGAUUAUGCAACUCCCGUUUACCGGAGGAACACUUUGUGUGCUACCAAACGUCACAACGUAACUGGGUGAUUAUAAAGGUGCUCUACAGGUGUCUCCGAAGGUACUUGUUGGGUUGGCGUAUUUCGAGAUUAGGAUUUGUCACUCCAAUUGUCGGAGAGGUAUCUCUGGGCCCUCUCGGUAAUGCACAUCACUCAAGCCUUGCAAGCAUUGCAACUAAUAAGUUAGUUGUGGGAUGAUGUAUUAUGGAACGAGUAAAGAGACUUGUCGGUAACGAGAUUGAACUAGGUAUUGAGAUACCGACAAUUGAAUCUCGGGCAAGUAACAUACCGAUGACAAAGGGAACAACGUAUGUUGUUAUGCGGUCUGACCGAUAAAGAUCUUCGUAGAAUAUGUAGGAUCCAAUAUGAGCAUCCAGGUUCCGCCAUUGGUUAUUGACCGGAGACGUGUCUCGGUCAUGUCUACAUAGUUCUCGAACCCGUAGGGUCCACACGCUUAAAGUUCGGUGACGAUCGUAAUUAGGGUUUUUGUGUUUUGAUGUACCGAAGGUUGUUCGGAGUCCCGGAUAUGAUCACGGACAUGACAAGGAGUCUCUAAAUGGUCGAGACAUAAAGAUUGAUAUAUUGGAAGCCUAUAUUUGGAUAUCGGAAUCGUUUCGGGUGAAAUCGGGAUUUUACUGGAGUACCGGGGGGUUACCGGAACCCCCCGGGGGUUAGUGGGCCUACAUGGGCCCUAAGGGAGAAGAGGAGGGCUGGCCAGGGCAGGCUGUGCGCCCCCUCCUCCCUAGUCCGAAUAGGACAAGGAAGGAGGGGGGGGGGGCGCCCCCCUUUCCCAUUUCCCCCUUCCCCUUUCCUUCUCCAACAAGGCAAGAGGGGGAGUCCUAGUCCCGGUGGGAGUAGGACUCCUCCAGGAGCACCCCUAGGGGCCGACCGCACCUCCCCUGUCAGUGUCAAAACCAGCGGAUCUCGGGUAGGGGGUCCCGAACUGUGCAUCUAGGCCGGAUGGUAACAGGAGACAAGGGACACGAAGUUUUACCCAGGUUCGGGCCCUCUUGAUGGAGGUAAAACCCUACGUCCUGCUUGAUUAAUAUUGAUGAUAUGGGUGUUACAAGAGUAGAUCUACCACGAGAUCAGAGAGGCUAAACCCUAGAAGCUAGCCUACGGUAUGAUUGCAUGUUGUGAUUGUUGUCCUACGGACUAAAACCCUUCGGUUUAUAUAGACACCGGAGAGGGUUAGGGUUACACAAGGUCAGUUACAAAGGAGGAGAUAUCCAUAUACGUAUUGCCUAGCUUGCCUUCCACACCAAGUAGAGUCCCAUCCGGAUACGAGACGAAGUCUUCAAUCUUGUAUCUUCAUAGUCUAACAGUCCGGCCAAUGGAGAUAGUCCGGCUAUCCGGAGACCCCCUAAUCCAGGACUCCCACAGUAGCCCCUGAACCAGACUUCAAUGACAAUGAGUCAAGCGCGCAGUAUUGUCUUCGGCAUUGCAAGGCGGGUUCCUUCUCCGAAUACAUGACAGAAGAAGUUGAAUACGAGGAUAGUGUCCGACCCUGCACAAUAAAUUCCACAUUCCACCGCAGAGAGAAUAACAUUUUCGCAGAUCUUAUUUGCUGGCUUGUUUUGGCAACAUGACGUUAUGUCAUGUCCCGGUGAUUAUUCGAACCGUUUCUUUUAACCAGCCCCACACAUAAUGUGAGGCAGUUUCUCGACACGUCUUGUCAAAGCAGAGAUCGUGUCCCCUUAUUACGGGAUUCUCAUCAAUAUGGGCGUGGGUAACCCAACCGCGCCAUCAAUUGCGACACUUGGGGGAUAAGCGAGUUUUACCAGGCAAGUGGGGACGUUUAAUUUUGUCCGCCCAUAUAAAGGGAUAAGGAUUCACCUUUCUAUCCACGCCUUCCUCCUCCUCUGCUCAUCUGCUCCCGCACACUCGAGCUCUAGCGCCCAAGCUCUCACUUCCAUCUCAACCUUCUCCGACCAUGUCCGGAGCGAGAGGAGCACCGCACUAUUAUGAGUGCGGUGAUCCAGAAGGUGUUGGGGAACUUUGCAGAAAACAAAAAUUUUCCUACGGUUUCACCAAGAUCCAUAUAGGAGUUCAUCUAGCAACGAGUGAUCGGAUUGCAUCUACAUACCUUUAUAGAUCACGCGCAGAAGCGUUCAAAGAACGGGGAUGAGGAAGUCGUACUCGACGUGAUCCAAAUCACCGGAGAUCCUAGCGCCGAAUGGACGGCACCUCCGCGUUCAACACACGUACGGUCAGCAUGACGUCUCCUCCUUCUUGAUCCAGCAAGGGGGAAGGAGAGGUUGAGGAUGAUGGCUCCAGUACCAGCACGACGGCGUGGUGGUGGUGGAGCUGCAGUACUCCAGUAGGGCUUCGCCAAGCUCUAUGGAGGAGGAGGUGUUGGAGAGGGAGAGGGAGGAACCAAAGGCGUAGGUGAGAGGCCCUCCCCCCACUAUAUAUAGGGGGCCUAGGGGGGGCACCGGCCCUAGGAGAUGCAAUCUCCUAGGGGGGCGGCGGCCAAGGGGUGGGGGGCUUGCCCCCCAAGCAAGGGGGUGCCCCCCCUUUAGGGUUUCCCCUACCCUAGGCGCAUGGGCCCUAGGGGGAAGUGGCGCCCCAGCCCACUUUGGGCUGGAUCCCUUCCCACUUCAGCCCAUGGGGCCCUCCGGGAUAGGUGGCCCCACCCGGUGGACCCCUGGGACCCUUCCGGUGGUCCCGGUACAAUACCGGUGACCCCGAAACUUGUCCCGAUGGCCGAAAUAGCACUUCCUAUAUAUAAUUCUUUACCUCCGGACCAUGCCGGAACUCCUCGUGACGUCCAGGAUCUCAUCCGGGACUCCGAACAACUUUCGGGUUACUGCAUAUACAUAUCCCUACAACCCUAGCGUCAUCGAACCUUAAGUGUGUAGACCCUACGGGUUCGGGAGACAUGUAGACAUGACCGAGAUUGCUCUCCGGUCAAUAACCAACAACGGGAUCUGGAUACCCAUGUUGGCUCCCACAUGCUCCUCGAUGAUCUCAUCGGAUGAACCACGAUGUCGAGGAUUCAAGCAACCCCGUAUACAAUUCCCUUUGUCAAUCGGUACGUUACUUGCCCGAGAUUCGAUCAUCGGUAUCCCAAUACCUCAUUCAAUCUCGUUACCGGUAGGGAUGAAAAUGGAGUGGAAAGUUUCCGAUUUUCCAGAGGAAAAAUGGAAACAGAGAGGAAAUAUGAAAACGGAAACAGAAAUUUGCAAAAUGGAAAUGGAAGUGGAAUUUUUUAUGCGGAAACGGAAACAAAAACGGAACGGUGUUUUCCGGUGGAACAGACGCGGAAACAGAACUUUCCGUUUCCGUGAAUAUGAAAUUUCCGUUUCUACUAUAGGCCCAUGGCUGCUUUGUAGCCCAAUUACUAAACAACAGACAAUGACACAAUGAGCAGACUGGAUCAUUUGAGGACCAACUUUUACUUCCACACACAUUCUCAACUAGACACAAUACGGAAUUGUCAUGUACUAUUACAAUACUACCCUAUGUUACCAACACAACCAUAUUAUCAUGUAGCCAUGUUAACAAUUUCUUAAAUUUCUUUGUUUUUGUGUGUAUUUCUCUAUGAUUCAAGGGGGUUUUAAGUUCUAGUCAACACACCGUUCUGUUUUCAUGUCCGCUCUGUAUUCGCUCCGUGUCUGUUUCCGGUAGUAUUUGUUUCCGUAUUCAUUUCCGGGGUUUCCGUAUUCAUUUGCACUUCUGCAAAAAAAUAUGAAAACAAAUAUGGUAGCACCCAGUUCCGUCCGUUUCUGCUUCGUUCUCAUCCCUAGUUACCGGCAAGUCACUUUACUCGUACCGUAAUGCAUGAUCCCGUGACCAGACACUUGGUCACUUUGAGCUCAUUGCGAUGAUGCAUUACCGAGUGGGCCCAGAGAUACCUCUCCGUCAUACAGAGUGACAAAUCCCAGUCUUGAUCCGUGUCAACCCAACAGACACUUUCGGAGAUACCCGUAGUAUACCUUUAUAGUCACCCAGUUACGUUGUGACGUUUGGUACACCCAAAGCACUCCUACGGUAUUCGGGAGUUACACAAUCUCAUGGUCUAAGGAAAAGAUACUUAACAUUGGAAAACUCUAGCAAACGAACUAUACGAUCUUGUGCUAUGUUUAGGAUUGGGUCUUGUCCAUCACAUCAUUCUCCUAAUGAUGUGAUCUCAUUAUCAAUGACAUCCAAUGUCCAUAGUCAGGAAACCAUGACUAUCUGUUGAUCAACGAGCUAGUCAACUAGAGGCUUACUAGGGACAUGUUGGUGUCUAAGUAUUCACACAUGUAUUACGAUUUCUGGAUAACACAAUUAUAGCAUGAAUAAAAGACAAUUAUCAUGAACAAGGAAAUAUAAUAAUAAUCCUUUUAUUAUUGCCUCUAGGGCAUAUUUCCAACAGAAGGUUCAGUCCGCCAAGAGCGGAUUGACUGAAGCCUGUACUAGCCUUCUAACAGGCUUCGAGGUAAGUGUUUUUAAAAUGUAGUAGAAAUAUUACCGCAUAGACAGUAGCCCCUGAUGCUUUGUUCGGUGUUCACAAAGAAAAGCCGAACAGAGGAUCAAAUAAUAUCGCAGGAGUCUAAUAUAAGUAUGUCAAUAUGCAUAUGCAGGCUUCGCUGCUGGCGUCCGCCGCACUAAUUGCGGAGGUCGCCGUACUGAAGGAGGCCCUCGAGGGGUCCUAGAAAGAGAUCGGCCUUGCUAAGAGGCAGCUCGAGGAGAACAAGGGUAAGUAAUACCCCGUCUGUAGAUGAGAAAAAGGACGCAAUUGCUAAAUGACAGGAUCAUUGUAUGUUUGCCAGGGGCCACGACCGAGGUGGCGACCCUAAAGCAAGCACUGUCCCAGUCCGAAGAAAAGGCGGCACAGGAGCGCACCGAGCGAGAGAGGCACGAGGCUCGGGUGGGCGAGGUGCAACAAGAGCUCCAGGCUCUCGUGACAAAGCACGAGGGGUUGGAGCUUGACUUGAAGACGAGAGAGUCUGAGCUUUCCGCGACCCGUGAGAGCGCAAAGAGUGCCAAGGCCGAGGCCCAGAAGGCCCUUCAGGAGAUCAACACGAUGAAGAAGAUAGCGGCGGGUAAGGCUUUCUAUAUGCAAAGCAAGCAUGUAAAGGUGAAUUACCGAUUACUUACCCAAAUCCGGAGCUCUUCAGGAGCAUUCGCAGAUUUGCCCCGCAGUGUGUCCGAUGCCGCACUAUUCUACCAGGCCAAGGACAGAAGCUCGAUGGAGAAGCUGUUCUGUUCUCAGUAUGCUAAGGCCGAACAUCCGGUGCCAAUGAGCGACCAGCUGAAGCAGAUGGCCGAGCUACAUAAGGCGGCCGAUCAGGCCAUGAAGGGCUUCAUAGUCCGGUUGUGGCCUGGCGAUGCCCUUCCAAACAGCUUCUUUGGCCUGGUGAGGCGGCUUGUGGAUGCCUGCCCAUGGUUGGAGGUCGUCAAGCGAUCCGUCUGCAUUGAAGGUGCACGCCGGGCCUUCGCCCGUGUAAAAACAUAGUGGGUCAAGCUAGACGCCGUGAAGCUGAUCAAGGGGGGGCCGCCGGAGGGGAAGGAGCACCGCCACCCCGAGAUGUACUACGAGGGUGUUCUGCCAGGCGCCCGUCUUAUCGCGGAUGAGUGUUCGAAAAAUGUGAUAUUUGAAUGAGACUUGCUCGUUUUGUCUUGUAUGUAUGAAAACUUUUAUCGUAUUCGCUAUGCAACGCUUGUGUGAAUUUAAAAUAUUACCUUCUGUUUGGCAGUUUAUCAAAUCUGAGAGAUGGCUAGUCCUCGGCUUCUGCCCCCAUGCCACAAGUGCUAGGGUGUUCGGGAUAAACCUGAGCACUCUUGUUCCCAUGUUUGGGUCCUUCGAGGGAGGUGCUCAGCACAACGAACAAGGCAACCGGACUAAUAAUGCUUUAUCACUCUCACUUAGCCAUAGAAUUCUAUAAUUUUAAAUUUUGGCGAAGCCCCUAGUAUUCGGAAGGCCGAAUUCGGGGCACGAUACACGCCUGUAAGACGGACGGAGCCGGCCCCUCGCCCUAAGCGGCAUAAGUCUUUAGGGACUCAAAAAACCUCGCCGAACAGCGACCAGUCUCUCGCCUUAUCAUGACAGUCAGUUUUAGCUUUCUCUACUGAGGUGCUCGGCCCGGCAUAACCGGGGCACAAUCGCAGUAGUUCUCCUAGCGCUACCUUAGCCGAUAGAGCGGAACGUAAGGUACCAAAACAUAGGAGCCGGACAAACCCAACAUUUGACCAAAGACAUGAUUUGGAGCUGAUGCAUAUAAUGCUAUAAGUUUGGGGUGCCGCACUUGUGAAAGUGUUCAGACUUUUCACACCAUAUUGUGGGUACGUAAGCCCCUGGUGCAUUGGCCGUACCAGAGUGUACGGUUGCUAGGCGUCAUUAAUGAACACAUAGAUAUGUAUAUAUAUAUAUAACAAAAAUGCGAUAAUAGUCGUAAUGUCAUGUAUUGUAUAUGAAAAAAUUGCAUUAGAGUAGAGUGAUACAGAUAGUGUAAUAAGCAAAAGAGUAGGACUACGUCCCUUCCAAGGGCGAGCUGAGGAAUUAUAUGAAAUCUGUAAACCACCUGGGAAUUCCGUAGUUGUCGGCCUCCUUGGUUGCUGUAUCAUGUGUUCGGCAAUAGAGCUGCCGGACAGUGUUUCCAGAGAUUGAAGUCCUGAAAGAAAAAGAAAAAUAACCAAAUGGGAAGCCCCUGGUGCGGUUUAGGCCGCGUUUUGGGGCGUGCCGUAGUUGUGCCCCCCUUCCCCACCUGUGCCCAUGGUAUUUUUAAUGUGUAAUUAUGUACGCGCGGCACGAACGACGCCGUUCGGCUGGGAUUGGGGUGGCCGCCGUAUUGCUACGCGAGCUCGGAUCGCGCCAGGCGGUCUGUUUACCGAUUGCCUCGAGCGCGCUUGAAGGUGUCUGGGCUUUGAAAUGCCGAACUGGUAGAUUGCCUUGAGAGGCUGCUUUGCACUUCUGCUGCGAGGGCCGCGGUGUGCUCCUCUGUUCGGAGAGAGUGCUCUGUGUUUCCAUUGACUAUAAUAACUCCGCGAGGUCCUAGCAUCUUGAGCUUGAGGUAUGCAUAAUGUGCUACCGCAUUGAAUCUAGCAAAUGCGGUUCAUCCGAGCAGCGCGUGAUAACCACUGCGGAACGGGACUAUAUCGAAGAUUAACUCUUUGCUUCGGAAGUUAUCCGGGGAUCCGAAGACCACUUCCAGUGUAAUUGAGCCUGUGCAAUGGGCCUCUACGCCUGGAAUGACGCCCUUAAAGGUCGUCUUUGUGGGUUUGAUCCUUGAGGGGUCUAUACCCAUUUUGCGCACUGUGUCCUGAUAAAGCAGGUUCAGGCUGCUGCCGCCGUCCAUAAGGACUCGAGUGAGGUGAAAUCCGUCGAUGAUUGGGUCUAGGACCAGUGCGGCGAAUCCACCGUGAUGGAUACUAGUGGGGUGGUCCCUGCGAUCGAAGGUGAUCGGACAGGAGGACCAAGGGUUGAACUUUGGGGUGACUGGCUCCAACGCAUAUAUGUCCCUGAGCGAACGCUUCCGCUCCCUCUUGGGGAUGUGGGUUGCGUAUAUCAUGUUCACCGUCCGCACUUGUGGGGGAAACCUCUUCUGUCCUCCAGUGUGCGGCUGCUAGGGUUCUUCCUCGUCAUUGCUAUGUGGCUCCUUGUCCUUGUUUUCGGCAAUUAACUUGCCGGCCUGCUUGAACACCCAGCAAUCCUUGUUGGUGUGAUUGGCUGGCUUGUCUGGGGUGCCGUGUAUUUGACACAAGCGAUCGAGUAUACGGUCCAAGCUGGACGGACCUGGCAUACUUUGUUUGAAUGGCUUUUUCCGCUGACCGGGUUUAGAGCCUUUGAAUCCGGCAUUGACUGCCAUAUCCACAGUACUUUUGCCGUUAAUGCGACGCUUAUGCUUGUUGCGACGUGACCUGCUAUUGCCGUCCUUGGUAUCUGAGGUACCAUGGUUCUUUGAUAUGUUAUUACUGCGAGGCAACCAGCUGUCUUCUCCCGCACAAAAGCGGGUCAUGAGCGUCGUGAGGGCUGCCAUAGAUUUCAGCUUUUCCUGACCGAGGUGUCGGGCUAGCCACUUGUCUCGGAUGUUGUGCUUGAAAGCCGCUAAGGCCUCCGCAUCCGGACAGUCGACGAUUUGAUUUUUCUUUGUAAGGAACCGAGUCCAGAAUUGCCUGGCCGACUCUUCUAGCUGCUGAAUUAUGUGGCUCAAGUCAUCGGCGUCUGAUGGUCGCACAUAAGUGCCCUGAAAGUUGUCGAGGAAUGCGCUUCCAGAUCUUCCCAACAACUAAUGGAGUCUGCUGGCAAGCUAUUAAGCCAAUGCCGCGCUGGUCCUUUGAGUUUUAGUGGGAGGUAUUUGAUGGCAUGUAAGUCAUCACCGCGGGCCAUGUGGAUGUGGAGGAGGAAGUCCUCAAUCCAUACUGCGGGAUCUGUUGUGCUGUCGUAUGAUUCAAUGUUUACAGGUUUGAAACCUUCUGGGAAUUGAUGUUCCAUUACUUCGUCUGUGAAGCAUAAGGGGUGUGCGGUGCCUCUAUAUUGGGCUAUAUCGCGACGCAGCUCAGAGGGGUCCUGCCCACUGUGUUCAGCCCGGCCGGAUUUGCUUUUACUGUAUCCGGCGUGACGUUUAUCGUCUCGUAGAGUGGUGCACCCUCGUGAUCUGUAGAUCAAUCUUGAAUGCUUUGCUUUGUCCUCCAAUAUGUCUCGCAGGUCUGGCGUAUCUCCCCAUGCCUUUUUAUUUGAAUGGCGUUGGGGUGGAGGCUGAGCUUUUGGCUGGAAUGCCUCUCUAUCGCGGCCACGGGGUGGCCGAUCAGCCGUUUCAUACGCUUCUUCCUCCAGUCGGGGAAGCAACCUACGCCUUGGAUAACUCUUGGAGGGACGCUCGAGUUUAUAUUGCUCGUCCACGAGGACUUCAGUCCAUUUGUCAGCUAGCAGAUCUUGGUCAGCUUGAAGCUGCUGCUGCUUUUUCUUCAGGCUAUUUGCUGUGGCCAUAAGCCUGCGCUUGAAGCGCUCUUGUUCGAUGGGAUCCUCUGGAACGGCGAAUUCAUAGUCGCCGAGGCUUGCCUCGUCUUCGGAGGGGGGCAUGUAAUUGUCAUCCUCCUCCUCUCCGCCAGGUGCUCUCUCAGGAGAGCUGGCUCCUUCAUCCUCCUGCUCUACAUCUUGCUGGAGGGGAUUGUUUUUGUCUUCGGCGCUAUCCGGAGUGUUAUUAUCUCCUGUGCCGGUAUCACCACUUUUGCUUUGGCGGGACUUAGAGCGGCGCCGCUGACAUCGGUGCUUGGGUUGCUUCAUGGAGGGGUCAUCCUCCGUUAUCUCGUCGCCGUUGCCUUCAUUGGGUGUAUCCACCAUGUAUAUGUCAUAUGAUGAGGUGGCUGUCCAGUGCCCUGUAGGUGCUGGUUCAUGUUCGUCUCCUACAUCGUCGUCCAUACCGUCGAUGUCUUCGGAGUCGAAGUCGAGCAUGUCGGUUAAGUCAUCGACAGUGGCUACAAAGUGGGUGGUGGGUGGGCGUCGAAUUUCUUCGUCGUCCGCAUCCCAAUCCUGUUGGCCAUAAUCCGGCCAGGGCUCUCCUGACAAAGAGAGAGACCUUAGUGAGUUCAGAAUGUCGCCGAAGGGCGAGUGCUGAAAGAUAUCCGCGGCGGUGAAUUCCAUGAUCGGUGCCCACUCGGAUUCGAUUGGCAGGGCCGUGGAUGGUUCGGGGUCCGGAAGAGAGUUCGGCACCUUGGAGUCAUGGGCUGUGCAGAGGAUUAUGCUGGUGUUCGGCUCGAUCGCCGUCGAGACUGCAGCCCCUGAGGCAGUGUCUAGCCACCCGUCCUCGAUUGGCGCAGUUGGCUCCAAGCUAAGGGUCGGAGCUAAUGCGGGCGCGGCCUCUGGAGUACCGUCCGGUGGCAGAGCUAGGUCAUACCCAUCGCGACCGUGCGGCGCGCCCGGCUGUGGCUCGAAUCCGUCGAAGAUCAAGUCCCCACGGAUAUUGGCCAUGUAAUUCAAACUUCCAAAUCUGACCUGAUGGCCAGGGGCGUAGCUUUCAAUCUGCUCCAGAUGGCCAAGCGAAUUAGCCCGCAGUGCAAAGCCGCCGAAUACGAAGAUUUGUUCGGGGAGAAAACUCUCACCCUGGACCGCAUCGCUAUCGAUGAUAGUAGGAGCCAUCAAUCCUAACGGCGACGACACAGAGGAACUCUCAAUGAAAGCACCAAUGUCGAUGUCAAAACCGGCGGAUCUCGGGUAGGGGGUCCCGAACUGUGCGUCUAGGCCGGAUGGUAACAUGAGACAAGGGACACGAAGUUUUACCCAGGUUCGGGCCCUCUUGAUGGAGGUAAAACCCUACGUCCUGCUUGAUUAAUAUUGAUGAUAUGGGUGUUACAAGAGUAGAUCUACCACGAGAUCAGAGAGGCUAAACCCUAGAAGCUAGCCUAUGGUAUGAUUGUAUGUUGUGAUUGUUGUCCUACGGACUAAAACCCUUCGGUUUAUAUAGACACUGGAGAGGGUUAGGGUUACACAAGGCCGGUUACAAAGGAGGAGAUAUCCAUAUACGUAUUGCCUAGCUUGCCUUCCACGCCAAGUAGAGUCCCAUCCGGAUACGAGACGAAGUCUUCAAUCUUGUAUCUUCAUAGUCUAACAGUCUGGCCAAUGGAGAUAGUCCGACUAUCCGGAGACCCCCUAAUCCAGGACUCCCACACCCCUCCCUCCUUUAUAUACGGGGGCAGGGGGGCACCCCAUGACACACAAGUUGAUCUUCGUGAUCGUUCCUUAGCCGUGUGCGGUGCCCCCUUCCACCAUAUUCCACCUCGGUCAUAUCGUAGCGGUGCUUAGGCGAAGCCCUGUGUUGGUAGAACAUCAUCACCGUCAUCACGCCAUCGUGCUGACGAAACUCUCCCUCAACACUCGGCUAGAUCAGAGCUUGAGGGACGUCGCCGAGUUGAAUAUGUGCAGAACUCGGAGGUGCCGUACGUUCGGUACUUGGAUCGGUCAGAUCGGGAAGACGUACGACUACUUCCUCUAUGUUGUGUCAACGCUUCCGUUGCCGGUCUACGAGGGUACGUAGACAACACUCUCCCCUCUCGUUGCUAUGCAUCACCAUGAUCAUGCGUGUGUGUAGGAUUUUUUUUGAAAUUACUACAUUCCCCAGCAGUGGCAUCAGAGCCAGGUUUUAUGCGUUGAUGUUAUGCACGAGUAGAAUACAAGUGAGUUGUGGGCGAUAUAAGUCAUACUGCUUACCAGCAUGUCAUACUUUGGUUCGGCGGUAUUGUUGGAUGAAGCGGCCCGGACCGACAUUACGCUUACGCUUACGCGAGACUGGUUCUACCGACGUGCUUUGCACACAGGUGGCUGGCGGGUGUUAGUUUCUCCAACUUUAGUUGAAUCGAGUGUGGCUACGCCCCAUCCUUGCGAAGGUUAAAACAACAGCAACAUGACAAACUAUCAUUGUGGUUUUGAUGCGUAGGUAAGAACGGUUCUUGCUAAGCCCGUAGCAGCCAUGUAAAACUUGCAACAACAAAGUAGAGUACGUCUAACUUGUUUUUGCAGGGCAUGUUGUGAUGUGAUAUGGUCAAGACAUGAUGCUAAAUUUUAUUGUAUGAGAUGAUCAUGUUUUGCAACCGAGUUAUCGGCAACUGGCAGGAGCCAUAUGGUUGUCUCUUUAUUGUAUGCAGUGCAAUCGCGCUGUAAUGCUUUACUUUAUCACUAAGCGGUAGGGAUAGUCGUGGAAGCAUAAGAUUGGCGAGACGACAACGAUGCUACGAUGGAGAUCAAGGUGUCGCGCUGGUGACGAUGGUGAUCAUGACGGUACUUUGGAGAUGGAGAUCACAAGUAUAAGAUGAUGAUGGCCAUAUCAUAUCAGUUAUAUUGAUUGCAUGUGAUGUUUAUCUUUUAUGCAUCUUAUCUUGCUUUGAUUGACGGUAGCAUUAUAAGAUGAUCUCUCACUAAAUUUCAAGAUAAAAGUGUUCUCCCUGAGUAUGCACCGUUGCCAAAGUUCGUCGUGCCCAGACACCACGUGAUGGUCGGGUGUGAUAAGCUCUACGUCCAUCUACAACGGGUGCAAGCCAGUUUUGCACACGCAGAAUACUCAGGUUAAACUUGACGAGGCUAGCAUAUGCAGAUAUGGCCUCGGAACACUGAGACCGAAAGGUCGAGCGUGAAUCAUAUAGUAGAUAUGAUCAACAUAUUGAUGUUCACCAUUGAAAGCUACUCCAUUUCACGUGAUGAUCAGUUAUGGUUUAGUUGAUUUGGAUCACGUGAUCACUUAGAAGAUUAGAGGGAUGUCUUUCUAAGUGGGAGUUCUUAAGUAAUAUGAUUAAUUGAACUUAAAUUUAUCAUGAACUUAGUACCUGAUAGUAUCUUGCUUGUCUAUGUUUGAUUGUAGAUAGAUGGCCCGUGCUGUUGUUCCAUUGAAUUUUAAUGCAUUCCUUGAGAAAGCAAAGUUGAAAGAUGAUGGUAGCAAUUACACGGCGGGGUCCGUAACUUGAGGAUUAUCCUCAUUGCUACACAGAAGAAUUACGUCCUGGAAGCACCGCUGGGUGCCAGACCUGCUGCUGGAGCAACACCAGAUGUUAUGAACGUCUGGCAGAGCAAAGCUGAUGACUACUCGAUAGUUCAGUGUGCCAUGCUUUACGGCUUAGAAUCGGGACUUCAACGAUGUUUUGAACGUCAUGGAGCAUAUGAGAUGUUCCAGGAGUUGAAGUUAAUAUUUCAAGCAAAUGCCCGGAUUGAGAGAUAUGAAAUCUCCAAUAAGUUCUAUAGCUGCAAGAUGGAGGAGAAUAGUUCUGUCAGUGAACAUAUACUCAAAAUGUCUGGGUAUCAUAAUCACUUGACUCAACUGGGAGUUAAUCUUCCUGUUGAUAGUGUCAUUGACAGAGUUCUUCAAUCACUGCCACCAAGCUACAAGAGCUUCGUGAUGAACUAUAACAUGCAAGGGAUGGAUAAGAUGAUUCCCGAGCUCUUCGCAAUGCUAAAGGCUGCAGAGGUAGAAAUCAAGAAGGAGCAUCAAGUGUUGAUGGUCAACAAGACCGCCAGUUUCAAGAAAAAAGGCAAAGGGAAGAAGAAGGGGAACUUCAAGAAGAACAACAAGCAAGUUGCUGCUCAGGAGAAGAAACCAAAAUCUGGACCUAAGCCUGAAACUGAGUGCUUCUACUGCAAGCAGACUAGACACUGGAAGCGGAACUGCCCCAUGUAUUUGGCAGAUAAGAAGGAUGGCAAGGUGAACAAAGGUAUAUGUGAUAUACAUGUUAUUGAUGUGUACCUUACUAGAGCUCGCAGUAGCACCUGGAUAUUUGAUACUGGUUCUGUUGCUAUUAUUUGCAACUUGAAACAGGGACUACGGAUUAAGCGAACACUGGCGAAGGACGAGGUGACGAUGCGCGUGGGAAAUGGUUCCAAAGUCGAUGUGAUUGCAGUCGGCACGCUACCUCUACAUCUACCUUCGGGAUUAGUAUUAGACCUAAAUAAUUGUUAUUUGGUGCCAACGUUGAGCAUGAAAAUUAUAUCUGGAUCUUGUUUGAUGCGAGACGGUUAUUCAUUUAAAUCAGAGAAUAAUGGUUGUUCUAUUUAUAUGAGUAAUAUCUUUUAUGGCCAUGCACCCUUGAAGAGUGGUCUAUUUUUGAUAAAUCUCGAUAGUAGUGAUACACAUAUUCAUCAUGUUGAAGCCAAAAGAUGCAGAGUUGAUAAUGAUAGUGCAACUUAUUUGUGGCACUGCCGUUUAGGUCAUAUCGGUGUAAAGCGCAUGAAGAAACUCCAUACUGAUGGACUUUUGGAAUCACUUGAUUAUGAAUCACUUGGUACUUGCGAACCGUGCCUCAUGGGCAAGAUGACUAAAACGCUGUUCUCCGGUACUAUGGAGAGAGCAACAGAUUUGUUGGAAAUCAUACAUGCAGAUGUAUGUGGUCCGAUGAAUAUUGAGGCUCAUGGCGGAUAUCGUUAUUUUCUCACCUUCACAGAUGAUUUAUGCAGAUAUGGGUAUAUCUACUUAAUGAAGCAUAAGUCUGAAACAUUUGAAAAGUUCAAAGAAUUUCAGAGUGAAGUUGAAAAUCAUCGUAACAAGAAAAUAAAGUUUCUACGAUCUGAUCGUGGAGGAGAAUAUUUGAGUUACGAGUUUGGUCUACAUUUGAAACAAUGCGGAAUAGUUUCGCAACUCAUGCCACCCGGAACACCACAGCGUAAUGGUGUGUCCGAACGUCGUAAUCGUACUUUACUAGAUAUGGUGCGAUCUAUGAUGUCUCUUACCAAUUUACCGCUAUCGUUUUGGGGUUAUGCUUUAGAGACGGCUGCAUUCACGUUAAAUAGGGCACCAUCGAAAUCCGUUGAGACGACGCCUUAUGAACUAUGGUUUGGCAAGAAACCAAAGUUGUCGUUUCUGAAAGUUUGGGGCUGCGAUGCUUAUGUGAAAAAGCUUCAACCUGAUAAGCUCGAACCCAAAUCGGAGAAAUGUGUCUUCAUAGGAUACCCAAAGGAGACUGUUGGGUACACCUUCUAUCACAUACCCGAAGGCAAGACAUUCGUUGCUAAGAAUGGAUCCUUUCUAGAGAAGGAGUUUCUCUCGAAAGAAGUGAGUGGGAGGAAAGUAGAACUUGAUGAGGUAACUAUACCUGCUCCCUUAUUGGAAAGUAGUACAUCACAAAAACCGGUUUCUGUGACACCUAUACCAAUUAGUGAGGAAGCCAAUGAUAAUGAUCAUGAAACUUCAGAUCAAGUUACUACCGAACCUCAUAGAUCAACCAGAGUAAGGUCCGCACCAGAGUGGUAUGGUAAUCCUGUUCUGGAAGUCAUGCUACUAGAUCAUGAUGAACCUACGAACUAUGAAGAAGCGAUGGUGAGCCCAGAUUCCACAAAAUGGCUAGAAGCCAUGAAAUCUGAGAUGGGAUCCAUGUAUGAGAACAAAGUGUGGACUUUGGUUGACUUGCCCAUUGAUCGGCAAGCAAUUGAGAAUAAAUGGAUCUUCAAGAAGAAGACUGACGUUGACGGUAAUGUUACUAUCUACAAAGCUCGACUUGUUGCAAAAGGUUUUCGACAAGUUCAAGGGAUUGACUACAAUGAGACCUUCUCACCCGUAGCGAUGCUUAAGUCUGUCCGAAUCAUGUUAGCAAUUGCCGCAUUUUAUGAUUAUGAAAUUUGGCAGAUGGAUGUCAAAACUGCAUUCCUGAAUGGAUUUCUGGAAGAAGAGUUGUAUAUGAUGCAAUCGGAAGGUUUUGUCAAUCCAAAGGGAGCUAACAAAGUGUGCAAGCUCCAGCGAUCCAUUUAUGGACUGGUGCAAGCCUCUCGGAGUUGGAAUAAACGCUUUGAUAGUGUGAUCAAAUAAUUUGGUUUUGUACAGACUUUUGGAGAAGCCUGUAUUUACAAGAAAGUGAGUGGGAGCUCUGUAGCAUUUCUGAUAUUAUAUGUGGAUGACAUAUUACUGAUUGGAAAUGAUAUAGAAUUUCUGGAUAGCAUAAAGGGAUACUUGAAUAAGAGUUUUUCAAUGAAAGACCUCGGGGAAGCUGCUUACAUAUUGGGCAUUAAGAUCUAUAGAGAUAGAUCAAGACACUUAAUUGGACUUUCACAAAGCACAUACCUUGACAAAGUUUUGAAGAAGUUCAAAAUGGAUCAAGCAAAGAAAGGUUUCUUGCCUGUGUUACAAGGUGUGAAGUUGAGUAAGACUCAAUGUCCGACCACCGCAGAAGAUAGAGAGAAAAUGAAAGAUGUUCCCUAUGCUUCAGCCAUAGGCUCUAUCAUGUAUGCAAUGCUGUGUACCAGACCUGAUGUGUGCCUUGCUAUAAGUCUAGCAGGGAGGUACCAAAGUAAUCCAGGAGUGGAUCACUGGAUAGCGGUCAAGAACAUACUGAAGUACCUGAAAAGGAAUAAGGAUAUGUUUCUCGUAUAUGGAGGUGACAAAGAGCUCAUCGUAAACGGUUACGUAGAUGCAAGCUUUGACACUGAUCCGGACGAUUCUAAAUCACAAACCGGAUACGUGUUUAUAUUGAACGGUGGAGCUGUCAGUUGGUGUAGUUCUAAACAAAGCGUCGUGGCGGGAUCUACAUGUGAAGCGGAGUAUAUAGCUGCUUCGGAAGCAGCAAAUGAAGGAGUCUGGAUGAAGGAGUUCAUAUCCGAUCUAGGUGUCAUACCUAGUGCAUCGGGUCCAAUGAAAAUCUUGUGUGACAAUACUGGUGCAAUUGCCAUGGCGAAGGAAUCCAUAUUUCACAAGAGAACCAAGCACAUCAAAAGACGCUUCAAUUCCAUUCGGGAUUUAGUCCAAGUGGGAGACAUAGAAAUUUGCAAGAUACAUACGGAUCUGAAUGUUGCAGACCCGCUGACUAAGCCUCUUCCACGAGCAAAACAUGAUCAGCACCAAGGCUCCAUGGGUGUUAGAAUCAUUACUGUGUAAUCUAGAUUAUUGACUCUAGUGCAAGUGGGAGACUGAAGGAAAUAUGCCCUAGAGGCAAUAAUAAAGUUAUUAUUUAUUUCCUUAUAUCAUGAUAAGUGUUUAUUAUUCAUGCUAGAAUUGUAUUAACCGGAAACAUAAUACAUGUGCGAAUACAUAGACAUACAGAGUGUCACUAGUAUGCCUCUACUUGACUAGCUCGUUGAUCAAAGAUGGUUAUGUUUCCCAGCCAUAGACAUGAGUUGUCAUCUGAUUAACGAGACCACAUCAUUAGGAGAAUGAUGUGGUUGACUUGACCCAUUUCAUUAGCUUAGCACUUGAUCGUUUAGUUUGUUGCUAUUGCUUUCUUCAUAACUUAUACAUGUUCCUAUGACUAUGAGAUUAUGCAACUCCCGUUUACCGGAGGAACACUUUGUGUGCUACCAAACGUCACAACGUAACUGUGUGAUUAUAAAGGUGCUCUACAGGUGUCUCCGAAGGUACUUGUUGGGUUGGCGUAUUUCGAGAUUAGGAUUUGUCACUCCGAUUGUCGGAGAGGUAUCUCUGGGCCCUCUCGGUAAUGCACUUCACCCAAGCCUUCCAAGCAUUGCAACUAAUAAGUUAGUUGCGGGAUGAUGUAUUACGAAACGAGUAAAGAGACUUGCCGGUAACGAGAUUGAAGUAGGUAUUGAGAUACUGACGAUCGAAUCUCGGGCAAGUAACAUACCGAUGACAAAGGGAACAAUGUAUGUUGUUAUGCGGUCUGACCGAUAAAGAUCUUCGUAGAAUAUGUAGGAGCUAAUAUGAGCAUCCAGGUUCCGCUAUUGGUUAUUGACCAGAGACGUGUCUCGGUCAUGUCUACAUAGUUCUCGAACCCGUAGGGUCUGCACGCUUAAAGUUCGGUGACGAUCGUAAUUAGGGUUUUUGUGUUUUGAUGUACCAAAGGUUGUUCGGAGUCCCGGAUAUGAUCACGGACAUGACGAGAAGUCUUGAAAUGGUCGAGACAUAAAGAUUUAUAUAUUGGAAACCUAUAUUUGGAUAUCGGAAUCGUUUCGGGUGAAAUCGGGAUUUUACCGGAGUACCGGGGAUUUCCGAAACCCCCUUGGGGGUUAAUGGGCCUACAUGGGCCCUAAGGGAGAAGAGGAGGGCCGGACAAAGCAGGCCGCGCGCCCCCUCCCCCCUAGUCCGAAUAGGACAAGGAAGGGGGGGACAGCGCCCCCCUUUCCUAUUUCCCCCUUCCCCUUUCCUUCAACAAAGCAAGAGGGGGAGUCCUACUCCCGAUGGGAGUAGGACUCCUCCAGGCGCACCCCUAGGGACCGGCCACACCUCCCCCUCCCUCCUUUAUAUAUGGGGGCAGGGGGUACCCCAUGACACACAAGUUGAUCUUCGUGAUCGUUCCUUAGCCGUGUGCGGUGCCCCCUUCCACCAUAUUCCACCUCGGUCAUAUCGUAGCGGUGCUUAGGCGAAGCCCUGAGAACAUCAUCACCGUCAUCACGCCGUCGUGCUGACGAAACUCUCCCUCAACACUCGGCUGGAUCGGAGCUCGAGGGACGUCACUGAGUUGAACGUGUGCAGAACUCGGAGGUGCCGUACGUUCGGUACCUGGAUUCGGUCGGAUUAGGAAGACAUACGACUAGUUCCUCUAUGUUGUGUCAAUGCUUCCGUUGCCGGUCUACGAGGGUACGUAGACAACACUCUCCCCUCUCGUUGCUAUGCAUCACCAUGAUCUUGCGUGUGCGUUGGAAUUUUUUUGAAAUUACUACGUUCCCCAACAAGCAAUACUGACACAAGAGAAGAUAAUACUCCGGACGGUGCCGAAGAUAAUGAAGACCCCAUUGAAGCAACUUCCGAACAAGAAGAACGGGAAGAUGGGCAAGUUAGCCCCGAUGAACAGGCCAUAAACGAAGACUCGGAGGACAGUAAUUAUCUUCCGCUCUCCGAGGAUGAGGUGAGCCUCGGCAACGAGGAUUUCAUUGUGCCUGAGGAACCUCUUGAGUAGGAGCGCUUUAAGCGUCAGCUAAUAGCCACUGCAAGGAUCCUGAAAAAGAAGCAGUAGCAGCUUCAAGCUGAUCAAGAUAUGCUAAAUCAUCGAUGGACUGAUGUCCUAGCAGCCGAAGAAUAUGGCCUUAAGCGCCCGGCCAAAAGUUACCCGAAGCGCAAAUUUCUACCUUAGUUUGAUGAUGAGGCGCUGGAGCCCAUACCAUCAUCACGCAAUGGGGCUAACCGACCACCACGUGGUUGGGAUAAAGCGGCAACUCAAGCCGAAUACCAGCCCGCCCUCCCUCAUUAUAAAGGCAAAGAUCAAACAGCUCGUGGUCACACAUAUGACCUUCGGCAGGACCUGAACAACAGAGCAGGACAUACCAGAUCAAUCUACGGAUUGCGAGGACGUGCCUCGACACAUGUCGACGGCUAUCUAUUCGGACGUGACAAACCUAGUCAUGCACAAGCCGAACGCCGCAGACGGACUCCAUCGGAGCUAUGUCGCAAUGCGACCCGAUAUAGAGGCGCCGCACACCCUCUUUGCUUCACUGACAAAGUAAUGGAUCACUGUCACAGCCCUAGAAUUUGCUUGCCAUUAGUUCCCUUAAAGCAUCCAUGCAUCAUGUUAAUUUUUCAAUUAAAGUUGAAAUGGGGAUGAAAAACCCUAGCACCAAAAUUAAAUCAAAUAGGUUCAACUUAAAAACAUUUUCAAGAACCCAGAAUGCUCUUUAGAAAAGUUCAUCAUUUUUGAAUUGGUCUAGAACCUCUGACAAAAAUGGUGCACACCUUUCUAGGUCAUUUUUGGAUUUUUGAAUUUAAUCAUAAGUACUUGCAUUUGGACAUUUAAAUCCUCUAAAUAAUUUUAAAUGUCCAAAUAAUCUUGAAAGUAUUUUAAGGUUGUUGGAAAUAAUCCAAACAUAUGCCACAAUCAUUUUCAAGAUUUUACAAAAUGAAUUAGUAUUUCUACUAAUUCAAAACAGACUAAAAGUAAUAGAAAAACUGAAACAGAAAUGGGAAAGAGAGAGAGAGAGAGAGAGAGAGAGAGUAAAUACCUGGCGCCUAACUUCAGCCCAGAGGCCCAACACUGUGCAGCCCAGCAGCAGCCCAGCCCACCACAGCCGCCACCGUCUUCAACCUCCUGCUAGUAGGCAGGAGGGCGUGUGCCCAACGCGCGUGCGCACGCGCCGGCCACCUCCUCCCUGCCUGGCUGCUCCCUCGCCGCCCUGGACGCCUCCUGCAUCGCCAUGCAACGCCUUUGGUCUUCUCUCACCCUCCCCGUGCUCCUCCUCCCCUCAGUCUCUCUCCCUUUCGCACGGUCCGAGCGCCACCGUCGCCGCUGACAAGCACCACCGCGGCCACCGCCUCCCCCUCGCUUCUCUGACCGGCCCAGAGGCUCCGCCUCGACCCCCUCUUUCUUCCACCCCGAGCCAUGCCACCGCGGGAGCCCCACAUCACCGCCACGAGUCAUCUUCCCCGAGCACGGCCGCCGGACUCCAUCGACGGAUUCGUCGCCUUUCGGUCGUCCCCGAGCCAGCUGAGCCUGUCGUCAGCCUCACCAUGAUCUCGCGGUCCUUUCCCCCUUAACCACGUCGUCGUUUUCGUCCCGUAGCCACUGCCCCGCGAGUAACCGGAGCCUCCGUCCGCCAAGGACGUUGAGCCACGUGCUCCCGAGCUUCGCUUGCUCACCCUAGUGGCACAGACGUGCUCCUGGUGACCCCAUGACACCGUCUAUGCCCUUGGUUGAGCUUCCCAUGCUCCACCACGCCGCGCCCGUGCAAACCCGUAGCUGCGCCGCCGCCAAAGCUCGUCGCCGGCGAGAUUCCGGCCGCCCUGCGACCCCCUGUCUGGCCUAUUCGAUGCACCCGAGAAAGGGCUUCUCCCCGACGCUUUCUGCACGACAAACUGCGGCCCCUAGCGCUUUCCCGACGCACGUCCACCGCGACAAAUGGUCGCCGGCGGCUGAACGCCGGCGGGCUGACGUGGCAACGUCGUUAACUGCUAAUGACGGGGCUAACUAACCCCCACUCUCACUGACUAUUGGGCCCCACGCCCUUAACUAACACCAGUUUAAUUUCUGUUUAGUUUUACUUAAUCACAGUGGCCCCAUGCGUUGGCAUUGACCUCGCUGACAUGGCCAUUGACUGGCCCCACCUGUCUGUGACCUAGGCAUCACUUGGUCACUUACCAGUGGACCCCACUGGUCAGGUUUGACCCGGACCAGCCCCUGUUGACCUGCUGAUGUCAGCAUGACCUGAUGCUGACGCAGUAAUACAUUUUCUAGAUUUAUUAAUAAUCAGGAAAUUCCAAAAGAAUGUUCAAAACUUCUAAAAAUCAUAGAAAAUCAUCUAUAACUCAGAUUAAAAAGAUAUAUAUAUAUAUAUAUGACAAAUGAUCAGAAAAAUCCAAAGAAUCUGAAUCUGGCAUUUUCAUGCAUGUUAGAACAACUUAAAGUUCCUGUUUAGGACAAUCCAAUUAAAUGGCAUUUAAGAAAUCACAUAUGGAGUUUGAAUUUGAACUUAGGGUUCAAACCAACUCCAUUUAACCUGUUGCUAGUUGCAUUAGCUAAAAACACAACAUAUUGACAUGUGAUGAUCAUGCAUCAUAUUAUGCACUGCAUUGAUUGUGUUCUUUCUGUGUUUGCUGGUGGUUGUCCCCUCUCGAUAGACGUGUUCCGACGAUGAGUUCGAUGACACCGAUGAAGAGCUAUACUAUCUUCAGAAGUGCCAGGCAAGAAAAAACCCCUUUGUUCAUUCCGAUACAAUCCCACUCUCUCGCUCCUGCUCUCUUUUACUGCAUUAGGACAACAACGAUUCAACUGUUACAUGCUGCGGUAGUUGAACCCCUUUCCUCUGCAUGACGUGUCAUUGCCACAGUAAAUAGAUGAAACCCACUAGCAUGAGUAGGAGUUGUUUGAGCCCUGAUGUGCCUACUCAUUCAUGCUUGUUUAUCAUGCCUGCUACUGCUUAGAGUUGAGUCGGGUCUGAUUCAUCGGGGAUGAAUUGGAAUGACGAUGAACAUGUCCUACUAUGUGUGAGCUAAGUGUGUGAACACGAUUUGGUAAAGGUAGCGGUGAGAGGACAUGUAGGAGUACAUGGUGGGUUGUCUCAUUGAAACCGUCCUCAGGAACUGAGUUAUGUGUUUGUGAUCCAUGAACAACUACUACCACUCAUUGGGAUCCUUAAUUGACCCUCUCGACUUAUUAACUGCCCUAGUCCUCUGUCCAGGAGUUGCAACUAGUUUCUGGUGCUUGUAGGAUAUGUGUUGGCGGCCGUGCAUAGCACUGAACCUAGGGGUAGGCUAUGAUGCGGUAGAUACACCGUGGCAUGGUGUAUCGGGCGCCCGUUUGGUGUCUCGGGAACCCUGCACACAUCGUUUGGGGCUGUGAGCGAAACUCCGGCCGGAUCUCCUCGUGGAUGGAACCCGAAUAGGCGAUAAACCUGGACUAGAGACUUGUGUGGUUAGUCAGGUCGUGGCCGACACCCUCGCCAGGCUUCCGCUUGAAGGUUGCCGAGAUACAUGACGUGUAUAUGGUGAUAAGUGGUGGGAGCGUGUGUGAAGAAGUACACCCCUACAGGGUUAUCAUUAUCUAUUCGAAUAGCCGGAUUCCUCGGAUAUGGAAACUUGGACCCCUUGCAUAGUUCAUAGACAAGUGAAAGUGGAUACUCUAAAAUGCGCAAGAUAAGCAUGAGUGCUAUGGAUGGCGUUCUCGUAGGGAGACAGGAGUGGAUCCAUAGUGGUGUAUUGAUAUGGUGAAUAUGUGGACUCGUGUGCGCCACCUCAAAGAGUUGCUUGCAGUCGUAGUUCAGGUUAGCCACCGAGUCAAAGCUGGCUUGCUGCAGUUAAACUCCACUACUUUGUUGAUACCGAUGCAUAUGUAGUUAGUUCUGAUGUAAGUCUUGCUGGGUACAUCUGUACUCAUGUUUGCUUAAUUUAUGUUUUGCAGAGAGACUUCAGUCUCGCUAGUAGUUCCAUGUGGACUUUGAUGUUUAGCUUGAUACCUCAGCUAUGAUCUCGUGCCCUCGGCAGGAUCUGGUAGAUAGUUAAGCUUCUAAACCUUUUUCAUUUGUAGAUGUCUGUACCCAGACAUGUUAAGCUUCCGCAUGUGCCUUGAUUUGUAUGCUCUGAAUGAUGGGUCAUGUGACCCAUGUUUGUAAUAUCUCGCUCCUCGGAGCCUAAUGAAUAAAUACUUGAGUCGUAGAGUUAUGUUGUGAUGCCAUGUUGUAUUUACCCAUAUCGAGCAUAUUGUGUGUAUGAUUGAAAUGCUUGGUAUGUGUGGGAUCCGACAAUCUAGUUGUUUAUCCUUGGCAGUCUCUCUUAUGGGGAAACAUAGUCUAGUGCUUCCAUGAGCCAUAGUAGUCCGCUACAGCCCGGUUCAUCGGAGUCCUGCUAGCCUAGCACUACUGCUCAGGACACUUGACUGGCCGGCAUGUGUUUCACUUCAUUCCUGUGUCUGUCCCUUCGAGGAAAUGUCACAUGGUGACAUCCGGAGUCCUGCCUAGCCUGCUACAGCCCGGUUUUCCGGAGUCCUGUUAGCCCAAUGCUACAGCCCGGAUUCACACGCUGCUGACCGACAUGCUCGAUGUGAUUCAUGUAUGCCUGUCCCCAUAGGUUGGUGCCGCUUUGGGUUCACGACUAGCCAUGUCGGCCCGGGUUCUCUGUCAUAUGGGUGCUAGCGACACUAUCAUAUACGUGAGCCAAAAGGCGCAAACGGUCCCGGGCCAUGGUAAGGCGACACCCGUGGGAAUACCGUGCGUGAGGUCGCAUAGUGAUAUGAGGUGUUACCGGCUAGAUCGAUGUGACUUGGAAUCAGGGUCCUAACAGCUUUGGUAUCAGAGCCUGACUGCCUGUAGGAUUACCUAGCCAAACUAGUCGAAGUUGUGUCUAGAAAUGCUUUAGUUAUGUAGGGGAAUUGAUUGUGGAAGGGAACAUAAGGCUCUUUUUACUUCUUAUACCCUAUGCCCUUCUGAUCUGAGUCACCCUCUUCUUUUCUGCGGGGGUUAAGAACUAGGCUUCUCUUCUAUCUCUCAGGAUGACGUGUUACUAAACCGUAGUUGCCUAGGAUUGUUGAGUUCAAGCCUCAGUUUAGUUCCUACUACUUCCAUAUGUCAUAGCUGGCCUCAGAACUUUGAUAUUGUGAUGUUGAGUGGUUAUGCCACCAUUUUGCAGGAUGUCUCAAAUCAUUUUGAGCAUUUACAGCCGUUAUGCUGUCCGAGUCAUCCUAGAUUUCUAAAUAGUCUGAUGCACUUGCAAAUCUUUCCUCCAUGUUCCCGUUGUAUUUUUGGGCCAGAUUAAGCACACUAAUAGGUGUGUUGAGGUACUCCGUUGCCUUGACGUGUAUGUUGGAGUUAGUAUUACGACCCUAGGUAUCCUCGAGAAUUUAGCAAUGCUUCCGUAUCCCCAGUGUGAUGAUUUUGGCCAUCAUUCUUGAAAGCAUCCCGUGAUGCCAUUUAGUAAUAGGCGUUCUACUCCUAGGUUUUGAACCCAAGAUUCACCCUACUUCAUGGUGUUAGUAUUUGCUAGUUCCCUUAAGAUAUUAGUAACCUUGUGAUAGUCCUCGAUGUCCGUGGUAUUUCCUUCUUCCAAAUACCAUGAACCAUUAAGGCAGAAGUUCUUUGAACCAAAAGAUCACCAUUAGAGUACUCCUGAGGAGUUCUCCAUUCAUAAUUGUGAUUCUGCCAGUUCUACCUUUCUGCAUGGGUUAUCCGGAAGAAAUAUGAUGAACUUGUUCGACAUACUAAUCUAUGCAUCCACAACUCAGAAAGUUAUAUGUUCCUUUGAGUUGUCCCCCUUCAUUUGUAUUUCGACCAUCACCUAUCAAUUGAUAGUCAGGAGUAAUUGUGCAUCCGUGUUAUCGAUGCUUAUUAUUCUUGUGGUCUGUCAAGCCAUUCUAUCUCGGAAUGACUAGGAGAAACAAACUCCAGUACCUCAUCCAUAUCCAGGAUUGGGUCAAAGUAGUUGUGUUCUGCAGAUCAAAUGUCCAUCCAGCUUUUGCUCUGUUCUACCCUAGAGUAUUACCCCCUUUAUGUCAGGAUUGUCAUAAGAAUUGCACCAUCUCUCAUGAAUUCUUGACGCAGUGAUACUUCGUGCCAUCAUUUUUCAUUCCUCGGUUCCGUGUUGUCGCAACCGGAAUGCCGGCAAGUGAACCAUGAUGUGUGAAAUCAAUACUCCUAGCAACCGUGUUGCUUGGUAGUUAAUGGACACUAAUAUCAUUCUUAGCGUGUUGGUCAUCGAAACACUAUCCUAGGAUUGAUUGUGCUACCUUGUCCUUAUUUCCGGUGCACUCUUCGAUCAAUGAGUUAGGAUUAUUCAAUCCCUUGCUUAUUUUUCCAUAUCGUCUUGCUCUGAAAAGCAAGAUUGUUCUCGAGCUUAGUAACAUAUCGGUGGUUCGUGAUUUUCUGAAUAUCUUCUCGGAAGCAUUACCAGGUUGUCCCGUGACUGUUAUGUUGAGUUCGUGAUCAAGUUGGUUUUCCAAUAAAUCACUCCUUCUCCAAGAAUCUAUGUUGGAUAUCCCUGAGCUAGUUGGUUGAGCUAGACAACAACUUGGAGAGUUGGAAGAUAAAAGCUUGGCUGACUUAGUCCAUGUUAAGGGAUAUCUUUUUGUGUGUGUGCGUUGAAGAAAGAUAAUAUCUCCAUCGAUUGGUCCUCGUGAUCAGUUGUUGGAUCUAUUGCCUUGUCAAAACUUUGACUUGAGUAUGGGCUAUCGUCAAAUCAAGCCAGAACCAAUGAUGUUCGUAAUGUUGUCUUACUCGUGGUUGAUCCCUUGAGCAUACACCAUUACAUCUUUUGGUCUGACCAAUGCUAUCGCCGUGUUCACAUAAUGGUGGAAGUCCAGUGAUAUGGAAAUUCCGAUGAGUCGCUGUUGAGCCCAUCAGCAACAUUUUGUCUCCUCCAUGAUUUGUGUUGAACAUCCAUCUAGUGUUGGAAACUUGUGUAAGCAUUUUCUUCAUGCCCCUUUCAUGAAGUAUAUGUUUGGAUGAAAUAAGUGACCUCCUUUGAUUCACGUGCAUUUGAUGUAAGCUGCCGCCGUGAAUCCGAGAAAGUUUGUUUUGCUUCCCCUGGAAUCAUCCCAAGUCAGUCAUGCAUGUGCGAAGUAUUCUAUGGUCUGAUAGACUGAUCAUCUUCAUUCCAUAUGUAUCCCCUAGCACACCAAGCCACUGAUUGAUUGGUUCAAGGAAAGGAAGUACCUUCUUAAGAGCAUGCCUUAUGCAAGGACCUCAAUAUCCUUGAUUAUGGUUCCCCACCUAAACUCGGCAGUGUUUUAUUAUAAGACUACCACGUGGUCACCCUUGUCUAGGACAGUGUGUUCACAGGUGUGUAGCAAAACCUGCUCAUGUUUUGGAGCUUGCUAUCGUAGUUCAUCUCCCGAGAGUCUCGCAACGUUAUCUCAUCGACUUGUGUUGAAACUCUUCUUUUUACACAUGUGAGUUUGAAGUAUCCUGUUUCUAACCAGAUGUGAAUCUCAGGCAGAUAUGAUGGUUGGAACAUUCCCGACAUUGCAUUUUGUUCCCAGCUUGCACUGCCUUCUGUCAAUCUCCCAUGGACUGCCCUUCUCAGCAAUUGUUGUUCAGGAUCAUCUUCAGAAGUGGUCCUACCAUGGGUCCCAUCCAUUCCAGAUGAUAAGAAAAAAUCAUCCAUUGUGUUGUCUUCAACAAUGUAGUCCACAUCAUCCAUUCUAGUCCGAGUAUGUCAUUCUCUCGAACUCCUUCAAAAGAUCGAUUGUGAUUGCCUUAGGCUGGUAUAAAGGGUUUCAAUGAUCUUUGUAUCAAAAGUAAUUCUUUUUGCCACUUAAGGGAAUAGCUCUACGAGUCACCUUCCCUAAGAUGCCCCGUUAUAGAAUCAUGGCAAUUCAAAUCCUCGCUACGUUGACAACCGUUCACCACCCUCUUAGGUGUGGAAUUAUUGUCUACCAAUUCGAACCCUUGUCAUCCGCUUCUUUCCAUCACCCCUGAUGUGUGUUUUGUCUCUCAGCUCAAGAGAUGUUUCUACAUCUCAUUCCGAGUUGAUCCUAAAUUGUUCGAUCCUCGAGAAGAUCAAUUCUUCUAGAGUUUUCCUUUUCUCUCUCUCGUUGUCGUGUUGGUUGAAGUUUCCGAAGCAAGAUGUCGGGACAAAGAUGGUGACAAAUCAACGUUCUUACAAAGUGCAACCUGGAUCGUGAAGAUUGUGUUAGCUUUGUGUCCCCUCUGUCUUCUUACCUCACGUCUUGAAUCUCGGGAUGAGAUUCUUGUUUAGUAGGGGUGAGUUGUCACAGCCCUAGAAUUUUCUUGCCAUUAGUUGCCUUAAAGCAUCCAUGCAUCAUGUUAAUUUUUCAAUUAAAGUUGAAAUGGGGAUGAAAAACCCUAGCACCAAAAUUAAAUGAAAUAGGUUCAACUUAAAAACAUUUUCAAGAACCCAGAAUGCUCUUUGGAAACUUUUCAUCAUUUUUGAAUUGGUCUAGAACCUCUGGCAAAAAUGGUGCACACCUUUCUAGGUCAUUUUUGGAUUUUUGAAUUAAAUCAUAAGUACUUGCAUUUGGACAUUUAAAUCCUUUAAAUAAUUUUAAAUGUCCAAAUAAUCUUGAAAGUAUUUUAAGGUUGUUGGAAAUAAUCCAAACAUAUGCCACAAUCAUUUUCAAGAUUUUUAAAAUGAAUUAGUAUUUCUACUAAUUCAAAACAGAAUAAAAGUAAUAGAAAAACUGAAAGAGAAAUGGGAAAGAGAGAGAGAGGAAAUACCUGGCGCCUACCUUUAGCCCAGAGGCCCAACACUGUGCAGCCCAGCAGCAGCCUAGCCCACCAUAGCCGCCACUGUCUUCAACCUCCUACUAGUAGGCAGGAGGGCGUGUGCCCAACGCGUGCGCGCACGCGCCGACCACAUCCUCCCUGCCUGGCUGCUCCCUCGCCGCCCUGGACGCCUCCUGUAUCGCCACGCAACGCCUCUGGUCUUCUCUCACCCUCCCCGUGCUCCUCCUCCACUUAGUCUCUCUCCCUUUCGCACGGUCCGAGUGCCACCGUCGCCGCCGACAAGCACGACCGCGGCCACCGCCUCCCCCUUGCUUCUCUGACCGGCCCAUAGGCUCCGCCUCGACCCCCUCUUUCUUCCACCCCGAGCCACGCCACCGCGGGAGUCCCACAUCGCCGCCACGAGCCGUCUUCCCUGAGCAUGGCCGCCGGACUCCAUCGACGGAUUUGUCGCCUUCCGGUCGUCCCCGAGCCAGCUGAGCCUGUCGUCAGCCUCACCAUGAGCUCCCGGUCCUUUCCCCCUUAACCACGUCAUCGUUUUUGUCCCGUAGCCACUGCCCCGCGAGUAACCGGAGCUGCCGUCCGCCAUGGACAUUGAGCCACACGCUCCCGAGCUUCGCUUGCUCGCCCUAGUGGCACAGACGUGCUUCUGGUGACCCCACGACGCCGUCUAUGCCCUUGGAUGAGCUCCCUGUGCUCCGCCACGCCGCGCCCGUGCAAACCCGUAGCUGCGCCGCCUCCAAAGCUCGUUGCCGGCGAGAUUCCGGCCGCCCCACGACCCCCUGUAUGGCCCAUUGGAUGCCCCCGAGCAAGGGCUUCUCCCUGAUGCUUUCUGCACGACAAACCGCGGCCCCUAGCGCUUUCCUGACGCACGUCCGCCGCGGCAAAUGGUCGCCGGCGGCUGAACGCCGGCGGGCCGACGUGGCAACGUAGUUAACUGCUAAUGACGAGGCUAACUAACCCCCUCUCUCACUGACUACUGGGCCCCAUGCCCUUAACUAACACCAGUUUAAUUUCUGUUUAGUUUUAUUUAAUCACAGUGGCCCCACGCAUCGGUGUUGACCUUGCUGACGUGGCCAUUGACUGGCCCCACCUGUCUGUGACCUAGGCAGCACUUGGUCACUUACCAGUGGACCCCAUUGGUCAGGUUUGACCCGCACAAGCCCCUGUUGACCUGUUGACGUCAGCAUGACCUGAUGCUGACGCAGUAAUACAUUUUCUGGAUUUAUUAAUAAUCAGGAAAUUCCAGAAAAUGUUCAAAACUUCUAAAAAUCACAGAAAAUAAUCUAUAACUCAGAUAGAAAAGAUUUAUGUAUGAAAAAUGAUCAGAAAAAUCCAAAGAAUCUGAAUCUGGCAUUUUCAUGCAUGUUGGAACAACUUAAAGUUGCUAUUUAGGACAAUCCAAUUAAAUGGCAUUUAAGAAAUCACAUAUGGAGUUUGAAUUUGAACCUAGGGUUCAAACCAACUCCAUUUAAUCUGUUGCUAGUUGCAUUAGCUGAAAACACAGCAUAUUGACAUGUCAUGAUCAUGCAUCAUAUUGUGCAUUGCAUUGAUUGUGUUCUUUUUGUGUUUGCCGGUGGUUAUCCCCUCUCGAUAGAUGUGUUCCGACGAUGAGUUCGAUGACACCGAUGAAGAGCUAUACUAUGUUCAUAAGUGUCAGGCAAGCAAAAACCCCUUUGUUCAUUCCGAUACAAUCCCACUCUCUUGCUCCUGCUCUCUUUUACUGCAUUAGGACAACAAUGAUUCAACUGUUACAUGCUGCGGUAGUUGAAUUCCUUUCCUCUGCAUGACCUGUCAUUGCCACAGUAAAUAGAUGAAACCCACUAGCAUGAGUAGGAGUUGUUUGAGCCCUGAUGUGCCUACUCAUUCAUGCCUGCUACUUCUUAGAGUUGAGUCGGGUCUGAUUCAUUGGGGAUGAAUUGGAAUGGCGAUGAACAUGUCCUACUGUGUGUGAGCUAAGUGUGUGAACACGAUUAGGUAAAGGUAGCGGUGAGAGGCCAUGUAGGAGUACAUGGUGGGUUGUCUCAUUGAAACCGUCCUCAGGAACUGAGUUCUAUGUUCGUGAUCCAUGAACAACUACUACCACUCAUUGGGAUCCUUAAUUGACCCUCUCGACUUAUUAACUGCCCUAGUCCUUUGUCCAGGAGUUGCAACUAGUUUCUGGUGUUCAUAGGAUAUGUGUUGGCGGCCGUGCGUAGCGCUGACCCUAGGGGUGGGCUAUGAUGCAGUAGAUACACCGUGGCACGGUGUACCGGGUGCCCGUUUGGUGUCUCAGGAACCCUGCACACAUCGUUUGGGGCUGUGAACGAAACUCCGGCCGGAUCUCCUCGCGGAUGGAACCCGAAUAGCGAUAAACCUGGACUAGAGACUUGUGUGGUUAGUCAGGUCGUGGCCGACACCCUCGCCAGGCUUCUGCUUGAAGGUUGCCGAGACACAUGACGUGUAUAUGGUGAUAAGUGGUGGGAGCGUGUGUGAAGAAGUACACCCCUGCAGGGUUAUCAUUAUCUAUUCGAAUAGCUGGAUUCCUCGGAUAUGGAAACUUGGACCCCUUGCAUAGUUCAUAGACAAGUUAAAGUGGAUACUCUAAAUGCGCAAGAUAAGCGUGAGUGCUAUGGAUGGCGUUCUCGUAGGGAGAAGGGAGCAGAUCCAUAGUGGUGUAUUGAUAUGGUGAAUAUGUGGACUCAUGUGCGCCACCUCAAAGAGUUGCUUGCAGUCGUAGUUCAGGUUAGCCACUGAGUCAAAGCUGGCUUGCUGCAGUUAAACUCCACUACUUUGUUGAUACCGAUGCAUAUGUAGUUAGUUCUAAUGUAAGUCUUGCUGGGUACAUUUGUACUCACGUUUGCUUAAUUUAUGUUUCGCAGAGAGACUUCAGUCUUGCUUGUAGUUCCAUGUGGACUUCGACGUUUAGCUUGAUACCUCAGCUAUGAUCUUGUGCCCUCGGCAGGAUCUGGUAGAUAGUCAAGCUUCUCAACCUUUUUCAUUUGUAGAUGUAUGUACCCAGACAUGUUAAGCUUCCGCAUGUGCCUUGAUUUGUAUGCUCUGAAUGAUGGGUCAUGAGACCCAUGUUUGUAAUAUCUCGCUCCUCAGAGCCUAAUGAAUAAAUACUUGAGUCGUAGAGUUAUGUUGUGAUGCCAUGUUGUAUUUACCCAUAUCGAGCAUAUUGUGUGUAUGAUUGAAAUGCUUGGUAUGUGUGGGAUCUGACAAUCUAGUUGUUUAUCCUUGGCAGCCUAUCUUAUGGGGAAAUGUAGUCUAGUGCUUCCAUGAGCCAUAGUAGUCCGCUACAGUCCGGUUCACCGGAGUCCUGCUAGCCCAGCACUACUGCUCAGGACACUUGACUGGCCGGCAUGUGUUUCACUUCAUUCCUGUGUCUGUCCCUUCGGGGAAAUGUCACGCGGUGACAUCCGGAGUCCUGCCUAGCCUGCUACAGCCCGGUUUUCCGAAGUCCUGUUAGCCCAGUGCUACAGCCCGGAUUCACACACUGUUGACCGACAUGCUCGAUGUGAUUCAUGUAUGCCUGUCCCCAUAGGUUGGUGCCGCUUUGGGUGCACGACUAGCCAUGUCGGCCCAGGUUCUCUGUCAUACGGGUGCUAGCGACACUAUCAUAUACGUGAGCCAAAAGGCGCAAACAGUCCCGGGCCAUGGUAAGGCGACACCCGUGGGAAUACCGUGCGUGAGGCCGCAAAGUGAUAUGAGGUGUUACCGGCUAGAUCGGUGUGACUUGGAAUCGGGGUCCUGACAUCACGAAUUCCCAGAAGGGUUUAAACCCGUAAACAUCGAAUCAUACGAUGGAUCAACUGACCCCGCGGUGUGGAUCUAGGACUUUAUUCUCCACAUUCACUUGGCUCGUGGAUAUGACCUCCACGCCAUCAAAUACCUCCCGUUAAAACUGAAAGGGCCAGCUCGACACUGGUUAAACAGUCUGCCUGGAAAUUCUAUUGGCAGCUGGGAGGACUUGGAAGAAGCCUUCCUCGACAACUUCCAAGGUACAUAUGUCUGGCCACCAGAUGCCGAUGACUUAGGUCACAUAGUUCAACAGCCUGGGGAGUCAGCCAGGAAAAUCUGGACUAGGUUCCUAACUAAAAAGAACCAGAUCAUCGAUUGUCCGGAUGCUGAAGCCCUCGCGGCCUUUAAACAUAGCAUCCGUGACGAAUGGCUUGCCCGCCACCUCGGCCAGGAAAAGCCGAAGUCCAUGGUAGCCCUCACGGCACUCAUGACCCGCUUUUGUGCGGGCGAGGACAGUUGGCUGGCCCAUAGCAAAAAUACAGCAAAUGAAACGGGCACCUCCGAGGCCAAAAAUAGCAGCGGCAAGCUCCGACGCAGUAGGCACAAACGUCGAAGCAAUAGCGAUAACACCGAUGACACCGCAGUCAACACCGGUUUCAGUGGCUCCAAGUCCGGUCAGCGAAAGAAGCCAUAUAAAAGAAACAAUCAAGGACCAUCCAGCUUGGACCGCAUACUCGAUCGUCCGUGCCAGAUCCAUGGCACCCCAAACAAACCAGCCAAUCAUACCAACAUAGAUUGUUGGGUUUUCAAACAGACCAGCAAAUUAAACACCGAGAAUAAGGAAAAGGGAUCGCAAAGCGAGGACGAUGACGAAGAGCCCCGGCAGCCAAACAUAGGGGGACAAAAGAAGUUUCCCCCUCAAGGUCAAAACGGUGAACAUGAUAUACGCUACACACACCCCCAAGAGGGAGCACAAGCGCGCGCUCAGGGACGUCUAUGCGAUAGAGCCAAUCGCCCCAAAAUUCAAUCCAUGGUCAUCAUGCCCAAUCACUUUUGAUCAUCAGGAUCAUCCGACCAGUAUCCGUCAUGGUGGUUCAGCCGCAGUGGUCCUCGACCCAAUCAUUGAUGGAUUCCACCUGACGCGAGUCCUCAUGGACGGCGGUAGCAGCCUCAAUCUGCUCUAUCAGGACACAAUGCGCAAAACGGGCAUUAAUCCAUCACGGAUCAAGCCCACAAAGACUACCUUUAAAGGAGUCAUACCAGGCGUAGAGGCCCGCUGUAUGGGCUCAAUCACAUUGGAGGUUGUCUUUGGAUCGCCGGACAACUUCCGAAGCGAGGAGUUAAUCUUCGAUAUUGUCCCCUUUCGCAGCGGCUAUCACGCACUGCUCGGACGAACCGCAUUUGCCCGAUUCAACGCUGUACCACACUAUGCCUAUCUCAAGCUCAAGAUGCCAGGACCACGCGGCAUCAUAAGAGUUAAUGGAAACACGGAACGCUCCCUCCGUACUGAGGAGCGCACUGCUGCCUUAGCAGCAGAAGUACAGAGCGGCCUUUUCAAACAGAACCUCAAUUUGGCGGCCGAUCCCCCGGACACGGUUAAGAGAGUCCGGACUACUCUGCAGCAGGACAGCUCAGCUCGUCAAGAGCUCCACUAGCAAUUCGGCCUCCGUCCCAGUCCCGAUCAAGUAGUGGCGCUCGUACCGCGCGUACAUAACUACACACUCAAGAUACCAUGGGCAUAGACAGAGGCAUAACUAGCCUGUGAUCCACAAUACGGCUCGACCGCUCCCAGACACACAUACCCUCACUGUUUCCUUUUCUCCUUUUUAGGUUUUCUUUCCACAAGUUCCCCCUGGUGGCCCAAUCAACGGUUCUUUCAAAGGAUAAAUAUACCAAGAUGGCAUGAAGCACAGACGUAUAAUGGAAUUUUUAGGUGGUUUCUUUAACAACCACUGUACCUGUUCUCAGGACCCACACGCAACUCUCUCUUCAUCAUGGCUUAGCCCGUUGCUUAUUGCACUAUUUGUAUUAAUGUGCUUCAACCUAUUAAUCAAAUUAUAAUGAAAACAGUUUGCGGCCCAAAUUCUGCGGCCUUGGCUCAUUACCCUUGCUCUUUUUUCUGUUUUCAUUUUUCUAUUGAUAACCUUAUCAAAUAGCACCCGUACACUUUGGUACGUUCCAAUUUGCCAGGGGCUUCAUAGCGCCCCACAACACGGCAACAAAGUCAAACACUUUCUACUGUUCGGACGCCGAAUUUAGCACUGGCUCCAAAUCAUGUCUUUGGUCAAUAGUGGGUUGCCCGGCUCCUGUGCUUGCUACCCUAUGUUCCGCUACAUCGGCUAGGGUAGUAAAGGGAGAACUACUAUGAUUGUCCCCUGGUUUAUCCGGAUGAGCACCUUAGUAGAGAAAGCCGGAAACUGACUGUCAUGAUGUGGCGAGAGCCGGUCAGCUCUUUGGACGUCUCAAAUCGUUAGAGAUUUUUUCCGCAUUAUGCGAAGGAUUGGUACUUGCCCGAUCAGGUGUUUAUAGCUUACUAUUUCGGAUACUAGGGGCUGCACCUAAAUUUUUAUCGUCAAACUCCUAUGGAUAAGUGAGGGUGUUCAAGCCGAAUAGUCCGAUUGCCUGGUUCGCUGCGCUAAACACCUCCUUCAAGGACCAAACAAAUUGGAUCAAGAGUGUUUAUAUUAUAUCCCGAACACCCCCGUACUUCCUACGUGGGGGCAGAAGCCAACGACUGGCCAACUCUUAGAUUUCACACAAUACGGCCGCACAGGAGGUGGAAAUUUUUAAACAAACAUUAUAUUACAAAAUUUGUUUCAUCAUACAAGGCAGAGACAACAUGAAUAUAUUCAUUCAAAAAUAAUGUCUUGCGCACAUUGUGUCACCACAAUGCGGGACCCCUCUAGGACGUCUUCAAAAUACCACUCCGGCUUGCGAUGCUCCUUGCCUUUAGGUGGCCUCUCGGUCAGAAGCUUGACGGCAUCCAUCUUCGCCCACCACACCUUGACGCGGGAGAAGGCCAUGCGCACGCCCUCGAUGCAGGCCGACCUCUUGACGAUGUCCAGCCGAGGGCAGGCACCUAUCAGUCGCUUCACGAGUCUGAAGUAGCUGCCGGGCAUAGCUUUGGCAGGCCACUCCCAGAUUAUCAAAACCUUCAUGGCCAGUUCGGCCACCCUAUGCAGCUCGACCAGCUGUUUUAGCUGAUCGGUGAAGGGCACUGGAUGCUCUGGCACAAGGUAUUGCGACCAGAACAACUUCUUCGUCGAGCUCCCUUCUUCGGCUCGGAAGAACUCCGUAGCGUCGGACACACUGCACGGAAGAUCUACAAACGCCCCUGGAGAACUCCAAAUCCGGGUUAGUAAGAAAUACUUCUCCUUCACACACUUGCUUUGCAUACUAAACGCCUUACCCACCGCGAUCUUCUUGGCCUCCUGUAUCUCCGGGAGGGCACCCUGGGCUUCAACUCGGGCCGCUUCCGCGCUUUGACGAGCCUUGGCGAGUUUGGUCUCUCGAGCCGAAACAUCGCCCUCCAAGGUCUCAUACUUCUUCACAGUGUCCUAGAGCUCUUGCUGGACCUCGUUCAGCCUGGCCUUAAGCUUCUUAUGAGCGGCCUGCUCCUUGACAGCUUUCCCCUCGGCCUCGGCCAGGGCCUUUUUAAGGGCCUCGACCUCGGUCGUCGCUCCUACACAUACCAUGACACUACGGUCAAUAUACAUCAUUUAUUCUUUCCUAAUAUAUAGCGAGUCAUUGCAUACCUUGCUGGUCUUCCAGCUGCUUCCUCGCUUGGCCGAGCUCCUCCUCGCCCCGCUCUAGUCUCUGCUCUAGUCCGGAGACUUCGGCAGUGUGUGAGGUCGCAACGAGGACAAAGGAGAUCCAGUUGCGAAUAAACCUUCUGAGACACAGUCCAAGCGCCGGCGCCCUAAACGCCGCUCUAAGCCUCGUCGCUCAAAUGAUGGCAACACUGGCACCAGAGAAAAUAGUACUCUGGGCGACGCCGAAAACAAUGAAGACCCUGUCGGGGCUGCAUUCGAACAAGAGGAAUAAGACAACGGGCAAGAUAACCCUGAUAAACAGGCCAUGCCCAAUGACCCAGACGAUGAUAUUUAUCGUCCAGUCUCCGAGGAUGAUGAGAGCCUCGGCAAUGAGGACUUCAUCGUGCCUGAGGCACCCCUCGAGCAGGAGCGCUUCAAGCUCCAGCUAAUAGCCACUGCAAGAAGCCUGAAGAAGAAGAAGCAGCAGCUCCAAGCUGAUCAAAACCUGCUGAUUGACAGGUGGACUGAUGUCCUGGCAGCCAAGGAAUACGGCCUCGAGCGCCCAGCCAAGAGUUACCCAAAGCGCAGACUGCUACCUCAGUUCGAUGAGGAGGCACCAGAUCCCAUACCUCCCUCACGCAAUGCGGACCGACCACCACGUGGUCGGGAUAGUGCGGUGGACCGACCACCCCGCGGUCGGGAUAAAAUGGCAACUCAGGCCGAACAACAGCCCGCCCCAUCGCCUCGCAAAAACAGGGACAUAACAGCUCGGGACCAUACAUACGACCUUCGGCAGGAGCUGGAUAGUAGAGCAGGGCACACCAGAUCAAUCUACGGAUUGCGAGGACGCUUCCUGUCUCGGGAUGACGGCUACCUAUUUGGACGUGACAAACCUAGUCACACCCGGGCUGAUAACCACAGACGGACUUCAUCGGAGGUGCACCGUGACACGGCCCGAUAUAGAGGCGCCGCACACCCUCUCUGCUUCACAGAUGAGGUGCUGGAUCACGAAUUCCCCGAGGGAUUCAAGCCCAUCAAUAUUGAAUCAUACGACGGAACAACCGAUCCCGCCGUAUGGAUUGAGGACUUUAUUCUACACAUCCACAUGGCCCGUGGAGACGACCUCCACGCCAUCAAAUACCUCCUACUAAAGCUCAAAGGGCCAGCUCGACACUGGCUAAACAGCCUGCUGAUACGUCUCCAACGUAUCUAUAAUUUUUGAUUGCUCCAUGCUAUAUUACCUACUAUUUUGGACUAUAUUGGGCUUUAUUUUCCACUUUUAUAUUAUUUUUGGGACUAACCUAUUAACCGGAGGCCCAGCCCAGAAUUGCUGUUUUUUGCCUAUUUCAGUGUUUCGGAGAAACCAAAUAUCAAACAGAGUCCAAACGGAAUGAAACCUUCGGGAAUGCGAUUUUCUCAUUAGAUAAGACCCAGGAGACUUGGACCCUCCGUCAAGAAAGCCACGAGGCGGUCACGAGGGUGGAGGGCGCGCCCCCUACCUCGUGGGCCCCUUGAAGCUCCACCAACAUACUCCUUCCUCCUAUAUACACCUACGUACCCCCAAAGAUCAGAUACGGAGCCAAAAACCUAAUUCCACCACCGCAACUUUCUGUAUCCACGAGAUCUCAUCUUGGGGCCUGUUCCGGAGCUCCGCCGGAGGGGGCAUCGAUCAUGGAGGGCUUCUACAUCAUCAUCCAAGCCCCUCCGAUGAAGUGUGAGUAGUUUACUUCAGACCUACGGGUCCAUAGUUAGUAGCUAGAUGUCUUCUUCUCUCUUUUUGGAUCUCAAUACAAUGUUCUCCCCCUCUCUCGCGGAGAUCUAUUCGAUGUAAUCUUCUUUUUGCGGUGUGUUUGUUGAGAUCGAUGAAUUGUGGGUUUACGAUCCAGUCUAUCUAUGAAUAAUAUUUGAAUCUUCUCUGAAUUCUUUUAUGUAUGAUUGGUUAUCUUUGCAAGUCUCUUCGAAUUAUCAGUUUGGUUUGGCCUACUAGAUUGGUUUUUCUUGCCAUGGGAGAAGUGCUUAGCUUUGGGUUCGAUCUUGCGGUGUCCUUUCCCAGUGAUAGAAGGGGCAGCAAGGCACGUAUUGUAUUUUUGCCAUCGAGGAUAAAAAGAUGGGGUUUUUAUCAUAUUGCAUGAAACUAUCCCUCUACAUCAUGUCAUAUUGCUUAAGGCGUUACUCUGUUUUUAACUUAAUACUCUAGAUGCAUGCUGGAUAGUGGUCAAUGAGUGGAGUAAUAGUAGUAGAUGCAGGCAUGAGUCGAUCUACUUGUCUCGGACGUGAUGCCUAUAUACAUGAUCAUACCUAGAUAUUCUCAUAACUAUGCUCAAUUCUGUCAAUUUCUCAAUAGUAAUUUCUUCACCCACCGUAGAAUACUUAUGCUCUUGAGAGAAGCCACUAGUGAAACCUAUGCCCCCCGGGUCUCUUUCUCAUCAUAUCAAUCUCCAUCACUUUAUUAUUGCUUUGCUUUUUUACUUUGCCUUUUACUUUUCACUUUGCAUCUCUAUACCAAAAAUACCAAAAAUAUCAUUUAUCAUCUCUAUCAGAUCUCACUUUCGUAAGUGACCGUGAAGGGAUUGACAACCCCUAAGCGCGUUGGUUGCAUUGAGCUAUUGUUUUUGUGUAGGUACAAGGGACUCGCGCGUAGCCUCCUACUGGAUUGAUACCUUGGUUCUCAAAAACUGAGGGAAAUACUUACGCUACUUUGCUGCAUCAUCCUCUCGUCUUCGGGGAAAUCCAGCGCAGUGCUCAAGAGGUAGCAAGAAGAAUUUCUGGCGCCGUUGCCGGGGAGUCUGUGCAAAAGUCAACAUACCAAGUACCCAUCACAAUCCCUAUCUCCCGCAUUACAUUAUUUGCCAUUUGCCUCUCGUUUUCCUCUCCCCCACUUCACCCUUGCCGUUUUAUUCGCCCUCUCUCUCUCUAUCCUCCCUCUCUAUUUGCCUCUUUUGCCCGUUUGCUUUUUGUUUGCUCAUGUGUUGGAUUGCUUGUUUGUCACGAUGGCUCUUACUAGAUUCAGUGAUCUUCACCUUAAAAGGUUAGAGGAGAUCGAAAACAACGUCAGGAAGUUUAUCGUUUUGCAAUUUGAGCAUAAUAAUUUGUUUAGAAAUGAGCUUAAGGAACAAAAAGUUUUAUGAGUUAUAUGAAUAAAGAGCUCGAUGAUAUGUCUAAAGAAUUUGAUGGUAUAAGAUCCCAAAUUGCUCGUCUUGAAAAAUUAACUGCUGAAAUUUCGGAUAUGCAAGCUACCUUAGUCAAUAAGAUGGCCGCUAAACCAGAUUCCUAUGAAAAUCAAGUUGAAGAUCUAAAAGUUAUUGAUGUAUCUCCUAUUAAAUCUUUGUUUUGCAAUAUUAAUCUUGAUAAUGAUGGGACUGAAUAUGAUCCACCUUUACCUAGAAGGCGUUCUAAAAAUUCGGAGUAUUUAGAUCUUGAUGGUGAAAUUGAUAAAAGUGGGAUUAAAAGAAAUAAAACCCUAGAUGAUGCUAAACCCACUAUAUUGGAUUUCAAGGAAUUUAAUUAUGAAAAUUGCUCUUUAAUUGAUUGUAUUUCCUUGUUGCAAUCCGUGCUAAAUUCUCCUCGUGCUUAUAGUCAAAAUAAAGCCUUUACUGAACAUAUCGUUGAUGCCUUGAUGCAAUCUUAUGAAGAAAAACUUGAGUUGAAAGUUUCUAUCCCUAGAAAACUUUAUGAUGAGUGGGAACGUACUAUUAAAAUUAAAAUUAAAGAUUAUGAGUUUUAUGCUUUGUGUGAUUUGGGUGCUAGUGUCUCUACUAUUCCCAAUUUUUUUUGUGAUUUGCUAGAUUUCCGUGAUUUUGAUGAUUGCUCUCUAAACUUGCAUCUUGCGGAUUCCACUAUUAAGAAACCUAUGGGAAGAAUUAAUGAUGUUCUUAUUUUUUCAAAUAGGAAUUAUGUGCCCUUAGAUUUUUCGUUCUUGAUAUAGAUUGCAAUCCUUCUUGCCCUAUUAUUCUCGGUAGACCUUUCCUUAGAACGGUUGGUGCAAUUAUUGAGAUGAAGAAAGGGAAUAUUAGAUUUCAAUUUCCAAUAAAAAAGGGCAUGGAACACUUCCCUAGAAAUAAAAUAAAAUUACCAUAUGAAUCUAUCAUGAGAGCCACUUAUGGAUUGCCUACCAAAGAUGACAAUACCUAGAUCUAUUCUUACUUGUCAUGCCUAGCUAGGGGCGUUAAACGAUAGCGCUUGUUGGGAGGCAACCCAAUUUUAUUUUUAUUCCUUUCUUUUUGCUCCUGGUUAGUAAUAAAUAAAUUAUUUAGCCUCUGUUUUGGUUGUGUUUUUUUGUGUUUAAUUAGUGUUUGUGCCAAGUAGGACCGUUGGGAAGACUUGGGGAAAGUCUUGUAGAACUUGCUGUGAAAAACAGAAACUUUAGCGCUCACAAGAACUGCUGUAAUUUUUAUUUGGAGAGUGAUAUUUAGUUAAUUCUUUUUGCAGAUGAUUAAUAGAUAAAUUCCUCACGUCCAUAAAUUUAUUUUAGAAUUUUUGGGGUUCCAGAUCUUGCGCUAGAUACAGAUUACUACAGAGUGUCCUGUUUUUGACAGAUUCUGUUUUUCGUGUGUUGCUUAUUUUGAUGAAUCUAUGGCUAGUAAAAUAGUUUAUAAACCAUAGAGAAGUUGGAAUACAGUAGGUUUAACACCAAUAUAAAUAAAGAAUGAUUUAAUUACAGUACUUUGAAGUGGUCUUUUGUUUUCUUUCGCUAACGGAGCUCACGAGAUUUUCUACUUUAAGUUUUGUGUUGUGAAGUUUUCAAGUUUUGGGUAAAGAUUUGAUGGAUUAUGGAACAAGGAGUGGCAAGAGCCUAAGCUUGGGGAUGACCAUGGCACCGCCAAGAUAAUCCAAGGACACCAAAAAGUCAAAGCUUGGGGAUGCCCCGGAAGGCAUCCCCUCUUUCGUCUACUUCUAUCGGUAACUUUACUUGGAGCUAUAUUUUUAUUCACCACAUGAUAUGUGUUUUGCUUGGACCGUCUUUUAUGAUUUGAGGCUUUGCUUGUUAGUCUACCACAAUCAUCCUUUCUGUACACACCUUUUGAGAGAGCCAUACAUAAUUUGGAAUUUGAUAGAAUACUCUAUGUGCUUCACUUAUAUCUUUUGAGCUCUAUAGUUUUACUCUAGUGCUUCACUUAUAUCUUUUGAGUUUUAUAGUUUUGCUCUAGUGCUUCACUUAUAUAUUUUAGAGCAUGGUGGUGGAUUUGUUUUAUAGAAACUACUGAUCUCUCAUGCUUCACUUAGAUUAUUUUGAGAGUCUUAAUAGCAUGGUAAUUUGCUUAAUAAUAAUAUGCUUGGUAUUCAAGAUUUGUAAAACUUUCUUUUGAGUGCGUUGAAUACUAAGAAAAAAAUUGGUGCUUGAUAAUUGUUUUGAGAUAUGAGGAUGGUGAUAUUAGAGUCAUGCUAGUUGAGUAGUUGUGAAUUUUAGAAAUGCUUGUGUUAAAGUUUGUGAUUCCCGUAGCAUGCACGUAUGGUGAACCGUUAUGUGAUGAAGUCGGAGCAUGAUUUAUUUAUUGAUUGUCUUCCUUAUGAGUGGCGGUCGGGGAUGAGCGAUGGUCUUUUCCUACCAAUCUAUCCCCCUAGGAGCAUGCACGUAAUACUUUGCUUUGAUAACUUCUAGAUUUUUGCAAUAAGUAUAUGAGUUCUUUUUGACUAAUGUUGAGUCCAUGGAUUAUACGCACUUUCCUUCCUUCCACCAUUGCUAGCCUCUCUAAUACCGCACACUUUUCGCUGGUAUCAUACACCCACCAAAUACCUUCCUCAAAACAGCCACCAUACCUACCUAUCAUGUCAUUUCCAUAGCCAUUCCGAGAUAUAUUGCCAUGCAACUUUCCACCAUUCCGUUCAUUAUGACACGCUCCAUCAUUGUCAUAUUGCUAGCAUGAUCAUGUAGUUGACAUCGUAUUUGUGGCAAAGCCACCGUUCAUAAUUCUUUCAUACAUGUCACUCUUGAUUCAUUGCAUAUCCCGGUACACCGCCGGAGGCAUUCAUAUAGAGUCAUAUUUUGUUCUAAGUAUUGAGUUGUAAUUGUUGAGUUGUAAGAAAAAUAAAAAGUGUGAUGAUCAUCAUUUUUAGAGCAUUGUCCCAAGUGAGGAAAGGAUGAUGGAGACUAUGAUUCCCCCACAAGUCGGGAUGAGACUCCGGACGAAAAACAAAAAAAAAAGAGAGAAAAAGAGAGAAGGGACAAUGUUACUAUCCUUUUACCACACUUGUGCUUCAAAGUAGCACCAUGAUCUUCAUGAUAG
RNAcentral lists this long non-coding RNA (90663 nucleotides) under Triticum aestivum (bread wheat). RNAcentral describes it as "long non-coding RNA (TAES_LNC001758)". The record is from RNAcentral. Lineage: Eukaryota; Viridiplantae; Streptophyta; Magnoliopsida; Poales; Poaceae.